RNAcentral lists this long non-coding RNA (167478 nucleotides) under Triticum aestivum (bread wheat). Its description in RNAcentral is "long non-coding RNA (TAES_LNC028382)". The record is from RNAcentral. Lineage: Eukaryota; Viridiplantae; Streptophyta; Magnoliopsida; Poales; Poaceae.
GGCACCAGGUUGCGCUUGUGACCAGGAAAGACAAACUUAUGAACUUGCAAGCAUGGUAAUCAGAUCGACAUCCACACAAUGUCAAUAUGAACAUUGUCUUGAUACAACUUUAUUUGUAUUUUAUUUCAGAAUUUAAACAACUAGUUUGGGCGGGUCACACACGACGUUGUGUGACACUUUAUUUGUCACCGCUGCAUCGACAUAUCCAUCGACUAAACAACGGUGAUCCAACUAUAUAUUACUAGAGACCUUUCCUUAUCAGUAGGCACCAACUCCGGUGCCAACGCUGAAUGGCACACUAGUGGUGGUUCUAUACAAGGGCACAUUGACACGGCACAUCGUUGGCAGGGUACGGAGCGCAAUGGAAGUCAUCACCUCAAGCUGAGCUAUCUGGUGUGGAUGCAAAAAGGUACCCUGUGCCAAUUGUUGUUGUUGAGGUUGUUGCCCGAGUUGCUGCUGCGACUGCUGUUGGGGUUGGGAAACGCAUUGGCCCAACUAUUGCGGUUGCUGCUGCUGAGUUUGGAUGGAACCCUGAACCUGUUGUUGUUCUUGCAGGACGAUGGAGUAGAUGAUAGCACGGAUUGCCUCAUAGCGGGAUUGCUGGGGGAUUUGCGGCAACUGCUGGCAACAUUGUUGUUGCAUCACAUGGCAACUGCUCUGCUGCAACAUUUGCGACCUAGCAAGACUUUGUGGCAUUGCCACAGGGCUGCAUUGCUGCUGGAGGAAUACCUUGCAUGGGUUUAGUUGCUGCAAGAUAGAUGGAUGAACAAAUGGUAUUUGUUGUUGCGGUAGAACUGAUUGUUGUUGUUGCGAAAAUGGUGGUUGUUGCGGUAGUACUGGUUGUUGUUGUUGCGAAAAUGGUGGUUGUUGCUGUGAAAAUGGUGGUAGUUGUUGCUGCGAAAAUGAUGGUUGUUGCGGUAGAACUGGUUGUUGUUGCUGCAAAAAUGGUGGUUGUUGCUAUGAAAAUGGUGGUUGUUGCGAUAGAACUGGUUGUUGUUGCUGUGAAAAUGGUGGUUGUUGCUGUGAAAAUGGUGGUUGUUGUUGCUGUGAAUAUGGUGGUUGUUGUUGCUGCGAAAAUGGUGGUUGUUGUUGCUGCGAUAAUGGUGGUUGUUGUUGUUGCUGUGAACAUGGUUGCUGUUGUGGAAAUGGUUGUGGUUGUUGUUGGAUAGGUUGUUCUUGUUGUUGGUGCCAUAAUGUUUGUUGUGGUGGUAAUGGUUGUUGCUGCGAUGGUCUCUCCAAACCAGGGAUGUGGCUAUUCUCCAUUUGUGCAAUGGCACUUGUCGCCGCAACGGCGAGGAGGGCAAAGAUGAGGAAGGUCUUCAUGGUGGAUUGGUGUUAACUAGUGUUGCUUGGUUUUGAUGCUUGUGCUUGUGACGAUCUUUAUACUUCAUGCCUAUUUAUAGUAGCCCGGGCACCACCUUUUUCUUCUUUGCAUUAGCUUUAAUAAUUUUGUUUGGAUGCAAAAAUGAUUUUUGGUACAAUGUGUUAGGUUGCACUAGCUACACGCGUACUUUUGGAUUGAUCAUCAAAGUUGCUUUUUAGUUGUGCAUAUGAUCACACAUAAAGUACAGAAACCUUGAUGUUUGGUAUAUAUGACUCACCUUAUUCACUUUACAUGUCACACACUUAUCUGGAUAGUAUCACUUUUGCAACCGAGUUUGGAACCUUGUAUAGGCUGUCAUCCAUAAACAAGAAAGGCAAAACUUGUGUAGGACUAAGUGUAGAACUAACUUUGUAUUUUUCCUCUAAAAUGAUUAGAUGAACCGACGCCUAUAGAGCAUGACAUGACUCAUCGAAUUCCCUUUACAUGUAAAGGAUGGUAAUUGCUUACAAGCUACUCCUACUAGCAUAUAUCCGGUCCUAACUCUUGACACGUCAUCAUCAGUUUCGCCUAUUUUUUUAGAUAAAUCAUCAGUUUCAUCUAUUUGUGAAGGGUUUUUUUGGGGGAAAUGAUAGUUUUUUUAUGCUAGGGGGAUUUUUUUGGGGGGGGGGGAUGACGCUAGGGGGAAAUGAUAGAUGGGGCUGGAACAGAGGCCCCCAGCCUGGAGCGAGAGAUUAGGCCCAACAUAAGUGCCGUGUGUUAGGGCACCAAUUCGAUUUGGGCUAUAGUUCUCGUAGGCCCCAACGACACAAGCCCAGCCCACACUCCGCGGAUCUGCGUCCCUCCCUUCCUCGUCCUCCUCGCCGGCCGGACCGCUCGCCGUCGCAGCCUCUCCCGGACGCCCACCGCUCGCGGCCCCUCCACGUACCUCCGCGGCAGCGGAGACGUCAGCCUCCCUCCCACCCUCAACAUCCGGCCCCCCACCACCACCACCACCGCUCGACAAAAAAGGUCACUUUUGAAGCUCCUCCGUCGAUUGUGGGCCGUACGUCGACGGCAGCCACUCCGACCUCCCCAUCAACACAAGGUAUCGAUUUGUUUCGUCUGUCUCUUCCAACGAUUCAAUGCACAUAAAUCCGAGAGGCAGACCCAUCUCCAUGCUAGCUGCACGGAUUAGGAGGGUCAGGCAUCAGAAUUCAGCUGGGAAGCCUGACAGUAAUGUACAUUUGUGGCUUUAGUAGCUGAAUAUAACUAUGUGCUUUCUGAGAAUUUCACUUCAAAAGUUCCAAUAAUCAUCAAAUUUCCCCCUAUGCGCGCUAAGCAGGUGGACCAUAUAUUUCUCAUGUCGACGAACGAAAAAACAAAACUCCACAACUAGAAGUCUAUGAUAUUGACACGGAACCGUGCUGUAGGGUCGCAAGUAAAAAUAUGAAAAGCAUGCCUAAUAAGCGAGAUGACGCAGUUCCUGACCGCCCCGCUACGACUAUUGGUUCCAGCGUGGCGUUUGAAUUAUGCCGCGCUAGAUGUCUUUUGUCCGGCGAGGAACAAGUGGGGUCAAGCGUGCUUCGGCAAUUCCCGCCGUCAGAAGACUUCCUUGUAGUCCGGUGUAGAGGUGAGGUUGUGGGGAGAUACAUCGACUAGCACUACUAGGGAAAAGGCUAGCAGCAGCGCGGGUUUUAGAUGUAUCAGUAGUGCGGGUACCCGCGCUACUAAUACGGCGCUACAGCUAACUCAUAGCAGUAACGCGUGAGCACCCGCGCUACUGCUACACAAGUGUAGCAGCAGCGCGGUUAUGAGAAGCUCGCUACCGCUAGUAGCGCUAGCGCUCUUUGGCCGGACGCUCUACUGCUAUUGAGGCGCUGCUGCUAACUUUUGUACACUCGCUACUGGUAAUUUAAGUAGUUUUUUGGCAUAUUUGUUUUGUAUUUGAACCGGCUUUGUAGAAGAAUCUUUAGCACAUAGAAAUGUCAUCAUGAUACACAUACAAAUGCCUGCGAGACCACAAAUGUAAUCAUAGCAUGUACAUACAAAUAGUCUCUUCAUAAUCAUCAUCCAACACAAAGUGAUAUCUUGUCAUCAUCUCGAAAAUAGCAAUACAUGCAAGUCUCGAAUACUUGCAACUACAACAACGUCAUCCAUCUAAACAAAGGUAUACGCAAGAAGUGCUAUCACUAUGAGUGAGAGCGGAACCAUGCAGUACAUGAGGUGGCGGUUAUGAGUCCUCUCUUGCGCUAGCGUGAACCUCAAGUAACUAGCUUCUCCUUCUUGUCUGCUUUUGAAGCCUUUAUGGCUGGCGCCCGUGAACCCAUUCACUUGCGCCUGACACUCAUGCCACUCGUUGUACACCCCCGGAACCUUCCCUUUGUACACGACAUAGCAUUUCCAUCUCGCCAUCAAGAAACUAGGUACCUGUUAGAGAUGCAUGUUCAUGAAGAGGAUGUACAAUCAUAUAUAUGCAACAAAAUAUACUAGAGCAACACUAAGAAAGAAAGGUUAGCAACUAGAUGCAACAUAUACAUUACGCAAAUUAAUUAACUAGAGGUACGCAGGUCAUCGUACGCAAACUAACAAAGUAGCGUUACGCAAGUUUGGCAGGGACCAUGGACAUCACAAAGUUUCAUCGCUACAAAAAGUAUACAAGUUCAACCGACACAUAUCAUCAUCAUCGGCAUCAUAAAUCACUAGAAGUUCCAUCCUUCCAUAUCAUCGAGGACGAACCCUAGCUGCUUGAACGGCGUGAGGUCUAGACGUUGCAUGCCUAUGCGAGUUCGGACGUCAGCUCGCGAUAUAGGGCCGUGGUGGAACAUCCCCUUCUCAUCGACGACUUCUUUCAUGAUGAUCAUCGCAAUGUCGCUUUGGAUGCGAAAGAAGUCAUCUCUAAGUUUAUAAUUCGCUUCUCCAUGAGAUUCUAGCCACUUGUGGAUAUGAUCAUCAUUUCUGCUGUUAAUGCGAAGCUUUUGGUGAUCCGUGUUGAACUGAAUCAUGAGAUGGACGAUGUAGAAUCCAUCCUUCUUGCUUGGUUUUGGGACGUGGAUGCAGGAGAAGUUAGUUUUAUGCGCGAAACCCAUCUUCUUGUUCCUUUGUUUCCUGAUAUGCACGUGGCCACCUCUAAAGUUGAAGCCUUGGAGAGCAUCAUCUAGAAUAUUCAUUAUGUGGGUGUAGUCCUUUUUCUCGUAGUCUCUAGAAGGGUCAAAAUACACGGCGUGGGAGACUUGCGGGUAAAGAAUGAUAAGGACGGCGCGCCCGUUGCUGCGGGGAAAAGACACCUCAAAUUAUUCCCCAUAUGAGAGAGAAGGAAUGAUUGAAAUGUACGAAAGGGUUGUCCGGAACUGACUUACUUUGGAUGAUAAGGCACGAGGACAAUUUCCCGGUCCUUAUUCUGUACCAUGAAGUUUUGGAGGUACUCCCUAGCAGUUUCACGCUCAAAGUCGCCGAGACUCAAGAAAGACUCGUGCAUGUAGUACGGAUCCGCCACACAGAUUUGCGAGACUUCUUCACUCUUCACGACGGAGCUCAUAUGUAGCGCAAAAAGGCGGACGAUAGUAAAAUCAAGCCGCCUUGUUAGAAACAUCUCAAAGAUAUGGUCAAACCGCAGGAAGAACACCUCCGUGGGCCGUGUGUCGACGUAGCACUUCCCCUCAGGCACACGAGCUGCGUAUGUCGGAUAUCCUGGAUCCUUUGAGGCUAGUAGGCUUUUCUCAGUCGACAGCACGUGGUCGUGCAGUCUCCUGAGAUUCCCUGAUAGUGCCUCCAGCGGUUUCGGCGGUAGCAUCGGCUCGCCCGUGAGAUGGAACAUGACCGCACCUUUCACGGGUACACGCUCUUCAGAAUGCAUCGUCUGGCUGCUGUGUGCUCUGGCUUGUUUGGAGGCAGUUACCUUCCCCAAUCUCUUCCUCUCCUUUUUCUUGGGCACACCUUCCAGACCCUUCCUUAACCCCUGCCCAAGUGUUCCCGGGCUAAGUAUUGUACGACCCUCACGCCCGGCUAGUUGAGCCUGUGUUGAGGCGGCAUCUUCAGGCGUGUCCUGUGAGGAUUUCAUGAAGAGAGACUUUUUGCAUUCCAUGGUACGGCCCUGCCCGGGCAUAUCAUCCAUAUCCUCAUUAGCAAGCUGAUAGCCCGAUUCGUCAUAUGGUUGACUCAUCAUAUCUAUGUCACAGUCAUACGCGUUUGUAUUGAGGUAAUCCAUCGGGUCGACCUCCGUCUCAUCAUCCAUUCUCUGUUCUACAGGAGAAAUUACAUCAGCCAGUACUAUUGCACCCCCUUCAUCAUGUCGUCCGCCGCUCUCACACGGCACUACUACAGGAGCUGGUAAUUGCGUAGGUGGGGUGGUGGUCUCCGCACAUGCUUGCUGAUGUGUGGUAGUUAUUGGUGUGCUCUCGGCCGGCUCCAGACGAAUAAGAUUCUUCGGCCAUAGCAGCACCCAACCCUUGCAGCGUCCAAUCCGCGGCGGGGUCUCGUCGUCCGCUCCCACCUGCUGUACUGGAGGAGGCAAAUCCUCGUGCCCCGAUUUCACACUGGUCAAGCUAACCCUGAAGUGCCCAGCGGGGAUCGGCUGGUUGUGGAAUGUGCGUUGAGAGGGGUCCAUUAUCAUCCCCUUUCCCACGUCCACCUUCUGGCCUUUGAUCAAGUAGAGUAUGGUGCAUGGGGUUUCUUUCGCCUGCAAACACAUAUGUCUGUGGUGUAAAACAACCGAAAGGCAACAAAAAUGGAAUAUUAUAUAUAUAUAUAUGUUGGUGCGACAUGUAAUUACCGUGACGGCGUCGAGCUCAGCCAAAGACGAAGGCCCACCUAGCGCGCCUGAGACUGAGGACGGGCUGCUAUGAGCUGGAGCGGCUGCGAGAGGAGGCCCGGUUGCUUGAGCAAGUGAUGGUGCGAUGGUGUUGUUCAUGGAGUUGCUCGCGACGAAACUGGGCAUUGGGAAAUCAUGUACCGUCUUGUCUGGAUUUUCCUUCGCCCAGUUGAUGAUAACUGGAACCAAGUUAGUAGCGAAAUCAUUUCUGCAGGCAUUUACAGCUGCAUUGACUGCCUGCUGUAGCAACUCAUAUUUGUCCUUGGCUGCUUUUUUCGCGUCCUCGGCUGCUUUUUUCUCGACCGCAAGCUUCACCUUUGCGUCGAUGUCCGCCUAACUAAACUUCUUUUUCUGCUUCUUGGCCUCCGGGCCGUCGUUGUAAAACACCUUCCACGUGGCGCCGUCUCCAGCGCCGUGCACACGACCAUAUUGCGGCCGCUGGUCCAACGGGAGUCCCUUAAGUUCGUUCAAGGCCCAGUUGAGAGGUGUGUCCCACUUGGGCCUCAUCGGAGAAGUAGGGCUUUCGGCUGCAAGCCGGUGUUGCUUCUCCAGUAGUCUAAUCAAUUUCCUCGUGAUCUUGUCCGUGUAAAAAACCUUUUUCUCCUUGUCCCACUUGUAGCGGGCCCUGAUGAAGUCAUGCUCCAAGGGGUUGGUGAACUUCGCGAAGGGGUCUGGGAGACCCGCGGCUUCACGUUCCGCGUCCUCCUUAUCCCAUAUGGGCCUUUUACCGAGGUAGCCACGGCUUCCGAGGCGAUGCUUCCCCAUGUUCCGGAGCUGAAGGCUUUUGAAUUUCGCAGCCUUAGCCUUGGCUGCCUUGGUAGCGCAAGUGUCCUUGAACUUUUCGAACUCCUCUUCCGUAAGUGUCGGAUUUUCCUCCAGAAUCUUGGACAGGGGUUCAUCAGCCUCAAUAGCUCGUUUCACCCUCCCUUUCCAGGAGGCCAAAUCAUUGCUGAACAUGCCCAUGGCGUGAUUGUUAAUCUUUUUCAUCUUCGGAUCAUCCCACGGUUGUUCUAUGUUAUCAUCCCGGUCGGGGAACUUGAAUCUCUUCUGCAACUUCGUUAGGAGCAACUGCGUCAAAUGUUCUUUACUCCUUAAGUCAUCAUCGUUGAUGCUCGCGCAUUCCCGUAGGAUGCAUCCUACUUGGUUCCCAUAGCACUUGCGAGGUUCUUCCGGCUCUAACGGCUCAAACUUUCCAGGUGCCAUCUUUGUGAUCACAAGUCGUCCAAUCCCUAGUUUGUUAGGUUUUCGUAUCCUCUGCUUCUUAUGCUUCCUCUUUUCGGUAUCGGCAUCGGGGCCGGUACCUUCCCCGCCGGUCUCGGCGCCGCCAUCGGUGCCGGCGCCGUCGGUGCCGGCACCGUAGGUGUCGAUGUCGGCGUCAGUACCAUCAUCGAGGCCGACCUGCAAACCUUGCUUAGCAGUCAAAUAGUCGAGGUACUCUUGUUCACCCUCAUAAUCCAUCUCGUCUGCAUCUUGGUCAGAAGGCCCAGUUUCUUCGUUGUUCGACAUGUUUCCUAUGAUUAAGUGGCCUCAUUUAUUUCUAAAAGUAUGAAUAAAUGAGAAAUGACAUAAAAAGAAAUCUAUGUGCCAACACUCGAUAUGCCAACUAUGUAGCACAAAUCAUGCCUUUAUUCACGGGAAAUUUCGGCAUGACCUUUGCUAAAAAAUGGACAUAUCGAGCGCCUGAAAUUCACCGAAACGGAAAUGAAUCAACAUUCCUGCGCAACAUAGGCCACUCGGAUCAUUUUCCAAACAUGACAUGUCCAAAACAUGACAUAUGCACAUAUCACAUGUCCAGUUCAAAUUUCCAUAUAAAUUCAGCUAAUUCAUAACUAAAUAGAUAACCUAAUUAAUUAACAUGAAGANNNNNNNNNNNNNNNNNNNNNNNNNNNNNNNNNNNNNNNNNNNNNNNNNNNNNNNNNNNNNNNNNNNNNNNNNNNNNNNNNNNNNNNNNNNNNNNNNNNNNNNNNNNNNNNNNNNNNNNNNNNNNNNNNNNNNNNNNNNNNNNNNNNNNNNNNNNNNNNNNNNNNNNNNNNNNNNNNNNNNNNNNNNNNNNNNNNNNNNNNNNNNNNNNNNNNNNNNNNNNNNNNNNNNNNNNNGGGGGCGAGCGACAUGGUCGGGGGCGAGCACGCCGGAGUCGGGGUCGAGAGCGGGACAGGGGCGAGCGCCGGGGCUGGCACCGGCGCCGGCAGGGUCGGGGGCGAGCGCCGGGGCCGGGUCGGGCACGGCGGAGCGACGGGGGCCGGAGAGAGAGUGGGGAUUUGGGGGGAAAUGGCGGGAUGAAGCUGGGCGAGUGCGAAUUUUGGGUUAAGUGGACGUAGCAGUAGCGGGUUAUGUCAAAACGCGCUGCUACUAUAUUCUGUAGCGGCAGCGGUUUAUGAGAAACACGCUACUACUAUGGUGCGUAGCUGCAGCGCUUUAUGGGAAACUCGCUACUACUAUGGUGCGUAGCGGCAGCGGUUUAUGAGAAACACGCUACUACUAAGAUCUAGCAGCAGCGGUUUUGUGGAAACGCGCUGCUACUGCCGUCGCUACUGCCAGGUUUCCUUUUUCUUUUCCUUUAUUUUAUCCCACUUUUAUUUCCCGAGGGCAAUGAACGAAGGGAGGGCGAUAUAUAUUGCAUCAUUUGACGGUUAAAUAUGUAUGCAAAAUAGGAACAUAUAUAUUACACAUCAUUGGACCCAUGCAUAAUAAUGACUAAGUGUGUAUACAAAUUAAAUAGGAACAUAUAUAUAUUACACAUCAUUGGACCCAUAACAUACGUUUCCUCAGUGCUGACGUUUUCGUUUUUGAGUCAGCUUCUUUCCCUUCUUGUUCGUCGAAGAAUAAUUGAGCCCCUCAUUGUGACUUUGCCUUUUCCAUGGAGUACGAUUUUUCUUAGGUAAUGUAGUAUUGAUUCUUCUUUUGACGUAUACUUCAUCAUCAUCAUCAUCUUCCCUCAUUGGGUUGCUGUACUGAUCAUAGUCUUCCUCGUUGGCGACUCCAUCCAUUCCAAUGAUGUUCCUUUUGCCUCUCCUCACGACAACACGGCUGGGAUUGCGCGGGUCAGUUAUGAAGAAACAUUGUGUCACGUGCUUAGCGUGUACCCAUGGCUCGUUUUUUGCGAUAGCGUUCAUGGUAGCGCUCUUGGCGUCGGGUAUAGUCAUGGUAGUGAACAUCCGGCUUUCUCUUUCGACAUUCUUAGCCCAUCUGACACGGAACAUCAUCGUGCUGUGCAGUCCAGAGUAGUCAAGCUCCCAGAUCUCCUCGACCCUUCCAUAAAAUCGUUCAGUUGUGCCGUUGUCGCUGCCGGUCAUGCAUUCCAUCGUCACCCCUGAGUUCUGAUCAUCACUGUCCAUAUCUUUUGCCUCUGUGUAGAAUGUGUAUCCGUUGAUAUCAUAUGCCUGAUAGGUUACGAGGUUGGGCGAGGGGCCAUGUGCUAAGGCGUAUAUGAGCAAUCCGUCCUUAGAGCCCUCCUCCGGUGGAUUAGCAAUAAUAUGCUCUUUGAACCAAUGCAGGAAAGUGGAGUUGUGCUCUCUAGUAACUUCGGCGUCCGUCCUGCAUACCCCCCGGUCACGAUACUUCUUUGUGAUAAUUUCUUUGUGCAGUGCCACGAAAGGAUCUACCUCGUCUAGGUGUUGUAGCACUACCAAGUUUGCUCUGUCAAAGUCGCUGCGUCGAUCUGAGUAUGCCACGUGCAGUUCCCUGCGACCGUUGCAGUGACCAUCUCCUUUGAGCCUCCCAUCGUGCUUGUUAACGGGCAAACCAACACUAACACCAGGCGGCUGGUCUGCGCCAUAUAAAAAAUUCUCACAGAAAGAGAUGCACUCUUGUGCCAAAUAGCCCUGGACGAUGCUUCCAUCCGGACGGGACAUGUUACGAACGAAUCCUUUGAUGAUCCCAUUCAUCCACUCAAACGGGAUCAUGUUGUGCAGGAAUGACGGCCCCAGGUCUAUUAUGUCAUCCACAAUAUGGACACACAGAUGCACCAUCACGUCGAAGAACGCGGGCGGGAAGUACAUCUCAAGCUCAUUCAGUAUCACAACGAUCUCUUCCUGUAGCCUUUGGAGCUGCUUCACACUGAUCGACUUUCGAGAGAUGACAUCGAAAAAGUUGCAGAGACCAAUAAGCGUGUCACGGACGUGCUUGUCCAUUAUCCCUCUAAGGGCAACAGGUAGUAUCUGCGUCAUCAUCACAUGACAGUCAUGAGACUUCAUCCCGCUGAACCUUUUCUUGUCCGUGUCUAGAUAUCUGCUUAUCUUGCCACAGUAACCGGAACUAACUUUCACUCCGGUAAGGCACUUAAAGAAUUGAUUGAUCUCAGCCUGACUUAAGGUGAAGCAAGAGGGGGGGCAAUAAUCUUCUUUCUUUAAUUUCUUGCCCUUCUUCUCCCGUGCCUCUGUCUUCGUCUCUGUCUCGUCUGACAUUUUACGGGGCGGCAUCUGCAGAUCUUCCCUGAUUUUCAAAUCUUGCAAGUCUUUUCUUGCCUUCGGCCCAUCCUUGGUCUUAUCCGGCAUGUUCAUCAGUGUUGCGAGCAAGCUCUCAAGGACAUUCUUACAGAUAUGCAUUUGAUCAAGGCAAUGAGGUGUAUCGAGUUUGUGCCAGUACUCCAAGUCCCAGAACACGACCUCGUCUUCCAUACCUUCAGCAGCGGCUCCGGCGCCUUUCUCAUCGUCUUUCCCGGCGCGGGGCACUCAUUCCAGUUUUUCAAUAGCUCAUCGAUUUCGGCACCGCUCCGCUUACGUGGAGGUCCUCGAUGCUCAGCGUGACCAUUGAAUAGAUCUCCACGGUUUCUCCACGGGUCGUCCUGUUCAAGCCAUCUUCGAUGCCCCAUGUACAUGAUUUUCGCAGACCCGCCAUCUUUCCUUGACGUUAGCUGCUGAGACGUUGUAUCAUCCAUGCACCGCGUGCAUCCGCAAUAUCCAUGGCACACCUGGCCUGCCACAUAUCCGUAACCGAGAUAGUCCUGCACUGUCGUGAUCAGCGCGGCUCUCAUGUUGAAAUACUCACCUUUGCUGGCGUCCCAUGUCUUGGCCGGUGUUUUCCAUAACGUGUCUAACUCCUCUUGAAGUAGCCCCAGAUACAAAUUAAUAUUAUUUCCUGGUUGUUUCGGCCCUUGAAUAAGCAUGCUCAUGUGAAUGUACUUCGAUUUCAUACACAACCAGGGGGGGAGGUUGUACAUCCAUACAAACACGGGCCAUGUACUAUGGUUGGUGUUCUAGUUGCCAAAUGGAUUCAUGCCAUCGGUACACGCGCCGAGCACGAUGUUCCUUGCAUCACAUUCAAAAUACCGUUAGAAGCUGUUCAACGCUCUCCACUGGCUUCCAUCCUUCACGUGUCUCAGCUUCGGAUCAUCUCCAUCGUCGGGCUUCUUCCUCUCCGCGUGCCAGCGCAUUAGCUUUGCUUCCUUGGGAUCUACAAAAUACCUCUGAAGACGGGGAGUGAUCGGUAAGUACCAUACAACUUUCUGGGGACAUUUCUUCCCGGCCUUCUUGUAUCGAGAAGCAUUGCACACCGGACAGCUUGUUUUUUCCGCGUGCUCCUUCCGAUAAAUUAUGCAAUCGUUGAUGCAUGCAUGGUAUCUAACGUGUGGCAGAUCAAGAGGGCACACGAUCUUCUUGGCCUCAUCAACACUAGUAGGACAUAGAUUACCCGCGGGAAGAAUAUCCUUUAGGUACUUGAGAUGGUCAUCGAGGCUAGUGUCGGUCCAUUUGUUUUUAGCCUUCGUCUUCAGGAGUUGGAGCGUGAAACUCAACCGGGUCACCUCAGGAUUGCAACCAUCAUACAAUGGAGUGUUCGAGUCUACCACCAGUUGCUCCAGCUUAGCCUCCUCUCUAGAAGCAGCUCUCUCAGUACUCGUCUCCUUGCGAAGCAAUGCUUGAACAUGAGGGUCCCGCACAAUUGAACUUAGUACCGACGAACUCUGCUGCGUGGAGUCCAUGUCGUUCUCUCCGCCGCCAUGUCCGGCCCCUUCUCCUCCGCCAUGUCCGGCCACUUCUCCGCUGCCAUGUCCGGCCUCUUCCCCGCCGCCAUUAUCGAUCAUCUCUUCGUCUUGCCCCGUGUCAUCAUUGCCUGCCCCGUCGGCAUCCUCAACAUCUUCAUCCUCAUCUUCAAUUAUCCACCGAGUAUAGCCAUCCAUGAAACCAGUCAUGAGCAGGUGCGCUUCGACACGACCAUCGUCAUGGGGGUCGAGCCAAACUAUUCCUUUGCAUUUUCAACACGGACAUAAAACCUCUGUCCGGUUAUUUUCUUUCAUGUCUUGCACCGCCGACCGCAACCACCUGUCCACCAUUGUUCCACUGACCAUCGUCAACUCUGCACGGUAAUAAUAAAAAAAUUGAUUGUAAAAAUGCAUGCAUGCAUCAAAGUCAUAAAAAAAUUUGGCAUGACCUUCCCUAAAAAUAGGACAUAUAUGGAUCUAGAGUUUGCCCGAAAUUCGCCGAAACGAAAAUAAAUCGACAUUUCGGCAAAACAUAGGCAACUCAAAAGCACAAUUUGGCGGCGUCAACUCAUGCCACAGACACAAUUUCCACAAACAUAUCACACAUACACAUAAACACAUUUCCAUUUUGCAAAAGCAUGAAAUUUUCAUCACCUCUAUCUCGAUGGCCGGAGAUGAUGUUGUAGGGAGAUCAAAAGUGCACAAAGCUAUUCUUGACAAAGAUAGAUCUAGUUAGGGGGCAAAUAGGUCACUUAACUAAAUCCUACAUCUACCUAGCUACCUAAUUUGGAAGGAGACAACUUCAACUAGUGGAGGGGGAGGAAAAAGAGAAAGAAGAUGCAUUAAUUAAUGGAGGUGGUGUAGUUAUGUAGGAGUAAUGAAGAGAGAGAAGGUGGAUAGAGAANNNNNNNNNNNNNNNNNNNNNNNNNNNNNNNNNNNNNNNNNNNNNNNNNNNNNNNNNNNNNNNNNNNNNNNNNNNNNNNNNNNNNNNNNNNNNNNNNNNNNNNNNNNNNNNNNNNNNNNNNNNNNNNNNNNNNNNNNNNNNNNNNNNNNNNNNNNNNNNNNNNNNNNNNNNNNNNNNNNNNNNNNNNNNNNNNNNNNNNNNNNNNNNNNNNNNNNNNNNNNNNNNNNNNNNNNNNNNNNNNNNNNNNNNNNNNNNNNNNNNNNNNNNNNNNNNNNUGUGGUGGAGGGAAGAGAGGAGAGGGGGAGGUAGGGGGGAAGGGAAAAAAGGAAGGGGGAGGGGAGGGACGGGUUGGGGGUUGGUGGGGUUAGCAGUAGCGCGGGAGAUAAAACGCGCUGCUGCUAAGAACUUAGCAGCUGCGCGCUUUGCGGUAAGGCGCUACUGCUAACUGGGACAAAAAAUUGUGGCAAUUUGAAACUUACCAGCAGCGAUCUCGAGGAAACCGCGCUACUACUACGUACUUAGCAGUAGCGCUGUUAUUGCGACCGCGCUACUGCUACUUAGAGUUGGGGGAACACCGCCGGUCGAUAUUUGUAGCAGCGCGUUUCUUGUCGAGCGCGCUACUGCUAAAUCUUUAUCAGUAGCGAGUUUACGUAACCCGCGCUACAACUACUUAGCAGCAGCGCUCUAUUUUGAACCGCGCUGCUGCUAAGAUUCUGUGUAUAGGCUUUUCCCUAGUAGUGUAGGAAGGAAUGACCACAUGAAUGAGCAUACGUAUGAUGUGAUUAAGUCUCUCGAUUGGGUAUCUGGUGCCUUAUGUACGGUGUCUUCUUUUUGUCAAGCUAUGACAUCUUUCAGUUUGAGUGUCUGAUAUUAGGGUUGCAUACGUUUUGUUAUUCAGUUGCCUGUUGUGAACUCUACGGUUAUAUCAUCUCGAUGUGUGAGUCAAUGUGUUUGAACCAAUGUAGAGUUUCAUGUGAAUGUUACAAGUGUGAUUGAUAUGUUCAUGUUAUCCGCGGUUGCCUUGGUAAGAAACUGAAAGAGCAAACCGUUAUCGUGCUAGGACAAAAGUCAUCACUCAAUAUAAGUGCUUCUCUAGAACAGCCACACCUUGUGAAAGAAGAUGGCAAACACCCAAUCAUGUCUGGUUCGAUAUGGGCGUGGCUAUGGGUAGCUUAUAGCGACAUGGAAGCCAGCAUCGCUGGAAGAAACGCCCGGGUGGGCCGGCCUAGAGACAUUUCUUGAUAUCUACCCUUAGUUUUGUUUUUCUGCCCUUCUUUCUUUAUAUUUAUAUUUUUCCCGACAUGUUCACUACUUGAUGCUCAACUGGGAUCUCAUCCUUCACAAAUACGGAGAGCCAUUAUUGUUAGAGUUAAUCUUGACAUGUGUGUAUGUGCAUGUGUGCAUUGCAUGUUAGUGGUCUAGAGAUGGCCGGGUCGAUGCGUCUGUUCUGUGCUGGAGUGAGUCCAGCAGUUUGUUUUGGUCAGGUCGUGGUGGCUAGAGCCAUUCUAGGAGAGGAUCAAGUCAAGUUGUUAGCUGAACUCGGCUGGGUAGUGUUUGGCCGUUGAGGAUAGGCUGUACUAGUGGUGGGCAUGGCCGUGCAUAUAGCUAGCGAUUAGUUACACUAGUAGAAAACCACCCAUUAGUCCCGGUUCGUAAGGGCCUUUAGUCUCGGUUCAGGAACCGGGACUAAUGGGUCGUUACUAAUACCUCCACCCAUUAGCCCCGGUUCAAACACGAACCGGGACCAAUGUGCCUCCACGUGGCCCUGUGCGGCGAGCCCAGUCAGGGGGCCUUUGGUCCCGGCUGGUGGCUCCAACCGGGACCAAAAGGCAUCCACGCGUCUGCAUUCUAGUGGUUUCUGGUUUUUGUUUUUUUUUUGAAAGGAGGGGGGUUGGGGGUUUUGGGGAGUUAAUUUAGGUGUUUCGUAUAUUGUGUUAACUAGCUAAUUAAUAGAGAGAAGUGUCCUCUCUUAUGUCCGUGCUUGGUCGACGCUACGUAGUAUAUAUACAUAAGUAAUCGAGAGAACCAUUCAGUACAGAAGUUCGUCAUGCAUACCGAGAGAAGUGAUCGAUCGACCUCUCCUUCUCCGAGAGAUUGGUCGAACAACAAGUUUUUUACUGGCUACAUACAUGUACAAUAUGUAUAAGAUCUCUUAAUUACAAACCCAUAGCAUUUGAAAUCAACUUCCACAUGGUAUUCUCCGGCUUUACUGAUGACGUGUUCAAGAAAGAAUCCCGCUAAUUCCUCUUGAAUUGCUUUCAUGCGAUCUGGUUCUAGGAGUUCACCCCGCAUCUGCCACGUCUAAUUAAUUUGAAGAAGGGGGUUAAUUAAUACAUAUAUAUGAAUGAAACUCAACAGAAAAUGAUGGUGUAAUAAAAUGAAAUUGUGAAUAUUAUUGCUUACGCACUUCAUAUUGUCUUCUAGAGUAGCCCCGCUUGUUUCUCAAAGUUGCGUUGUGGAUGAACUCGCACACGUAGUAUCCACAAAAAUCAUUCCCUUCCUCCUGUCACAAGCACUUUACGAGAAACAGAGGUCAAUCAAACUGAUAAUGAAGCAUUAUAAAUGGCAUUGAUGAAAGUAUAGCUAUAGAAUCAACGGGAGAUGCACGCAACUAGCUAGCCAGUAGUACUUACUUUCGGGUAUACAUAUCGCAGCUCCUUCGGCAGUCCCGGAGCUUGUGCGGUGAACUGUUUCCGAACCCUGCAAGACAAAGAAAAUAAUUAUUAUUACUUGAGAUAUCAGGAAAUGAACAAAAAGUUGCCGAUAUGGUGCGAUAAUGAUCGAUUGAACUUACUUGCUGAGCAUUUCAGUCAUGUCCACAUAGGUGCUGGGAUCUUUCCGUCUCGAGUCUAAGACGGUUACUAGUCCACGCUCAAGCUUAAUCUCCAGAAGAAUAUAGUGGUACCUGCGCACGCGUGCAUAACUCAUCAAUUACAUUAACCUCGCUCGAGUAAUAAGGGAAACCGAAUAUGCACACGACAGUAACACUCACGGGCCGUUGUAAGGAAAGAGUAUGGUAUCUUUGUUUUGAUUUUUGAUCAACGAUUGUAGCAAGUUGUCCUCGGCCUCUUCGACGUUCUUUUCAACCAGAAAUACAUCUAUGAUAUUUGUGUUAAUGAACCCAAUAUCAUAAAUUUUUUGUUUUUUGCACUCGACGAUCUUCAAUCUGCAUAAUAUAUUGAGGAUAAUUAAUUAUAAAUACAUGCAAUGAAAGAUCCGAGCUAUAUAUAGAGACUUAAUGUCAGAAAUAGUACUUACAUGCAGUAGCAAAAGACCAUUAAUUUAUCGAGGGCCUUUUGAUUGAAGAACUCAAAGAACUCCUCAAAUGGAACACACAACAGAUCAUUUGAAAUGAGGUCGUGCUCCUCUUUAAUAUUCAAAUACAAACUGUUCGUCCCCUCAGACUCUCUGCAGGUUUUCAUGUACCAAUUAUGGAAUCUUCGCAUCAUUAUUGUCAGAGAUUUUUCAUCUUUGACGAGAGGCUUCCCGUACUCGUAUCUGAAUACGUCCACCUCCAUGAAAUCAGGAAGUGCAUCGUCAGGCAGGUAAUCUUCAAGAUUGCCAUAACCGGCCACCGUCCCCGGAGGAUUAGACACAUUGAGCGGGGGGCACGAUUGCUGUGCUUGUUCGCCGAGCUGGGCAAUUUUUUUCCCCUUUGCUCGUUGUUCUUUUGACCUUUUAUCAUUGACAGUAGUUCCCGACCGCUUGGCUUGGAGAUAUGUCUGUUCAGUAAUGCGCUCAUAGUUGGUUCUCGGCGGAGACUUUGGUGGUUUCCUCAGGGCAUCGAGAGUGCGCUUUGCUUUCACCGGAUCUACCUUCUCCUCCGGAGGUGGAUGUCUCUUUGCUUUCACCCCUUCAAAGAACUCCUUCACGUGGGCCUGCACGAUCGUAUUGUUUUCCUCCUUGGUCCUCUCGUACGGUAACUUCUCUAGAGGCUUUAGAGGUGGACCGUAUCUGUAUUGCCUCUCUCUUCUUGUGCUGCUAGACGCCGGAGCAGACGGAGCGGCUGUGGCGUCUGUCUUCUUCCGUGCUUGCUUAUGAGGCGGAGGAGAAGGACUACGACGCGCCGGAGCAGCCGGGGCGGCGGCGGGUCUCUUCCGCCCUUGCUGGCGAGGCGGAGAGGAGGAGGCGGAGUGCCGCCACAUGCCGGAGAAGGAGGCGGAGUGCCGCCAUGCGUGCCCUGAUCGUCACUCGCCGGAGGAGGAGGCGGUGGAGGAGGCGGAGUGCCGCCACGCGUGCCCUGAUCGUCACUCGCCGGAGGAGGACGCGGUGGAGGAGGCGGAGUGCCCUGACUCGCUGAAAGAGGAGGAGGAGGCGGAGGCGUCCAGUUCAGAAGGUUGAUGAGCUCCUUCUGCCAUAGGCAUGGAGUCUUCAGAGCAGAACCCAGCCUAGUCUCCCCUUCACCGGUAGUGUGCUCAAGCACGAGGUCCUCAAAUCCCUCCGUUAUUUCAUCCACCAUCACCUUAGCAAAUCCUUCUGGAAUUGGCUGGCAGUGAUAAGUUGUGCCGGGUCCACUAGGAUAAACUUGGCCAACAGCCGCCUUGACCUUCAAAUUCAUCCAUCACACAAUAAUGUGGCAAUUUUGAGACUCCGUGAUACCAUCCACGGGAUAGCUGGCAGGAGCCGUCAAGACAUGCUCCGGCUGAAGCAGCUCAGUGGAAGCCACGCUGCUUCUCUGCUGAGAUGGCGGGGUAGCUUCGGGGGAAGCUUCGGCAGGUCGUUUGUUGUGAUCUGCUGCUUCUUGUUCCUCUAGCCCCAUUACCCUUUCGUGCAGCGCCUGCAUUUGGUCCUGCUCCAGUUUCUUCCUCCUCUCGUAGGCUUUGUAAACGCCUGCGUCCAGAAAACCAACCUUCCACGGAAUGGAGCCUGGCGUGCCUCGUGUCCGUCCAGGGUGCUCGGGAUUCCCAAGGGCCAUUGUGAGCUCGUCCUUCUCCCUGUUUGGAAGGAACGUCCCUCGUUGUGCUGCAUCGAUAUAGUGUCGAAGGUUCUUGACUGGUGUUUGCAGUUGCUCGUCCGUCCACUGACGCUUCCCUGUUACAGGGUCCAAGGUUCCGCCAGCCCCGAAGACCCAAGUCCGGCAACGGUCUGGCCAGCGCAUUGUCUCUGGUUCGAUUCCUUUUUCAAGCAGAUCAUGCUCAGCCUUGGACCACUUAGGCCGGGCUUUGAGGUAGCCACCUGACUCCGUGCGAUGGUGAAGCUUCUUCUUCGCAGCAUUUUUCUUGUUUGUCUCCGACAUCGUCUUACUCUUUUCCGAUGUCUUGUGGGCCACAAAUGCGGGCCAGUGAUCUUUGAUCUUCUCAUAUUUGCUGAUGAAUUCUGGUGUCUUUUUUUUCUCGAGAAACUGGUUCAGCUCUUUCCUCCACCUCCUCAUUAGGCUUGCCAUCUUCUUAAGAGCACAAGACUUGAUUAAUUGCUCUUUAACUGGCUUCUCCGGAUCCUCCUCUGGCGGUAGGGUGAAAUUUGCCUUCAGCUCAGUCCAAAGAUCUUCUUUCUGCAUAUCAUUGACAUAAGACACCUCAGGGUCUUCAUCCUUAGCAGGCUUAUACCAUUGCUGGAUGCUGAUCGGGAUCUUGUCCCUAACAAGAACCCCGCACUGAGCAGAAAAUGCCUUCCUUGUCCGGAUGGGUUCAAUCGGUUCGCCGUCGGGCGCGAUUUCUAUGAUCUCAAACUUUUCAUCCGAGAUCAACUUUUUCUUCGGGCCUCGUCUCCUUACCGAAGUUGUGCUCGAUCCGGAGGGCUAGAAAUUAUAAGGAAGAAAGACGACAGUAAUUAAUAUGUGUACAUAUACCAAAACAAUGGAUGCAUCAAUUAACUAGUCAGCACGGGCUUAACUAAUAUAUAUAUACCUGGCCGGACUCGGUUCGGUGACCGGAGCAGUCAGCACGGUCUCCUUGUACCUCCAUUGUGUCACCGGAGCCAUCAUGAACAUAGUCCUCCUCUUGUACCGGCAUUAAUGGGUCGAAGCCAUCAUAAACAUAGCCCUCUUCUUCAUCCAGUCCUUCCAGCUGACCAUCGGUGUCGAUGAGAAAUGACGCAACAUCAUCACUUCCAUUUGCGAUUAUGUCCCCCAACAUCGCUUCUGUUUCUUCGUCUCGGGAGUGCUCCAUAGUUUCUGCAAAUAUUUACAACAUGUCAAUUAUUAUUCAAACAUGGUACAAAUGGAUAUAUAUAUAUAUAUAUAUAUAUAUAUAUAUAUAUAUAUAUGAAAAUGGAUUGGUACUCCUAGGAGUACAUACUCUCACCUACACCCGUCAUCGUUGGAAACAUUCAUCCCGCUAACUACUAAAAAAAGAGCUAACUAACUACGGAUAAAGCCUUUGGAUUUAAAAAUUAGUUGAACCGCUUCCUUUUUUUUCAGCUCUCGUAGGCGUGCCUUCCAGGGAUUCCAUUUGAAACGGCGUUCUCAUCUCUUGCCAGCACCCAUGAACAUAAAAAAACAGAGCAUCGGCUCGCCUCCGCCCCGCCGACUGACCGGAAGACUUGGUCGACAUGGCCGACGAUGAUCCCCGUGCUUCUUCCCUCGCAAACUAGGCUUCAACCACCACGUCCAUCAAUCAGAGGAAGAUUGAUUCAUCAUCUGUAGUUUGCGAGGGUACGUGCAAUUGAUGUUUCCCGAUUUUUCUGUUCGGCUACCACAACCGUGUUCAUGUUCCCGCUGACCCCUUGAUCCAUUCCUGUCCAGUAUGUCAUCGUCCGAGAAGAAAAUAGGACGGAGAUGAUUGAUCGGCCAGAUUGAUCGGCCAAGUCUACUAGUACCACUGGUGGAAAAAAGGCCUUUGGUCGCGGUUCGCAACUGCCAUUAGUCGCGGUUGCGCAACCGCGACCAAAUAAGCGCGACUAAAGCCCCCCACCUUUAGUCGCGGCUGCUUAAGAACCGCGACUAAAGGCCCGUCCAUGUGGGCGCCAGGCGGCCGUCGGGACGGAGGACCUUUAGUCGCGGUUCUUCUGGCCAACCGCGACUAAAGGCCGCCACAGGUUUAGGGUUUUAGCCCCCCCCCUAAACCUGUUUUCUGUUUAAUUUGUAUUGUUUUAUUUCUUUUGUGCUUUAUUUUAAUUUUGAAGGAGUUUCAUAUAUUCUACGGUACUACAUACAUGCAUAUGAAUGUACAAUUUCAAAUAAAUUUGAAAUUAGAACCAAAAAGAAUUCAAGAGGAAUAUACAAUAUAUAUUCAAUAUCAUCGGAUGACCAUAUACAAUUUUGAACAAGUUUCCAUACAUGAUUUAAUGCAUAUAAAGUUCUACGUCCUCGUAAUAGUGUUCUCCUUUAGGAUGGAGGACUUCCCUGCUGAACCAUCCAGCUAGUUCCUCUUGAAGUGGUCGGAAGCGAGCUUCUGGACUAAGCAUCCACCGGAGGUUAUUCCUCUGAGCAUUGGUAUCACUCGGAACCCGCUCAGAGGUGUAUCUCCGGAUCAUCUCACAGACAUAGUAUCCACAUAGAUUGGUCUCCGGUGGCUGAAUAUCCCCAGCAUUCUUAGCCACUGACCUUUUGAAUUCUAGCUCUUUUUUGAAUUCACCGACCUUUGUAUCUACGAACCGUCUCCAAACCCUACGAGGCAAAGAAAAUUAAAUGAACAAGAGAGUUAUUAGUUACUUGAUAUUAGGAAAUGAACGAAAUAGGCCGAUUGAUAUAGAGCGCAAAUGAAUGAAAAUAAUUACUUCUGCAGCAUUCUUCUCAUGCCGCCCCAAAGCUUUGGAUCCAUAUUCACAGAGUCGUGGACGAGACAUUCUGAGGUGUUAACUUUAAUUACUAGCAGAAUCCAGUGGAACCUGCGGACACGAUACAUGCACAGUACGUCAUGCAUAACUCAUCGAUUAGCCGGCCACAUACCAUGCAUGGAGUAAACAAAAGAGAAUGUGCUCAAGACACAAACACUCACCCAAAAUGGUAAGGAAAUAGAAUAUCACUUUUGAGUUCCUGCUUUGUAAGAAACUGCCACAGGUCUACCUCCACGUCGGCGGGGUGACGCUCCAACACAUGUCCAUUAACGAUGUGUGGGUCAAUGAACCCAACAUCAUGGAUGUUCCUUACUCUGCAUUCCUUAAUCUUCAUUCUGCAUGUAUAAUAGCGGACACAACAAUAUAGUUAGGACAUAUAUAUAGUGCAGGCAAUAUGAACGAGAUGGGGUAGAAAUUAAUAAAUCACUUACAGAACGUAGCAACUGAUGAUAGAUUUAUCGAGCUCGCGCAGAUUGAAAAGCUGGAACAAUUCACUCAGUUCAAUUUGUACAUAGUAAUGUUUGAAGUGAUGCUCAUGUCUAACUUCCGCAUAAAUAUAUUCUUUGGCGUUUUUAUUUUUUAUGUAACCCUUGUACCAUUUCAGCAGACCUUUCAUUUGUGGAGGUAGAUCCUUUUCCUGCGCAGGCUCGACGAGAGGCCCAUUCUUGACAUAUGUAAUUACUACCUCCUUCACUGGCGCCUCAUCAAGGCCUAACAGUUCACGAAGAGUAAUACCUAAGUUGGCCGCUUGUUCUAUGGCACUCGUUACAGUCAAUCCCUGUGCUGCCGCAGCUUGUAUGAUCUCGGGGGCAUCCGGACAGAAGGCUUCCACUAUAAGCGGGGCAAUCGAUUGUUUACUUUGUUCCCCGAGCUGGGCAACUUGUUUCCCGCUUUUUUUACUUUCGGCCUUCUCCCGCUCUUUGUUCUCCUUGAACAUGAGUGCCUGCCUGCGAAGUUCACGUGCAUAGUCGUUAGGCAGAUUCUUCGCGGCUUGGGACGGUGUGCUCAAAAAUGACUUAGCCCACUUGUUUUGCUCAUCAGAAAAUACUGGCUUGGGCUCGAGCUCUCUUUUCUUCUUGCAGUCCGCCUUCCAUUUCUCCAAAUCAGCAGCCGCGGCCGCGUCGACUUCCUCGGCACUACGUUCCCAAGGCCUUGUGGGGAGAGGCUUCAGUGAUGGCUCCGGUACCUUUGUGGUCUUAGGUACAUAAGGGUCCGGGUUAAUAAUCCAGGACUGCUUCUGCUUCUUUGCCGGAGGUGGAUUGGGGGGCGGCGUCUGAUCACCCGCCGGACGAGGACUGGGGGGCGGCGGCUGAUCACCCGCCGGACGUUGUGGACUGGGGGGCGGCGUCGGCUGACGUGACGGAGGUGUAGGUGAACCGCCACCACCACCACCACCACCACCACCGCCACCGCCACCACCACCACCGUAGGGGGGUGGACUUGUUGUCCUUGGCGCCUCGCCUGGAAACUUGAUAAACUUCUUUUGCCAUAGAAUGAAAUGGCGCUUGACAUCUCCAAGUCUUUUCUCCCCUUCAGGUGUAGCAAUGUCAAUCUCCAGGUCCUCAAACCCUUGGACUAUGUCCUCCACCGUGACACGAGCAUAGCCAUCUUGAAUGGGGUUGUUGUGGUGGAGUGCUCCAGGUAAACAUGGUAAAGCACUGCCGAUGGCUACCUUCAUGGACAUGUUCCCGAUAGGAUAAUACAGAUGACAUUCUUCUCCGCUGCUGGCUUCCGAGAUCUGCUGGAUGAUCUUCAUGCUGCACCCGAGCUGCAUCUCUUUCGGCUACUAGUACACUCAUGGUUUUCUUCAUCACAUCCAUUUCCGAUGCCAACCGCGCCACAACAUCUGCUUCCCGAUCCACCUUUCUCUUACGGCUUCUGUAACCGUACGGGUCAUCGUUCUGGGGGAACCCUAUUUUCCACGGAAUGUGCCCCAUGCCUCGUACACGUCCUCCGUGUUCAGGAUUCCCGAGGGAUUUUGUCAGCGCGUCGUUCUCUCUGUUGAACUUGAUCUUCCCCUGUUGAGCAUCCCUCAUUGCGUUAAUAAGGGCUUGGGUGGGUUUAAUUAAUUUGCCCCGGUAAACACACUCCCCUGUCUCCGGGUUCAGCGUUCCCCCAUGCCCGUACCACCAACUUUUGGCCCUUGGGUCCCAUCCCUCCGUACCUGCACGGAUUCCUCGCGCCCUCAGCUCGUUCUCCAUCUUCUCCAACCUAGGCACCCAAAUGCGAUACCCUCCUGGCCCCAUAACAUGAUUGUACUCCUUCUUAGCCGCAUUUUCCUUAUUUUUUCGAUAUUUGAAUGAACUGCUCCGAUUUCUUUUGCUUCACAAAUUCUGGCCAAUCAUGUUUCAGUUUCUCAUAUUGUCCUUUGAAAUCCGGAGUCUUGUUCUGCUUGACAAAGUCAUGGGCUAGAUUUUGCUUGAAUUUCCGGAAUGCGUCGGCCAUCUUAUGAAGAGCGAACUGUUUGACUAGCCUCCUCCUCUCCUUGUUUUCUUCAAUCUUGUUACCCUCCUCAUCGAAUUUGUUGUAUUCCGGAGGUAGAACGAAAUGUUCCAUAAGCUUCUUGAAGCAAUCUUUUUUUGUUCUCUUAUCGACAAAAGUGAAACCAUCAAUUCGUGCCUUCUUUGGCUCAUUCCACUCCUGGACGGUGAUCGAGACGUUGUCUCUAACAAUGGCUCCGCAUUGGCUGACAAACUUGGUGGCGUUCUUGCGGGGCUCCAGCGGCCUGCCGGUUGCACUGUCGACAACCUCGAUGGUGCAUGUUUCUCCUUGUUUCAUCGUCUUGGUUGCGCCACGCUUUGACGACGUACUCGAUUGUUUCGACGAUCCGGCCGAGGGCUAAAAUAAGAAAGAGUCGCGCGCGUUAGUACACACAUAUUUAUUCAAAUCAGUUAGUUUGUAUCACCAGAGGCUCAAUGUAUAUAUAUACCUCGGCGCCGGAGGUGGUUGCUACAUCCAUUUGAAGAUCGUCGUUUAUCGACGUUUGUUCGGCAUCAUCUUGCUGACGGCGCCCUUCAUCUUCACCGUCAAGGUUCAGAUAAGAAGAGAUAUCAUCUUCUUCUUCUCCGGUCGGCACAUAUAGAAUAUCGCCGUUUAUGAUGCCGAACAUAUGUGCUUCACCGUCCGGAUCAUAGUUGUCCAUAAUCGGGUCAGCUCUAUCGUCCGCCAUUAUGUCAGUCCUGAAAACAUGUAGUAAAAACAAAUUAAUUAAGUGAAGAAGGGGGGCGGUGGCGGUGGCGGUGGCGAAAGGGUGGUGGCAAAAGGAGGGGGCGAGGAAGGGGUGGGAGAGGGUGUCGCGGUAGAGCGCGAGACGGGGCGGCACGAACGUCAUUUUGUGAAGAAACUUUGCAAGCAAUUAAACAUUUGUCAAUGUUUGGUAAAAAAAAUACAGGUAGCGUCUGUUGCUCCUAAUGAUUGGAAACGGUUUCCAAUUGCCAACGAGGAUUUAGAUCGACUACUACUACUAGUUGCAUUGCUCCCCAUCGGGACGAUGUUGCUCCUAAUCCCCUCCUUUGGAAUCUAUAGUACUAGUGCAUACUAGCUGGCCGUUGACCGUUGUUGCUCAUCGCGUUUUCUCAAAGUCCACUGAUUUUGCUCAGGGCCAGUUCGGAGAUUUUGCUGGUCCACUGAUUUUGGAUCAACGCCGGGAUGGCAUGGGCGCUCGGCGAUGAUGCGAAGUAGACUUGCACAGGCAACGUGAUGUACAUGGAUGUGUCAGUACGGUACGCUCGGCGAUGCCACGGUAUGGAUGACUUCUCGAGUGGAGAUUGGAGAACCAAGUUCGCCGGUGAAACGUCGGCUCCUGAUCAGAUCUGGGGGUCGCGAACUAGCGAUUGGAUCUCGGAAGGGAGUUAGGAAAGCGAACAGACGUGCGUUCAAGGCUACAACUUUUUUUUUCAGGAUCUUGAAAACAGCUACGCGUUCAAGGCCCGGUCCUGAUUUUGCUCAUCUACCCGGGGCGGCGUUCGCACUGCGCGAGGGCCGACUCCGCGGGGUGCUGCCGCGUCGCCUCGUCGACGCUGAGCGAGUUGGCGAGGACCGUGUACAUGGUCGGCACGUCGCCGGCGGAGAGGGUCAUGCUGUCCCCGACCAGCGGCGGCCACGGACGGGGAGGGCGGCGGCGGUGACUGGGAAGGAAUGAUAGGAGAGGAAGGAAGGUCGCGUGGGGUUGAGGGCGGNNNNNNNNNNGGCGAGGAGGGACUCCUUGGCGGAGAGGCGCUCCGUCUCGCGGGCGUAGCUGGCAGCGGGCUCCCACGCCUGCGCGUACACGUCGUCCCGCCGUGCGUUCAAGGCUACAACUUUUUUUUUUAGGAUCUUGAAAACAACUACGCGUUCAAGGCCGGCCCGGUCCUGAUUUUGCUCAUCUACCCGGGGCGGCGUUCGCACUGCGCGAGGGCCGACUCCGCGGGGUGCUGCCGCGUCGCCUCGUCGACGCUGAGCGAGUUGGCGAGCACCGUGUACAUGGUCGGCACGUCGCCGGCGGAGAGGGUCAUGCUGUCCCCGACCAGCGGCGGCCACGGACGGGGAGGGCGGCGGCGGUGACUGGGAAGGAAUGAUCGGAGAGGAAGGAAGGUCGCGUGGGGUUGAGGGCGGGCGAGCGAGGCGGCAGUACCGAGGCUGGCCGGCGGCGCGCGCGCGGUGGGCGAGGGCGACGGCGGGCGGCGUCGAGGGCGAGGGCGACGGCGGGCGGCGUCGAGGGCGCGGCAGAGACGAACAGGCGAGAAACGGCGGGCGGCGUCGAGGGAGCCUUGUAUUUAUAGCCCCCCCNNNNNNNNNNNNNNNNNNNNNNNNNNNNNNNNNNNNNNNNNNNNNNNNNNNNNNNNNNNNNNNNNNNNNNNNNNNNNNNNNNNNNNNNNNNNNNNNNNNNNNNNNNNNNNNNNNNNNNNNNNNNNNNNNNNNNNNNNNNNNNNNNNNNNNNNNNNNNNNNNNNNNNNNNNNNNNNNNNNNNNNNNNNNNNNNNNNNNNNNNNNNNNNNNNNNNNNNNNNNNNNNNNNNNNNNNNNNNNNNNNNNNNNNNNNNNNNNNNNNNNNNNNNNNNNNNNNNNNNNNNNNNNNNNNNNNNNNNNNNNNNNNNNNNNNNNNNNNNNNNNNNNNNNNNNNNNNNNNNNNNNNNNNNNNNNNNNNNNNNNNNNNNNNNNNNNNNNNNNNNNNNNNNNNNNNNNNNNNNNNNNNNNNNNNNNNNNNNNNNNNNNNNNNNNNNNNNNNNNNNNNNNNNNNNNNNNNNNNNNNNNNNNNNNNNNNNNNNNNNNNNNNNNNNNNNNNNNNNNNNNNNNNNNNNNNNNNNNNNNNNNNNNNNNNNNNNNNNNNNNNNNNNNNNNNNNNNNNNNNNNNNNNNNNNNNNNNNNNNNNNNNNNNNNNNNNNNNNNNNNNNNNNNNNNNNNNNNNNNNNNNNNNNNNNNNNNNNNNNNNNNNNNNNNNNNNNNNNNNNNNNNNNNNNNNNNNNNNNNNNNNNNNNNNNNNNNNNNNNNNNNNNNNNNNNNNNNNNNNNNNNNNNNNNNNNNNNNNNNNNNNNNNNNNNNNNNNNNNNNNNNNNNNNNNNNNNNNNNNNNNNNNNNNNNNNNNNNNNNNNNNNNNNNNNNNNNNNNNNNNNNNNNNNNNNNNNNNNNNNNNNNNNNNNNNNNNNNNNNNNNNNNNNNNNNNNNNNNNNNNNNNNNNNNNNNNNNNNNNNNNNNNNNNNNNNNNNNNNNNNNNNNNNNNNNNNNNNNNNNNNNNNNNNNNNNNNNNNNNNNNNNNNNNNNNNNNNNNNNNNNNNNNNNNNNNNNNNNNNNNNNNNNNNNNNNNNNNNNNNNNNNNNNNNNNNNNNNNNNNNNNNNNNNNCGAGGAAGACCAAUCGGCUUAAGGUCAGGAACAAAGUCAACACAAAACUCAAUUACCUCCUCAUUUCCAUAGCCCUUGGCGAUGCUUCCUUCUGGCCUAGCACGGUUACGAACAUAUUUCUUUAAUACUCCCAUGAACCUCUCGAAGGGGAACAUAUUGUGUAGAAAUACAGGACCGAGAACGAAAAUCUCUUCGACUAGGUGAACCAGGAGGUGCGUCAUAAUAUUGAAGAAGGAUGGCGGGAACACCAACUCGAAACUGACAAGACAUUGGAUCACAUCGUUCUGUAACCAUGGUAGAACUUCUGGAUUGAUUACCUUCUGAGAGAUUGCAUUGAGGAAUGCACAUAGCUUCACAAUGGCUACUCGAACAUUUUCCGGCAGGAGCCCCCUCAAAGCAAUCGGAAGCAAUUGCGUCAUAAUCACGUGGCAGUCGUGAGACUUCAGGUUUUGGAACUUUUUCUCCGCCAUGUUUAUUAUUCCUUUUAUAUUGGACGAGAAUCCAGACGGGACCUUCAUACUGCUCAGGCAUUCAAAAAAGAUGACCUUCUCUUCUUUGGUCAGAGCGUAGCUGGCACGACCUUGAAACCAUUCCGGAUGCCGGUCAUCAGGGUCUUUCAAACGUUGCUGGUCCUGCCGUGCUUCCUUUGUAUCAUUUGUCUUCCCAUACACGCCCAAGAAGCUUAGGAGGUUCACGCAAAUAUUCUUCGUAACGUGCAUCACGUCGAUUGCAGAGCGGACAUCUAGGACUUUCCAAUAUUCUAGCUCCCAGAAUAUAGAUUUCUUCUUCCACAUGGCUGCGUUCCCGUCUGCUCCCUUCGGAACUGAUUGUCCGCCAGGACCCUUUCCAAAGAUGACUUUCAAAUCCUUGACCAUAUCAAAUACCUCAGCACCAGUGCAUUCCGCAGGCUUCGGCCGGUGAUCUGCCUUGCCGUUGUAAUGCUUGCCUUUCUUUCUUACUGGAUGAAUUUUCGGAAGAAAUCGAUGAUGCCCAAGGUACACGUUCUUCUUACAAUUUGGCAAAUGUACACUUUCAGUCUCAUGUAAGCAGUGCGUGCAUGCAUUGUAUCCCUUAUUUGACAGUCCCGAAAGGUUACUAAGAGCAGGCCAAUCGUUGAUGGUUACGAAAAGCAACGCUCGUAGGUCAAAUUCCUCUUGUUUGUGCUCAUCCCACACACGGACACCACCCCACAGCUGUAAAAGUUCAUCAACUAAUGGCCUUAGGUACACAUCGAUGUCGUUGCCGGGUUGCUUCGGACCUUGGAUGAGCACUGGCAUCAUAAUGAACUUCCGCUUCAUGCACAACCAAGAAGGAAGGUUGUAGAUGCAUAGAGUCACGGGCCAGGUGCUAUGGCUGGAGCUCUGCUCGCCAAAAGGAUUCAUGCCAUCCGUACUUAGAGCAAAUCUUAUGUUCCUUGCGUCAGCUGCAAAAUCUUUGAACCAUCUGUCGAUCUUUCUCCAUUGCGUUCCAUCUGCGGUGUGUCUCAACUCCCCGUCCGACUUACGGUCCUCUUUGUGCCAUCGCAACAACUUGGCAUGCUCUUUGUUCCUGAACAGACGUUUCAACCGUGGUAUUAUAGGAGCAUACCACAUCACCUUGGCGGGAACCCUCUUCCUGGGUUUCUGGCCCUCAACAUCGUCACCAGGGUCAUCGCCUCUGAUCUUAUAACGCAAUGCAGUGCAUAUCGGGCAUUCAUUCAAAUUCUCGUAUUCACCGCGGUAGAGGAUGCAGUCGUUGAUGCAUGCAUGUAUCUUCAGAACCUCUAAACCUAGAGGGCAGACAACCUUCUUUGCUUCGUACGUACUGGCGGGCAACUCGUUAUCCUUUGGAAACAUACUCUUCAACAUUUUCAGCAAGUUUUCAAAUGCCGAGUCAGCUACACCUGCCUCUGCCUUCCAUUUCAGCAAAUCCAGUGUGCAGCCCAGCUUUUUCAGACCAUCAUCGCAUCCGGGGUACAGCGCCUUUCUGUGAUCCUCUAACAUGCGAUCCAAAUUCUCCCUCUCCUUUUCAGUUUCGCAGCGUCUCCGUGCAUCAGCAAUGGUCCGACCAAGAUCAUCAACGGGAUCAUCACGUGCCUCUUCUUCACCUUCCCCUUCACCUUCAGCAUCCUCCAUGAAAGUAUCACCGAGAUGAGCAAGAUAGCUUUCAUCGAUGAAAUCAUCCCCUUCUUCAUCUUCUUCCAUUAUAACCCCUCUUUCUCCAUGCUUGGUCCAACAAUUAUAGCUUGGCAUGAAACCGUGCCGAAGCAGAUGCAUGUGAACAUCUCUUGAGGAAGAGUAACCCUUCUGAUUCUUACAGAUAACACAUGGACAGAUAACAAAAAACCCCUGCUUGUUCGCAUUAGCCACUACGAGGAAAUCUUUCAAACCCGUAGUGAACUCGCCGGAGAGUCGGUUACCGUACAUCCAUUGCCGAUUCAUCUGCAUUAUUAUAAUAUAAAAUAUAUAAUUAACCAUCAUGCAUUUGUUAAACUAACUAGCUACAAACAAUAUAAAUUAAACAAUGAACUGCACACAUGCAUAUUUUAUCAAUGACACAUCAAAGGUUCAUCAAGUUGCUAACCGCGAUCGAGGAGUGUGGCUCCAACACUUCAUGUCAUGUUUGUUUCAUGCUCUUGGGGCAUUUCAUCAAACACCUUAUGUGCAUAAGAGGAACCAAAAGCAAACCUACACCCACUUGUGAAGAGAAUGGCUCCAAAUGGCUAAGUGUUGGCUGCUGGAUGGGUAUAUAUAGGGGAGGGGCUUUAGUUGCGGUUGGCUUGGCAAACCGUGACUAAAGGUGCCCGAAGGCCUUUAGUCGCGGUUGUCCUGGCCAACCGCGACUAAAGACCCUCACGUGCGCCAGCUGGCCACCGAGCGCCCUGAGCCCAGGCCUUUGGUCGCGGUUCACCUCCAGAACCGCGACUAAAGGUCCCAUUAGUCGCGGUUCCUACAGCUUCGCGACUUAUGGGGCUGGACGGAAGCUUGUUUUUCCACCAGUGUACUAGGUAAGGUGUCGUUCCAGUCAAAUUGAUGAAUUCAUCUUUUGUUACCUUUGUUAUAGGAAUAUAGGCUGCAUUUAUUAGUCAUAUCGAGCUCUCAAGGAGUCAAGAUCUUGUUAACUUACUAAUAAUUUCUAUAUACCUGCAGCGUUAUGGCCUAUGGUGCAGGGCAAAGACAACAAGGACGACAUGCGGCGGCGACGUGGCCAUGGUGAAGCUACUUCGUCCGGCUACCCCAUGGUUGGCGUGUCUGCCGUCCUCUCAAUCUAUCACACGUACGUCCGGUGCAUGCAUGGUGUCGGGCCGAAGAGCACACAAAUCUACAUCCAGGCCCUGGGCACUAGCAACCGCUGAUGCACUUAGCCACUUACCAAUGUAUUCCUAUUGUACGUAUAUAAUAAAGUGGUUAGUACGUCGACGUAGAAAUAGUUAGUAGCUUGCUUUGCACUCACACAAUCGAGUCAUGAUUGUUACUGAUGAUCAAAAUUUUAUGUAUUUUUUAUGCCGGAUGGGUUUACUACUUCUUCUUCGGUUGUAUAUAAAGCUUCCAAAAAAUUAGUAUAUAAUCCUCCAGAAUAAAUCAGUAUAUAGUCCUCCAAAAAAAUGAGUAUAUACACUUUGUAACGCAGCAUAUACCCCAUAAAAAAUGUAGUAUAACGCUGCAGAAAUAAGACAUACUCCUUUUCUAGUUGCAUAUACCCAAUCACAAAACUACACUGAAAUAAUUAGUAGUACAUACUCCUUUUCUAUUUUGGAAAGGAACGUCCAUUUCCCUCUUCAACAAGUGCUUUAUUUUUCUAGGGGUAGCCUUGUGUUUUUACUGCCAUGCGACGACAUUACAAAAUGUAUUACACCCAUUAUUCAUCUAAUUUUUUAUAUACCCUUUUAUGCAUACUUUGAAUUUAUCACUCAUUUGGGCGACCAGCCCGCUCUCUCAUUGCAGCGACUCGACUCUCACAUAAAGCCAGUAUAUACUCACGUAAAAAAAAGCAGUAUAGACUCCCUUACUGAAAAAGAACUAUAUACUCCCCUACCAAAAAAAGUAGUAUAUGCUCCAUUACCAAAAAGGCAGUAUAUACUCAUAUACAAAAGGUGGUAUAUACUGUCUUCCCAAAGUAGUAUAUAUCUUUUUCCUUGCGUUAGAGAAGUAGUAUAACCAGAACAGAUAGUUCAUACUUGUGUGCUGAAAAAAGUAGUAUAUAAAUAUAUAUGUAAGAGUGAGUAUGGUAGAUAUGUAUCGGUCCUUACAAAAAAAAUCAACCACUGUUAUUGUUUAUUUGCACCGAACUAACCUUAUCUGUAUGCUAGGAUCCUUGAAUCUCUCAAUCUGUUGAUGCACAUGCAUGCGUCGGCCGGUGGAGCAAUUAGCAACUAGAUCUAAUAACUGCCAACCUGUUCAGUCCAUGGGAGUACAUACUCCUGGGAGUAUAAAAGAGGAGUCUAUAUAUAUAUAUAUAUAUAUAUAUAUAUACGGUGGCGCUAUUGUGUGCGUGAGCGCAGAUUUACUUAUCGUGCGCGCCGGUCAUUGCGUGCGCCACUCGUAUUCCUAAUGAUGGUAAAAUUCCUGGCAGAAAUAGUAAUAUAAUUUAAUUGGUUACUGCCUGCCACCACCACGGUAGCGAUUUAAUUGGUUAGGUCUACUAGUAAAAAUGCAUAGCAGAAAAAGUAAAAGAGCUAAAAGUAUUACUGUUGGAUGCAUCGGUCCCCGCUUCGACUGCCUACUAGUAAAACACCUCAUAAAAGUAGUAAUAGGAUUACCCUACACGCAUCAGCCCCUUGCCAUACUUGUGAACAGGUAAACUUCAUGUGAAGAAUAGUACUGGAUGGUAACUGUGUUACCAUAGAACGGACACUUGCUAUUAGCUAGCUACAUGGUAAUUUUAUUACCGCUAACUUUCAUCGGUUUAAUACCUAAUCAUGUUACCACUUAUUUUCUUAGUAGUAUUGGAUGGUAACUAUGUUACCACAUGACGAAAAAAUUGCUAUUAGCUAAUAGCUACACGGUAAUUGCAUUACCACUCAUGUGUAGAAGCAUGAUACACGGUCUUUUUUCCAAUUACGUUUGGUCGAAGACGCAAGGGUUUGCUAAUCGCUAAAGUGGGGUCGAAGCAGUAAUAAGUUUCCAACCGUUACCAUGUUUCUUAAGGUAUGUUACGUAUGGGCGCAAGACAUGUUCUUUAAUAGGAGCGGGACAACGGUUGCUUAGACGGAGAAUGGCGCGCAGUCUGGCCGGAGCGUAGAAUUAGACUUCUGCGCUCAGGCUUAGUUUAGCACGUCUAUAUAUAUAUAUAUAUAUAUAUAUAUAUAUAUACAUACAUGUUAGUGGCCUCGACGCUGCUUCUCUAGGGUUUGGGGUCGCCUCGACACAACGCUUCAAGGGUUUGGGGUGGCCUCGACGACAACGUUUUUUUAACUUGAUAAAUUUGGGUGGCCUCGAGAGAGUUAAUUUGUCGGGUAGGGGCGCGGCGGGAGGGGGUAGGAGACCAACAUCGUUUUCUCUCUAGGGUUUGGGUGUCCUCGAGAGUUAUCGGGGAGGGGGUAUCGGUACCACCCCCUAGCUCGUGUUGAAGUUUCUUCUUUCUCCUCUAUUCCUUUCUUUCUUCUUCUCCUCUUCUUUUUCUUCUUCUCCCUCGAGAAAGGAAAAUANNNNNNNNNNNNNNNNNNNNNNNNNNNNNNNNNNNNNNNNNNNNNNNNNNNNNNNNNNNNNNNNNNNNNNNNNNNNNNNNNNNNNNNNNNNNNNNNNNNNNNNNNNNNNNNNNNNNNNNNNNNNNNNNNNNNNNNNNNNNNNNNNNNNNNNNNNNNNNNNNNNNNNNNNNNNNNNNNNNNNNNNNNNNNNNNNNNNNNNNNNNNNNNNNNNNNNNNNNNNNNNNNNNNNNNNNNNNNNNNNNNNNNNNNNNNNNNNNNNNNNNNNNNNNNNNNNNNNNNNNNNNNNNNNNNNNNNNNNNNNNNNNNNNNNNNNNNNNNNNNNNNNNNNNNNNNNNNNNNNNNNNNNNNNNNNNNNNNNNNNNNNNNNNNNNNNNNNNNNNNNNNNNNNNNNNNNNNNNNNNNNNNNNNNNNNNNNNNNNNNNNNNNNNNNNNNNNNNNNNNNNNNNNNNNNNNNNNNNNNNNNNNNNNNNNNNNNNNNNNNNNNNNNNNNNNNNNNNNNNNNNNNNNNNNNNNNNNNNNNNNNNNNNNNNNNNNNNNNNNNNNNNNNNNNNNNNNNNNNNNNNNNNNNNNNNNNNNNNNNNNNNNNNNNNNNNNNNNNNNNNNNNNNNNNNNNNNNNNNNNNNNNNNNNNNNNNNNNNNNNNNNNNNNNNNNNNNNNNNNNNNNNNNNNNNNNNNNNNNNNNNNNNNNNNNNNNNNNNNNNNNNNNNNNNNNNNNNNNNNNNNNNNNNNNNNNNNNNNNNNNNNNNNNNNNNNNNNNNNNNNNNNNNNNNNNNNNNNNNNNNNNNNNNNNNNNNNNNNNNNNNNNNNNNNNNNNNNNNNNNNNNNNNNNNNNNNNNNNNNNNNNNNNNNNNNNNNNNNNNNNNNNNNNNNNNNNNNNNNNNNNNNNNNNNNNNNNNNNNNNNNNNNNNNNNNNNNNNNNNNNNNNNNNNNNNNNNNNNNNNNNNNNNNNNNNNNNNNNNNNNNNNNNNNNNNNNNNNNNNNNNNNNNNNNNNNNNNNNNNNNNNNNNNNNNNNNNNNNNNNNNNNNNNNNNNNNNNNNNNNNNNNNNNNNNNNNNNNNNNNNNNNNNNNNNNNNNUGAAAACACUUUUUUUUGUUUUCUUUCUUGCUUUAUUUAUUUUAUUUUGUUUCUACUUGCAAUAAAAUACUUAUUGUUGUUUUUUUGUUUUGUUUUCUGCAUUAUUUAUUUUCUUUUGUUUUUUGCUUUAUUUUUUAAUUCUUUUUGCUUUUAGUUUUAGGAAAAUUAUAAACUUUCUAUUAGUGCCAUUACUUUUCAAAUUUGAAAACACUUUUUUGUUUUUUAGUUUUCUUUCUUGCUUUAUUUAUUUUAUUUUGUUUCUACUUACAACAAAAUACUUAUUGUUGCUAUUUUUAAUUAUUACGAAGGCCAAACCAUAAGACAUUAAAGCAUUUCAAAUGAACUCUGAAAAAGUUGAAAGUUGGCAUGGUAUCAUAAAUUGACCCACACAUAGCAUGUGCAUGUACAAAACGGACAAUGUUAUCAUACUCGUCAGUUACAAAGUUGGCAUGGUAUCAUCAUAAUAGUUGCGGGAGAAAGUCUUCACUUUUUCUUCGCUUGUGUCAUUUGCUUAUUGCGCCGUAACCAUGGAUAAUCUUCAUCGUUUAUCAGGAUGCUGGGGUCAGCCUUGACUUUAAAGGGAGGAAUUUCAUGAAACUUUUCAUAAUCUUCAGACAUGUCUGUCUUGUCCUCCUCUCCCACGAUGUCCCUUUUUCCUGAAAGAACUAUGUGGCGCUUUGGCUCAUCGUAUGAUGUAUUCGCUUCCUUAUCUUUUCUCUUUCUUGGUCUGGUAGACAUGUCCAUCACAUAGAUAACCUGUGCCACAUCAUUGGCUAGGACGAACGGUUCGUCAGUGUACCCAAGAUUUUUCGGAUCCACUGUUGUCGUUCCGUACUGUGGGUCUACAUGUACCCCGCCUCCUGACAGAUUGACCCAUUUGCACUUAAACAAAGGGACCUUAAAAUCAUGUCCUUAGUCAAGUUCCCAUAUGUCCACUAUGUAACCAUAAUAUGUGUCCUUUCCCCUCUCGGUUGUUGCAUCAAAGCGGACACCGCUGUUUUGGUUGGUGCUCUUUUGAUCUUGGUUAAUCGUGUAAAAUGUCUUCCCAUUUAUCUCAUAUCCUUUCCAAAUCGUAACAGUCGAAGAUGGUCCCCUGGAUAACAAGUACAUCUCAUCACAAACAGCGUUGUCACCUCUGAUACGUGCUUCCAACCAACUGCUGAAAGUCCUGAUGUGUUCACAUGUAAUUCAGUCGUCGCACUGCUCCGGGUGUUUGGAGCGCAGACUGUUCUUGUGUUCAUCCACAUACGGGGUCACCAAGGUAGAGUUCUGUAGAACUGUGUAGUGUGCUUGAGACCAAGAAUAUCUGUCCCUGCAUAUUAUUGAGUCCCUUCCAAGCAUGCCUUUUCCAGUCAGUCUCCCCUCAUACCGCGAUUUAGGGAGACCUAUCUUCUUAUGGCCAGGAAUGAAGUCAACACAAAACCCGAUGACAUCCUCUGUUUGAUGGCCCAUGGAGAUGCUUCCUUCUGGCCUAGCGCGAUGAGGGACAUAUUUCUUUAGGACUCCCAUGAACCUCUCAAAGGGGUACAUAUUGUGUAGAAAUACGGGGCCCAAAAUGACAAUCUCGUCAACUAGAUGAACUAGGACGUGCGUCAUGAUAUUGAAGAAGGAUGGUGGGAACACCAGCUCGAAACUGACAAGACAUUGCACCACAUCACUCCUUAGCCUUGGUAUGAUUUCUGGAUCGAUCACCUUCUGAGAGAUUGCAUUGAGGAAUGCACAUAGCUUCACAAUGGCUAAUCGGACGUUUUCCGGUAGAAGCCCCCUCAAUGCAACCGGAAGCAGUUGUGUCAUAAUCACGUGGCAGUCAUGAGACUUUAGGUUCUGAAACUUUUUCUUUGCCAUAUUUAUUAUUCCUUUUAUAUUCGACGAGAAGCCAGUCGGGACCUUCAUACUAAGCAGGCAUUCAAAGAAGAUUUCCUUCUCUUCUUUGGUAAGAGCAUAGCUGGCAGGACCUUCAUACUGCUUUGGAGGCAUGCCGUCUUUUUCGUGCAAAUGUUGCAGGUCCUCCCGUGCCUCAGCUGUAUCUUUUGUCUUCCCAUACACGCCCAAGAAGCCUAGCAGGUUCACGCAAAGGUUCUUCGUCACGUGCAUCACGUCGAUCGAAGAGCGGACCUCUAGGUCUUUCUAGUAGGGUAGGUCCCAAAAUAUAGAUUUCUUCUUCCACAUGGGUGCGUGUCCCCCAACGUCACUCGGAACAGCUAGUCUGCCGGGACCCUUUCCAAAGAUUACGUGUAAAUCAUUGACCAUAGCAAGUACGUGACCACCGGUACGCAUGGCGGGCUUCUUCCGGUGAUCUGCCUCGCCUUUGAAAUGCUUGCCUUUCUUUCGACAUUGAUGGUUGGUCGGAAGAAAUCGACGAUGGCCCAGGUACACAUUCUUCCUACAGCUUGCCAGGUAUAUACUAACGGUGUCAAGUAAACAGUGCGUGCAUGCGUGGUAUCCCUUGUUUGUCUGUCCUAAAAGGUUACUGAGAGCAGGCCAAUCGUUGAUGGUCACGAACAGCAACGCCUUUAGGUUAAAUUUCUCCUGUUUGUGCUCAUCCCACGUACGUACACCGUUUCCAUUCCACAGCUGUAAAAGUUCUUCAACUAAUGGCCUUAGGUACACAUCAAUGUCAUUGCCGGGUUGCUUAGGGCCUUGGAUGAGAACUGGCAUCAUAAUGAACUUCCGCUUCAUGCACAUCCAAGGAGGAAGGUUAUACAUACAUAGAGUCACGGGCCAGGUGCUGUGAUUGCUGCUCUGCUCCCCGAAAGGAUUAAUGCCAUCCGCACUUAAAGCAAACCAUACGUUCCUUGGCUCACUUGCAAACUCAUCCCAGUACUUUCUCUCAUUUUUCUCCAUUGCGACCCGUCAGCGGGUGCUCUCAACUUCCCGUCUUUCUUACGGUCCUCACUAUGCCAUCGCAUCAACUUGGCAUGCUCUCCGUUUCUGAACAGACGUUUCAACCGUGGUAUUAUAGGAGCAUACCACAUCACCACUACUAGGGAAAAGCCUAUACAUAGAAUCUUACCAGCAGCGCUCUUCAAAAUACAACGCUACUGCUACUUAGCAGCAGCGCGUGUCUGCCAAACACGCUGCUGACUUGGAAGUAGCAGUAGCGGGUGCAUCGCAUACAGCGCUACUGCUAUAGUUGCCAUGACCUUGCCCCCCCCCCCCCNNNNNNNNNNNNNNNNNNNNNNNNNNNNNNNNNNNNNNNNNNNNNNNNNNNNNNNNNNNNNNNNNNNNNNNNNNNNNNNNNNNNNNNNNNNNNNNNNNNNNNNNNNNNNNNNNNNNNNNNNNNNNNNNNNNNNNNNNNNNNNNNNNNNNNNNNNNNNNNNNNNNNNNNNNNNNNNNNNNNNNNNNNNNNNNNNNNNNNNNNNNNNNNNNNNNNNNNNNNNNNNNNNNNNNNNNNNNGCAAACGCGCUACAACUAUCCCUACCUUAUCCCCAUGCGCACGACCGGCCCUCUCACUCACACUCUCACUCUCGCCCACGUCAACCGUCGUCGUCCGUCGCCGCCGCCGCCGCCUUCGUCCGUCCGCCGCCGAGGUACUCCCCUCCUUCCGUCCCUCCUCCAUCCUCCUUGCACAUCCUCCCUCCGCCUGUGGCCGCCCCUCCUUCCUCCGCCGCUGCCCUCCUCCCUCCGCCUGCGGCCGCCCCUCCUCCCUCCUCCGACGGCAGCCCUCCUCCCACCGCCCUCGACCUCGCUGCCCCUAGCUACCUCUCCGUCGCCCCCCACCCCUGCCACUAGUUAGUACUAGAUUUAGUAGUAGUAGAUGUUAAUUUAGGGUUAGCUAGUACUAGAUGUUGCUUAGUUAGUACUAGAUUUUUAGUAGUAGUAGUGGUAGUUGAACUACUUUAGUUGUAGUUGAACUAGUUUAGUAAGUAAAUUAAUAAACGAGUUGAACUAGUUGAAUUAAUAGAACUAAUCUAUUUUUAGUAAGAUAAUUAAUAUAACUAGUUGAACUACUUUAUUUUUAGAAAGAACUAAUUUUUUUCUAUUUAUAUUAAGUUUAUAUUUAGUAAGAACUAGUUGAAUUAAUAAAACUAGUUGAACAUGUCAUGUUUGUUGUUAGUGAUAACUUAUAUGGUUUCAGGUGACCUCCGUCGUCCCCGUCACCGACCCCCUCCGACAUCCCCGUCGUCGUCCCAGUCACCGACCCCCUCCGACAUCGAGGUGAGACCAGCCAAAUAUCCUUGUAUAUCUUGUGUUGUUGCUCAAAUUGGAUAUGUGGUUGCCCAAGUGGCCGUUCAUGUAGUUUACAUCUCCGAGUGGCCUAUGUUUUGCCGGAGUGUUGAUUAAUUUCCGUUCCGACAAAUUUCAGGCGCUCGAUAUGUCCUUUUUUAGCAAAGGUCAUGCCGGAUUUUGUCGUGAAUUCUGGUAUGACUUGUGCUAGAAUAUGUACAAGUUUAAUCUUUGAAUUAUGAUUGUAGGAAAUGUCGUACUCGGACGACGAAGGUCUCCCGGGGGAGUGUAGCUGGUGCCACGACGAUCGAGGUAUGUGCGAUAGGUUCGUUCGGCUGGACGAAGAUCGGCGCUUCAACAUUAAGCUCGAGGAGACCUUCGAUUGUGAAAUGGUACGCAACAACGACAAGUGUUUUUUCUCCAUUAAGCAUGACUUCAACUAUUUCAACGUCUAAUUUUCAUAUUUUACAAUUCGACUAGCUUAUCCCAUGCCAUGCAAGACGCUAUGUCUUGGAGAGGAUGGGUUUUGAAGACCAUGAAAAUUUCAAAACAAAGAAAAUACACCUAAGGACCCAUCAUGAUAUGGAUUUUGAAGUAAACCUGUGCAAUGCUCAGAGCGCAACCCAUUUUGGUUGCCAAAAUUGGGAAGCACUUUGCAAAAUGUAUGGUUUUUAUGAGGGUAUGAUUGUCACCAUGGAUCUUGGUGAUCCUGACAGUGAGGAAGACAAUAUGGACAUUUGGGUCCUUGUUGAUACGCUUCCGAUUGUACCGCUAUGUGACUUUCUCAAACAUAGUUAUUAACUAAUUUAUAUUGUUUAUUUCAAAAUAGUUGAUAGCUUAUUUCCAUUGACAGCUUAUUUUGAUUCUUCAAAGACUGUGCGGAAGAUGGUAGAUAAAACCCACUACACCGAAGGCACCCAAUUAACGUAUAAGGAGAAAAAUCAUCUGAUCGCAUUUUGUACUCUUCUUGAGAAUUACAAUGACUAUAAUCGAACUCCUCCAGAUUAUGGUGAAUAUGUGCCACUAGUGCAUGUGUUGAACAACGAUAACUUAUCUGGAGAUACCCUGGUAAGAUUUUUUACUAUUACGACAUCCGUGUAUUUUUUGCAUACUUCUAAAACUAGUACAUCAUUGCUAACUACGAAGUUAUUAUUAUGUUUUUCAACAGAAACUCCCGAUGGAUUGUGUGCCUCAUCUGAUGUCUCUGCAUGGUCGCCUCUCAGUUCUGAACAUACUGCCAGGUAAAUCUACAGAGCUCACCUAUGCAUAUCAGAUUUCUAAAACCCGUGAACACAUGAUCAUCAGAGAAUGGAAGAAAUGUAUGGACAUUCGCAAGGAGGUUCUUGGAAGUAACAUUCAGCGAAACGUAAGAAUGGGAGACAGGCUAAUCUCCAUUCUCCAUAAUGGAGAGUCAGGGGCUAUCUUGUUUUUUGUUAUUUUACCUUAGAAAAUGUAGUAGGUCUUAAUCGAAUGUAAUAGGUCCUAUGAGGUACAAUAUGUUUAUUAUGUGGUAAUGUGUUAGAGUUGAUAAUGAUGAUCUUGAGGAGGUGUUAUGUGAUGUCAAUGAUGAAAACGAUGAUAUUGAGGAGGUGUUAUAUGACAAUGAUGUAUUAUGAUGCUAAGUUGUUAAUGAUAUGAUGAUGAUGAUGAUAUUAUUAUAUCAUUGGGUGAAAGAACCGUGGAUUAGUUUCAAGUGGAUGGACAUCCACUUGAAACUAGUCCACGGUUCUUUCACCCCAUGAUGUAAUAACUCAUUAUGAUGUAAAAACAAUCUCUAAAUUCCUGUUGUAUGAAAACUUGUGUAAGGGUGUAUGAAUACAACAUGAAAAAGAAAAGAAAUAAAAUACUAAAUAAUAGUAGUAGCGCGGGUAAGGAGAAGCGCUACUACUAAUUACCAGUAGCGAUGUUCUAAAGAACCGCUGCUACUAAGUCAAUUUAGCAGUAGCGCGUGUCAAGACGCGCUAUUGCUAAGCAUUAGCUGUAGCGCCUUAUCAGUAGCGCUCCUGCCCGCGCUACUGAUAGGCCCAAAACCCGCGCUGCUGCUAGGCUUUUCCCUAGUAGUGCACCUUCGCAGGAACCCUCUUCCUGGGGGGCUCGCCGUCAACAUCACCAGGGUCAUCUCGUCUGAUCUUAUACCAUAAUGCACCGCAUACCAGGCAUGCGUUCAGAUCCUUAUAUGCACCGCGGUAGAGGAUGCAGUCAUUAGGGCAUGCAGGUAUCUUCUGCACCUCCAAUCCUAGAGGGCAUACGACCUUCUUUGCUGCGUAUGUACUGUCGGGCAAUUCGUUAUCCUUUGGAAGCUUCUUCUUCAAUAUUUUCAGUAGCUUCUCAAAUCCUUUGUCAGGCACAGCAUUCUCUUAAAGGAAAUAUGCCCUAGAGGCAAUAAUAAAGUUAUUAUUUAUUUCCUCAUAUCAUGAUAAAUGUUUAUUAUUCAUGCUAGAAUUGUAUUAACCGGAAACAUGAUACAUGUGUGAAUACAUAGACAAAACUAUAGUCACUAGUAUGCCUCUACUUGACUAGCUCAUUAAUCAAAGAUGGUUAUGUUUCCUGACCAUAGACAUGUGUUGUCAUUUGAUUAGUGGGAUCACAUCAUUAAGAGAAUGAUGUGAUUGACAUGACCCAUUCUGUUAGCCCAGCACUUGAUCGUUUAGUAUACUGCUAUUGCUUUCUUCAUGACUUAUACAAAGUUCCUGCAACUAUGAGAUUGUGCAACUCCCGUUUACCGGAAGAACACUUUGUGUGCUACCAAACAUCACAACGUAACUGGGUGAUUAUAAAGGUGCUCUACAGGUGUUUCCGAAGGUACAUGUUGGGUUGGCAUAAUUCGAGAUUAGGAUUUGUCACUCCGAUUGUCGGAGAGGUAUCUCUGGGCCCUCUCGGAAAUACUCAUCACAUAAGCCUUGCAAGCAUGUAACUAAUGAGUUAGUUAUGAGAUGACGUAUUACGAAACGAGUAAAGAGACUUGCCGGUAACGAGAUUGAACUAGGUAUUGGAUACCGACGAUCAAAUCUCGGGCAAGUAACAUACCGAUGACAAAGGGAACAAAGUAUGUUGUUAUGCGGUUUGACCGAUAAAGAUCUUCGUAGAAUAUGUAGGAACCAAUAUGGGCAUCCAGGUCCCGCUAUUGGUUAUUGACCGAGAAUGGUUUUAGGUCAUGACUACAUAGUUCUCAAACCCGUAGGGUCCGCACGCUUAACUUUUUGAUGAUAGUUUUAUUAUGAGUUUAUAAGUUUUGAUGUACCAAAGUUUGUUCGGAGUUCCGGAUGUGAUCACGGAUAUGAUGAGGAGUCUCGGAAUGCUUGAGCCAUAAAGAUUGAUAUAUUGGACGACUAUAUUCGGACACCGGAAAGGUUCCGGGAGUUUUCGGAGAAAACCGGAGUGCCCGGGGGGUUACCGAAACCCCCCGGGAGAGUUAAUGGGCCACAUGGGCCUAGGUGGGAAGAGAAAGGGGCGGCCAGGGUGAGCCGCGCGCCCCCUCUCCCUCUAGUCCGAAUUGGACUAGGAGGGGGGGCGGCGCCCCCUUUCCUUCCCCCCCUCUCUUCCUUCCUUCCCCCUCCUAGUAGGAGUAGGAAAGGAGGAAUCCUACUCCUACUAGGAGGAGGAUUCCUCCUCCCUUGCGCGCCCCAAGGGGCCGGCCGGCCUCCCCCUCCCUCCUUUAUAUACGGGGGCAGGGGGCACCCCAUAGACACACAAGUUGAUCUACGGAUCGUUCCUUAGCCGUGUGCGGUGCCCCCUUCCACCAUAUUCCACCUCGGUCAUAUCGUCGCGAAGCUUAGGCGAAGUCCUGCGCCGGUAGAACAUCAAGAUCGUCACCACGCCGUCGUGCUGACGGAACUCUCCCUCGACACUCGGCUGGAUCGGAGUUCGAGGGACGUCAUCGAGCUGAAUGUGUGCUGAACUCGGAGGCUCCGUACGUUCGGUUCUUGGAUCGGUCGGAUCGUGAAGACGUAUGACUACAUCAACCGCGUUGUCAUAACGCUUCCGCUUACGGUCUACGAGGGUACAUGGACAUACACUCUCCCCUCUCGUUGCUAUGUCAUCACCAUGAUCUUGCGUGUGCGUAGGAAAAUUUUGAAAUUACUACGUUCCCCGACAGUGGUAUCAGAGCCUAGGUUUUAUGCGUUGAUGUUAUAUGCACGAGUAGAACACAAGUGAGUUGUGGACGAUAUAAGUCAUACUGCCUACCAGUGUGUCAUACUUUGGUUCAGCGGUAUUGUGAGAUGAAGCGGCCCGGACCGACAUUACGGGUACGCUUACGCGAGACUAGUUUCACCGUUAUGAGCACUCGUGCUUAAAGGUGGCUGGCGGGUGUCUGUCUCUCUCACUUUAGUUGAACCGAGUGUGGCUACGCCCGGCCCUUGUGAAGGUUAAAACGGAGUCUAUUUGACAAACUAUCGUUGUGGUUUUGAUGCGUAGGUAAGAACGGUUCUUGCUAAGCCCGUAGCAUCCACGUAAAAUUUGCAACAACAAAGUAGAGGACGUCUAACUUGUUUUUGCAGGGCAUGUUGUGAUAUGAUAUGGUCAAGACGUGAUGCUAUAUUUUAUUGUAUGAGAUGAUCAUGUUUUGUAACCGAAGUUAUCGGCAACUGGCUGGAGCCAUAUGGUUGUCGCUUUAUUGUAUGAAAUGCAAACGCCCUGUAAUUGCUUUACUUUAUCUCUAAGCGGUAGCGAUAGUCGUAGAAGCAAUAGAUGGCGUAAACGACAACGAUGCUACGAUGGAGAUCAAGGUGUCGCGCCGGUGACGAUGGUGAUCAUGACGGUGCUUCGAAGAUGGAGAUCACAAGCACAAGAUGAUGAUGGCCAUAUCAUAUCACUUAUAUUGAUUGCAUGUGAUGUUUAUCCUUUAUGCAUCUUAUCUUGCUUUGAUUGACGGUAGCAUUUUAAGAUGAUCUCUCACUAAAAUUAUCAAGUAGUGUUCUCCCUGAGUAUGCACCGUUGCCAAAGUUCAUCGUGCCGAGACACCACGUGAUGAUCGGGUGUGAUAAGCUCUACGUCCAUCUACAACGGGUGCAAGCCAGUUUUGCACACGCAGAAUACUCAGGUUAAACUUGACGAGCCUAGCAUAUGCAGAUAUGGCCUCGGAACACAGAGACCGAAAGGUCGAGCGUGAAUCAUAUAGUAGAUAUGAUCAACAUAAUGAUGUUCACCAUUGAAAACUACUCCAUCUCACGUGAUGAUCGGUUAUGGUUUAGUUGAUUUGGAUCACGUGAUCACUUAGAUGACUAGAGAGAUGUCUGUCUAUGUGGGAGUUCUUAAGUAAUAUGAUUAAUUGAACUUAAAUUUAUCAUGAACUUAGUACCUGAUAGUAUCUUGCUUGUCUAUGUUUGUUUGUAGAUAGAUGGCUCGUGCUGUUGUUCCGUUGAAUUUUAAUGCGUUCCUUGAGAAAGCAAAGUUGAAAGAUGAUGGUAGCAAUUACACGGACUGGGUCCGUAACCUGAGGAUUAUCCUCAUUGUUGCACAGAAGAGUUACGUCCUGGAAGCACCGCUGGGUGCCAGGCCUGCUGCUGAUGCAACUGACGACGUUAAGAACGUCUGGCAGAGCAAAGCUGAUGACUACUCUAUAGUUCAGUGUGCCAUGCUUUACGGCUUAGAACCGGGUCUUCAACGACGUUUUGAACGUCAUGGAGCAUAUGAGAUGUUCCAGGAGUUGAAGUUAAUAUUUCAAGCAAAUGCCCGGAUUGAGAGAUAUGAAGUCUCCAAUAAGUUCUAUAGCUGCAAGAUGGAGGAGAAUAGUUCUGUCAGUGAACAUAUACUCAGAAUGUCUGGGUAUAACAAUCACUUGAUUCAACUGGGAGUUAAUCUUCCUGAUGAUAGUGUCAUUGACAGAAUUCUUCAAUCACUGCCACCAAGCUACAAGAGCUUUGUGAUGAACUAUAAUAUGCAAGGGAUGAACAAGACUAUUCCCGAGCUCUUCGCGAUGCUGAAAGCCGCAGAGGUAGAAAUCAAGAAGGAGCAUCAAGUGUUGAUGGUCAACAAGACCACUAGUUUCAAGAAGAAGGGCAAAGGAAAGAAGAAGGGGAACUUCAAAAAGAACGGCAAGCAAGUUGCUGCUCAAGAGAAGAAACCCAAGUCUGGACCUAAGCCUGAAACUGAGUGCUUCUACUGCAAGCAGACUGGUCACUGGAAGCGGAACUGCCCCAAGUAUUUGGCGGAUAAGAAGGAUGGCAAAGUAAACAAAGGUAUAUGUGAUAUACAUGUUAUUGAUGUGUACCUAACUAGAGCUCGUAGUAGCACCUGGGUAUUUGAUACUGGUUCUGUUGCUAAUAUUUGCAACUCGAAACAGGGACUACGGAAUAAGCGAGCACUGGCCAAGGACGAGGUGACGAUGCGCGUGGAAAACGGUUCCAAAGUCGAUGUGAUCGCGGUCGGCACGCUACCUCUACAUCUACCAUCGGGAUUAGUUUUAGACCUAAAUAAUUGUUAUUUGGUGCCAGCGUUGAGCAUGAACAUUAUAUCUGGAUCUUGUUUGAUGCAAGACGGUUAUUCAUUUAAAUCAGAGAAUAAUGGUUGUUCUAUUUAUAUGAGUAAUAUCUUUUAUGGUCAUGCACCCUUGAAGAGUGGUCUAUUUUUAUUGAAUCUCGAUAGUAGUGAUACACAUAUUCAUAUUGUAGAAGCCAAAAGAUGCAGAGUUGAUAAUGAUAGUGCAACUUAUUUGUGGCACUGCCGUUUGGGUCAUAUCGGUGUACAACGCAUGAAGAAACUCCAUACUGAUGGACUUCUGGAAUCACUUGAUUAUGAAUCACUUGGUACUUGCGAACCGUGCCUUAUGGGCAAGAUGACUAAAACACCGUUCUCCGGAACUAUGGAGAGAGCAACAGAUUUGUUGGAAAUCAUACAUACAGAUGUAUGUGGUCCGAUGAAUGUUGAGGCUCGUGGCGGAUAUCAUUAUUUUCUCACCUUCACUGAUGAUUUAAGCAGAUAUGGGUAUAUCUACUUAAUGAAGUACAAGUCUGAAACAUUUGAAAAGUUCAAAGAAUUUCAGAGUGAAGUAGAAAAUCAUCGUAACAAGAAAAUAAAGUUUCUACGAUCUGACCGUGGAGGAGAAUAUUUGAGUUACGAGUUUGGUUUACAUUUGAAACAAUGCGGAAUAGUUUCGCAACUCACGCCACCUGGAACACCACAACGAAAUGGUGUGUCCAAACGUCGUACUCGUACUUUACUUGAUAUGGUGCGAUCUAUGAUGUCUCUUACCGAUUUACCGCUAUCGUUUUGGGGUUAUGCUUUAGAGACGGCCGCAUUCACGUUAAAUAGGGCACCAUCAAAAUCCGUUGAGAUGACGCCUUAUGAACUGUGGUUUGGCAAGAAACCAAAGUUGUCGUUUCUUAAAGUUUGGGGCUGCGGUACUUAUGUGAAGAAACUUCAACCAGAUAAGCUCGAACCCAAAUCGGAGAAAUGUGUCUUCGUAGGAUACCCAAAGGAGACUAUUGGGUACACCUUCUAUCACAGAUCUGAAGGCAAGAUUUUCGUUGCUAAAUUCGGAUCCUUUCUAGAGAAGGAAUUUCUCUCGAAAGAAGUGAGUGGGAGGAAAGUAGAACUUGAUGAGAUAACUGUAUCUACUCCCUUAUUGGAAGGUAGUUCAUCACGAGAACUGGUUCCCAUGACAACUACACCAAUUAUUGAGGAAGCUAAUAAUAUUGAUCAUGAAACUUCAGAUCAAGUUUCUGCUGAACCUCGUAGGUCUACCAGAGUAAGAUCCGCACCAGAGUGGUACGGUAAUCCUAUUCUGGAAGUCAUGUUACUUGACCAUGAUGAACCUACGAACUAUGAGGAACCGAUGAUGAGCCCAGAUUCCGCAAAAUGGCUAGAGGCCAUGAAAUCUGAGAUGGGAUCCAUGGAUGAAAACAAAGUAUGGACUUUGGUUGACUUGCCCGAUGAUCGGCAAGCCAUUGAGAAUAAAUGGAUCUUUAAGAAGAAGACUGACGCUGAUGGUAAUGUUACUGUCUAUAAAGCUCGACUUGUUGCGAAAGGUUUUCGACAAGUUCAAGGGGUUGACUAUGAUGAGACUUUCUCACCCGUAGCGAUGCUUAAGUCUGUCCGAAUCAUGUUGGCUAUUGCUGCAUUUCAUGAUUAUGAAAUUUGGCAAAUGGAUGUCAAAACUGCAUUCUUGAAUGGAUUUCUAGAAGAAGAGUUGUAUAUGAUGCAGCCGGAAGGUUUUGUUGAUCCAAAAGGUGCUGACAAAGUGUGUAAGCUCCAAUGUUCCAUUUAUGGACUGGUGCAAGCAUCUCGGAGUUGGAAUAAACGUUUUGACAGUGUGAUCAAGGCAUAUGGUUUUAUACAGACUUUUGGAGAAGCCUGUAUUUACAAGAAAGUGAGUGGGAGCUCUGUAGCAUUUCUAGUUUUAUAUGUUGAUGACAUAUUAUUAAUUGGAAAUGAUAUAGAAUUUCUGGAGAGCAUAAAGGGAUACUUGAAUAAAAGUUUUUCAAUGAAAGACCUCGGUGAAGCUGCUUACAUAUUGGGCAUCAAGAUCUAUAGAGAUAGAUCAAGACGCUUAAUAGGACUUUCACAAAGCACAUACCUUGACAAAAUUUUGAAAAAGUUCAAAAUGGAUCAGGCAAAGAAAGGAUUCUUGCCUGUGCUACAAGGUGUGAAGUUGAGUCAAACUCAAUGCCCGACCACAUCAGAAGAUAGAGAGAAAAUGAAAAAUGUUCCCUAUGCUUCAGCCAUAGGCUCUAUCAUGUAUGCAAUGCUGUGUACCAGACUUGACGUAUGCUUAGCAAUAAGCUUGGCAGGAAGGUACCAAAGUAAUCCAGGAGUGGAUCACUGGACAGCGGUCAAGAACAUCCUUAAAUACCUGAAAAGGACUAAGGAUAUAUUUCUCGUAUAUGUAGGUGACAAAGAGCUCGUCGUAAAUGGUUACGUCGAUGCAAGCUUUGACACUGAUCCAGACGAUUCUAAAUCGCAAACCGGAUACGUGUUUAUAUUAAACGGUGGAGCUGUAAGUUGGUGCAGUUCUAAACAAAGCGUCGUGGCGGGAUCUACAUGUGAAGCGGAGUACAUAGCUGCUUCUGAAGCAGCAAAUGAAGGAGUCUGGAUGAAGGAGUUCAUUUCCGAUCUAGGUGUCAUACCUAGUGCAUCGGGACCAAUGAAGAUCUUCUGUGACAAUACAGGUGCAAUUGCUUUGGCAAAGGAAUCCAGAUUUCACAAGAGGACCAAGCACAUCACGAGACGCUUAAAUUCCAUUCGGGACCAAGUCCAAGUGGGAGACAUACAGAUUUGCAAGAUACAUACGGAUCUGAAUAUUGCAGACCCGUUGACUAAGCAUCUCUCACGAGCAAAACAUGAUCAGCACCAAGACUCCAUGGGUGUUAGAAUCAUUAUUGUGUAAUCUAGAUUAUUGACUCUAGUGCAAGUGGGAGACUAAAGGAAAUAUGCCCUAGAGGCAAUAAUAAAGUUAUUAUUUAUUUCCUCAUAUCAUGAUAAAUGUUUAUUAUUCAUGCUAGAAUUGUAUUAACCGGAAACAUGAUACAUGUGUGAAUACAUAGACAAAACUAUAGUCACUAGUAUGCCUCUACUUGACUAGCUCAUUAAUCAAAGAUGGUUAUGUUUCCUGACCAUAGACAUGUGUUGUCAUUUGAUUAGUGGGAUCACAUCAUUAAGAGAAUGAUGUGAUUGACAUGACCCAUUCUGUUAGCCUAGCACUUGAUCGUUUAGUAUACUGCUAUUGCUUUCUUCAUGACUUAUACAAAGUUCCUGCAACUAUGAGAUUGUGCAACUCCCGUUUACCAAAAGAACACUUUGUGUGCUACCAAACGUCACAACGUAACUGGGUGAUUAUAAAGGUUCUCUACAGGUGUUUCCGAAGGUACAUGUUGGGUUGGCAUAAUUCGAGAUUAGGAUUUGUCACUCCGAUUGUCGGAGAGGUAUCUUUGGGCCCUCUCGGUAAUACUCAUCACAUAAGCCUUGCAAGCAUGUAACUAAUGAGUUAGUUAUGAGAUGACGUAUUACGGAACGAGUAAAGAGACUUGCCGGUAACGAGAUUGAACUAGGUAUUGGAUACCAACGAUCAAAUCUCGGGCAAGUAACAUACCGAUGACAAAGGGAACAAAGUAUGUUGUUAUGCGGUUUGACCGAUAAAGAUCUUCAUAGAAUAUGUAGGAACCAAUAUGGGCAUCCAGGUCCCGCUAUUGGUUAUUGACCGAGAAUGGUUUUAGGUCAUGACUACAUAGUUCUCGAACCCGUAGGGUCCGCACGCUUAACGUUUCGAUGAUAGUUUUAUUAUGAGUUUAUAAGUUUUGAUGUACCGAAGUUUGUUCGGAGUCCCAGAUGUGAUCACAGACAUGACGAGGAGUCUUGGAAUGGUCGAGACAUAAAGAUUGAUAUAUUGGACGACUAUAUUCGGACACCGGAAAGGUUCCGGGAGUUUUCGGAGAAAACCGGAGUGCCGGGGGGGUUACCGGAACCCCCCGGGAGAGUUAAUGGGCCACAUGGGCCUAGGUGGGAAGAGAGAGGUGCGGCCAGGGUGGGCCGCGCGCCCCCUCUCCCUCUAGUUCGAAUUGGACUAGGAGGGGGGGCGGCGCCCCCCUUUCCUUCCCCCCCUCUCUUCCUUCCUUCCCCCUCCUAGUAGGAGUAGGAAAGGAGGAAUCCUACUCCUACUAGGAGGAGGAUUCCUCCUCCCUUGGAGCGCCCCAAGGGGCUGGCCGGCCUCCCCCUCCCUCCUUUAUAUACGAGGGCAGGGGGCACCCCAUAGACACACAAGUUGAACUACGGAUCGUUCCUUAGCCGUGUGCGGUGCCCCCUUCCACCAUAUUCCACCUCGGUCAUAUUGUCGCGAAGCUUAGGCGAAGCCCUGCGCCGGUAGAACAUCAAGAUCGUCACCACGCCGUCGUGCUGACGGAACUCUCCCUCGACACUCGGCUGGAUCGGAGUUCGAGGGACGUCAUCGAGCUGAACAUCUGCUGAACUCGGAGGCUCCGUACGUUAGGUGCUUGGAUCGGUCGGAUCGUGAAGACGUACGACUACAUCAACCGCGUUGUCAUAACGCUUCCGCUUACGGUCUACGAGGGUACGUGGACAUACACUCUCCCCUCUCGUUGCUAUUUCAUCACCAUGAUCUUGCUUGUGCGUAGGAAAAUUUUGAAAUUACUACGUUCCCCAACAUCUCUGCCUUCCACUGCAGCAAUUCCAGUACGGUACCGAGCUUUGUGUUGCCAUCUUCGCAAUUGGGGUACAACCCUUUUUUUUGGUCCUCUAGCAUGCGAUCGAACUUCAGCUUCUCCUUUUGACUUUUGCAUUGCGUCCUUGCAUCGACAAUGACCCGGCGGAGAUCAUCAUCAUCGGGCACAUCGUCUGGUUCCUCUUGAUCUUCAGCAGCUUCGCCUGUUGCAGCAUCAUCGUGCACAUCGUCUGGUUCCUCUUGAUCUUCAGGAGCAUCACCGUAUUCAGGGGCACAUAGUUGUCAUCGUACUCUUCUUCACCGUCUUCCAUCAUAACCCCUAUUUCUCCGUGCCUCAUCCAAACAUUAUAGUGUGGCAUGAAACCCUUGUAAAGCAGGUGGGUGUGGAGGAUUUUCCGGUCAGAGUAAGACUUCGUAUUCCCACAUAUAGGACAUGGACAACACAUAAAACCAUUCUGCUUGUUUGCCUCAGCCACUUCGAGAAAAUCAUGCACGCGCUUAAUGUACUCGGAGGUGUGUCUUGAACCGUACAUCCAUUGCCGGUUCAUCUGCGUGCAUUAUAUAAUGAAGUGACCAAAUUAAUAGAAGUUCAUCAUCACAUUAAAACCAAAGUACAUACAUAGUUCUCAUCUAACAACAUAAAGCUCUGCAGAGCAUCUAAAUUAAUUAAACCAUACACUGAAACUAUGUAAAACAUUUCAAUGCGAAAACAAAUGCAACCAUAAUCGCAACCAAUGUAACAACUGAUCCAACGGCAUAAUGAUACCAAGCCUCAGUAUGAAUGGCAUAUUUUCUAAUCUUUCUAAUCUUCAAGCGCAUUGCAUCCAUCUUGAUCUUGUGAUCAUCGACGACAUCCCCAACAUGCAACUCCAAUAUCAUCUUCUCCUCCUCAAUUUUUCUAAUUUUUUCCUUCAAGAAAUUGUUUUCUUCUUCAACUGAAUUUAACCUCUCGACAAUAGGGUCGGUUGGAAUUUCCGGUUCAACAACCUCCUAGAUAAAUAAAAUCUAUGUCACGUUGGUCGGCAUAAUUGUCAUAAACAAUAAAUGAACCAAUAGUUAUGAAAAGAUAAUAUAUACCACAUCCGAAUCAUAGACAGGACGAGGGCCGACGGGGGCGGAUACCAAAACCAUCGCACUAUAUAAGAUGCAAUAAUAAAAGUAAGAAAAUAAUACAAGUAUCUAUCUAAACAUACAAGUAAGAAUAUUUUUCCUUUCAGAAAGAAGAUAAGAACAAGAGGCUCACCACGGUGGUGCCGGCGAUGAGAUCGGCGCGGGUGAUCGACGACGAUGAAGACAAGGACGGGGCGUGACGGACCGCUAAACCUAGACAAAUAUUGAGGAAAAUGGAGCUUGGCGGUCGAGCUUGGAGGGGAGAAAGCUUAAGUAGUGUGGCUCGGGCAUUCCAUCGAACACCUCGUGUGCAUAGGAGGUGAGCUAGAGCACCACAAAGCUCUCCCCUCGCCGGCCACGAAAAACAGAGCACUGGGAGUGCUCUGCUCGCGAGCGGGGGGUAUAUAUAGGCACCACCAUUGGUCCCGGUUGGUCGCACGAACCGGGACUAAAGGUUGGCCUUUGGUCCCGGUUCGUGCCACCAACUGGGACCAAUGGUGGUGGGCCAGGAGCGAGGCCCAUUGGUCCCGGUUCGUCCCUCCAACCGGGACCAAAAGGUCCAGACAAACCGGGACCAAUGGCCCACGUGUUGGGUUUCGUAGUAAUUUCAAAAAAUUUCCUACGCACACGCAAGAUCAUGUGAUGCAUAGCAACGAGGGGAGAGUGUUGUCUACGUACCCAACGCAGACCGACUGCGGAAGCGAUGACACGACGUAGAGGAAGUAGUCGUACGUCUUCACGAUCCAACCGAUCAAGCACCGAAACUACGGCACCUCCGAGUUCGAGCACACGUUCAGCUCGAUGACGAUCCCCGGACUCCGAUCCAGCAAAGUGUCGGGGAAGAGUUCCGUCAGCACGACGGCGUGGUGACGAUCUUGAUGAACUACAGCAGCAGGGCUUCGCCUAAACUCCGCUACAGUAUUAUCGAGGUAUAUGGUGGCAGGGGCACCGCACACGGCUAAGGAAUAGAUCACGUGGAUCAACUUGUGUGUAUAGAGGUGCCCCCUGCCUCCGUAUAUAAAGGAGGAGAGGAGGGGAGGCUGGCCGGCCAAGGAGGGGAGGCGCAGGAGAGUCCUACUCCCUCUGGGAGUAGGAUUCCCCCCAAUCCUAGUCCAACUAGGAUUCCUCGGAGGGGAAGGGAGAGAGGGGGGCCGGCCACCUUCUCCUAGUCCUAAUAGGACUAGGGGAGGGGGAAGUGGCGCAGCCACCUUGGGCUGCCCCUUUCUCCUUUCCACUAAGGCCCAUGAAGGCCCAUAUGGCUCCCGGGGGGUUCCGGUAAUCCUCCCGGUACUCCGGUAAAAUCCCGAUUUCACCCGGAACACUUCCGAUGUCCAAACAUAGGCUUCCAAUAUAUCAAUCUUUAUGUCUCGACCGUUUCGAGACUCCUCGUCAUGUCCAUGAUCACAUCCGGGACUCCAAACAACCUUCGGUACAUCAAAAUGCAUAAACUCAUAAUGUAACUGUCAUCGUAACCUUAAGCGUGCGGACCCUACGGGUUCGAGAACAAUGUAGACAUGACCGAGACACGUCUCCGGUCAAUAACCAAUAGCGGGACCUGGAUGCCCAUAUUGGCUCCUACAUAUUCUACGAAGAUCUUUAUCGGUCAGACCGCAUAACAACAUACGUUGUUCCCUUUGUCAUCGGUACGUUACUUGCCCGAGAUUCGAUCGUCGGUAUCCAAUACCUAGUUCAAUCUCGUCACCGGCAAGUCUCUUUACUCGUUCUAUAAUGCAUCAUCCCGUAACCAACUCAUUGGUCACAUUGCUUGCAAGGCUUAUAAUGAUGUGCAUUACCGAGAGGGCCCAGAGAUACCUCUCCGACAAUCGGAGUGACAAAACCUAAUCUCGAAAUACGCCAACUCAACAUGUACCUUCGGAGACACCUGUAGUACUCCUUUAUAAUCACCCAGUUAAGUUGUGACGUUUGGUAGUACCCAAAGUGUUCCUCCGGUAAACGGGAGUUGCAUAAUCUCAUAGUUACAGGAACAUGUAUAAGUCAUGAAGAAAGCAAUAGCAACAUACUAAACGAUCAAGUGCUAAGCUAACGGAAUGGGUGAAGUCAAUCACAUCAUUCUCCUAAUGAUGUGACCCCGUUAAUCAAAUGACAACUCUUUUGUCCAUGGCUAGGAAACAUAACCAUCUUUGAUAAACGAGCUAGUCAAGUAGAGGCAUACUAGUGACACUAUGUUUGUCUAUGUAUUCACACAUGUAUUAUGUUUCUGGUUAAUACAAUUCUAGCAUGAAUAAUAAACAUUUAUCAUGAAAUAAGGAAAUAAAUAAUAACUUUAUUAUUGCCUCUAGGGCAUAUUUCCUUCAGUCUCCCACUUGCACUAGAGUCAAUAAUCUAGUUCACAUCGUCAUGUGAUUUAACAACAAUAUUCAUAUCUGUAUAUGAUUAACACCCAUAGUUCACAUUAUCAUGUGACCAACACCCAAAGGGUUUACUAGAGUAAAUAAUCUAGUUCACAUCUCUAUGUGAUUAACACCCAAAGAGUACUAAGGUGUGAUCAUGUUUUGCUCGUGAAAGAAGCUUAGUCAAUGGGUCUGUCACAUUCAGAGCCGUAUGCAUUUUGCAAAUAUUUUAUGUCUACAAUGCUCUGCACGGUGCUACUCUAGCAAUUGCUCCCACUUUCAAUAUGUAUCCAGAUUGAGACUUAGAGUCAUCUGGAUCGGUGUGAAAACUUGCACCGAGGUAACUUUUACGACGGGCUCUUUUAUCACCUCCAUAAUCGAGAAAUAUUUCCUUAGUCCUCACUAAGGAUAUUCUUGACCAAUGUCGAGUGAUCUACUCCUAGAUCACUAUUGUACUCCCUUGUCAAAUACUGAGCAAGGUAUACAAUAGUUCUGGUACAUAGCAUAGCAUACUUUAUAGAACCUAUGACUGAGGCAUAGGGAAUGACUUUUCAUUUUUUCUAUUUUCUGUUGUGGUCGGGAUUUGAGUCUUACUCAAUUUCAUACCUUUGCAACACAGGCAAGAACUCUUUCUUUGACUGUUCCAUUUUGAACUAUUUCAAAAUCUUGCCAAGGUAUGUACUCAUUGAAAAUCUUAUCAAGCGUCUUGAUCUAUCUCAAUAUAUCUUGAUGCUCAAUAUGUAAGUAGCUUUUACUGAGGUCUUUUCCUUUUAAAGAACUCCUUUAAAACACUCCUUUAUGCUUUGCAGAAAAAUUCUACAUCAUUUCUGAUCAACAAUAUGUCACUCGUAUAUACUAAUCAGAAAGGCUAUAGUGCUCCCACUCACUUUAUUGUAAAUACAGGCUUCUCAAAAAGUCUGUAUAAAACCAUAUGCUUUGAUCAACUCAUCAAAGCGUAUAUUCCAACUCCGAGAGGCUUGCACCAGUCCAUAGAUGGAUCGCUGGAGCUUGCACAUUUUUUUAGCACCUUUAGGAUUGACAAAACCUUCUGGUUGCAUCAUAUACAACUCUUCUUUAAUAAAUCCAUUAAGGAAUGCAGUUUUGAUAUCCAUUUGCCAGAUUUCAUAAAAUGUGGCAAUUGCUAACAUGAUUCAGACAGACUUAAGAAUCGAUACGAGUGAGAAAAUCUCAUCGUAUUCAACACCUUGAACUUGUUGAAAACCUUUCGCAACAAGUCGAGCUUGGUAGAUAGUAACACUACUAUCAGUGUCCGUCUUCCUCUUGAAGAUCCAUUCAUUUAACAUGGCUUGCUGAUCAUCGAGCAAGUCAAUCAAAGUCCAUACUUUGUUCUCAUACAUGGAUCAUAUCUCAGAUUUUAUGGCCUCGAGCCAUUUCGCGGAAUCUGGGCUCAUCAUCGCUUCUUCAUAGUUCGUAGGUUCAUCAUGAUCUAGUAUCAUGACUUCCAGAAUAGGAUUACCGUACCAUUCUGGUGCGGAUCUUACUCUGGUUGAUCUACGAGGUUCAUCAGUAUCUUGAUCUGAAGUUUCAUGAUCAUUAUCAUUGGCUUCCUCACUAACUGGUGUAGGUGUCACUGAAACAGUUUUCUGUGAUGAACUACUUUCCAGUAAGGGAGCAGGUACAGUUACCUCGUCAAGUUCUACUUUCCUCCCACUCACUUCUUUCGAGAGAAACUCCUUCUCUAGAAAGGAUCCAUUCUUAGCAACGAAUGUCUUGCCUUCGGAUCUGUGAUAGAAGGUGUACCCAAUAGUCUCCUUUGGGUAUCCUAUGAAGACACAUUUCUCCGAUUUGGGUUCGAGCUUAUCAGGUUGAAGCUUUUUCACAUAAGCAUCGCAGCCCCAAACUUUAAGAAACGACAACUUUGGUUUCUUGCCAAACCACAGUUCAUAAGGCGUCGUCUCAACGGAUUUUGAUGGUGCCCUAUUUAACGUGAAUGCGGCCGUCUCUAAAGCAUAUCCCCAAAAUGAUAGCGGUAAAUCAGUAAGAGACAUCAUAGAUCGCACCAUAUCUAGUAAAGUACGAUUACGAUGUUCGGACACACCAUUACGCUGUGGUGUUCCGGGUGGCGUGAGUUGCGAAACUAUUCCACAGUUUUUCAAAUGUACACCAAACUCGUAACUCAAAUAUUCUCCUCCACGAUCAGAUCGUAGAAACUUUAUUUUCUUGUUACGAUGAUUUUCAACUUCACUCUGAAAUUCUUUGAAAUUUUCAAAUGUUUCAGACUUAUGUUUCAUUAAGUAGAUAUACCCAUAUCUGCUUAAAUCAUCUGUGAAGGUGAGAAAAUAACGAUAUCCGCCACGAGCCUCAGUAUUCAUCGGGCCACAUACAUCGGUAUGUAUGAUUUCCAACAAAUCUGUUGCUCUCUCCAUAGUACCGGAGAACGGUGUUUUAGUCAUCUUGCCCAUGAGGCACGGUUCGCAAGUACCAAGUGAUUCAUAAUCAAGUGGUUCCAAAAGUCCAUCAGUAUGGAGUUUCUUCAUGCGCUUUAUACCGAUAUGACCUAAACGACAGUGCCACAAAUAAGUUGCACUUUCAUUAUCAACUCUGCAUCUUUUGGCUUCAACAUUAUGAAUAUGUGUAUUACUACUAUCGAGAUCCAACAAACCAUUUUCAUUGGGUGUAUGACCAUAGAAGGUUUUAUUCAUGUAAACAGAACAACAAUUAUUCUCUAACUUACAUGAAUAACCGUAUUGCAAUAAACAUGAUCAAAUCAUAUUCAUGCUCAACGCAAACACCAAAUAACACUUAUUUAGGUUUAACACUAAUCCCAAAAGUAUAGGGAGUGUGCGAUGAUGAUCAUAUCAAUCUUGGAACUAUUUCCAACACACAUCGUCACUUCACCCUUUAACUAGUCUCUGUUUAUUCUGCAACUCCCGUUUCGAGUUACUAAUCUUAGCAACUGAACUAAUAUCAAAUACUGAGGGGUUGCUAUAAACACUAGUAACGUACACAUCAAUAACAUGUAUAUCAAAUAUACUUAUGUUCACUUUGCCAUCCUUCUUAUCCGCCAAUCACUUGGGGUAGUACCUCUUCCAGUGACCAGUCUCUUUGAAGUAGAAGCACUUAGUCUCAGGCUUAGGACCAGACUUGGGUUUCUUCACUUGAGCAGCAACUUGCUUGCCGUUCUUCUUGAAGUUCCCUUUCUUUCCCUUUGCCCUUUUCUUGAAACUAGUGAUCUUGUUAACCAUCAACACUUGAUGCUCUUUCUUGAUUUCUACCUUCGUUGAUUUCAGCAUCAUGAAGAGCUUGGGAAUCGUUUUCGUCAUCCCUUGCAUACUAUAGUUCAUCACGAAGUUCUAGUAACUUAGUGAUGGUGACUAGAGAAUUCUGUCAAUCACUAUCUUACCUGGAAGAUUAACUCCCACUUGAUUCAAGCGAUUGAAAUACCCAGACAAUCUGAGCACAUGCUCACUAGUUGAGCGAUUCUCCUCCAUCUUUUAGCUAUAGAACUUGUUGGAGACUUCAUAUCUCUCAACUCGGGUAUUUGCUUGAAAUAUUAACUUCAAUUCCUGGAACAUCUCAUAUGGUCCAUGACGUUCAAAACGUCUUUGAAGUCCCGAUUCUAAGCCGUUAAGCAUGGUGCACUAAACUAUCAAGUAGUCAUCAUCUUGAGCUAGCCAGACGUUCAUAACUUCUGCAUCUGCUCCUGCAAUAGGUCUGUCACCUAGCGGUGCAUUAAGGACAUAAUUCUUCUGUGCAGCACUGAGGAUAAACCUCAGAUCACGGAUCGAAUCCGCAUCAUUGCUACUAACAUUUUUCAACACAAUAUUCUCUAGGAACAUAUCAAAAUAAACAUAUGAAAGCAACAACGCGAGCUAUUGAUCUACAACAUAAUUUGCAAAAUACUACUAGGACUAAGUUCAUGAUAAAUUAAAGUUCAAUUAAUCAUAUUACUUAAGAACUCCCACUUAGAUAGACAUCCCUCUAAUCCUCUAAGUGAUCACGUGAUCCAAAUCAACUAAACCAUGUCCGAUCAUCACGUGAGAUGGAGUAGUUUCAAUGGUGAACAUCACUAUGUUGAUCAUAUCUACUAUAUGAUUCACGCUCGACCUUUCGGUCUCUGUGUUCCGAGGCCAUAUCUGUAUAUGCUAGGCUCGUCAAGUAUAACCUGAGUAUUCCGCGCGUGCAACUGUUUUGCACCCGUUGUAUUUGAACGUAGAGCCUAUCACACCCGAUCAUCACGUGGUGUCUCAGCACGACGAACUUUGGCAACGGUGCAUACUCAGGGAGAACACUUCUUGAUAAUUUAGUGAGAGAUCAUCUUAUAAUGCUACCAUCAAUAAAAGCAAGAUAAGAUGCAUAAAAAGAUAAACAUCACAUGCAAUCAAUAUAAGUGAUAUGAUAUGGCCAUCAUCAUCGUGUGCUUGUGAUCUCCAUCUCCGAAGCACCGUCAUGAUCACCAUCGUCACCGGCGCGACACCUUGAUCUCCAUCGUAGCAUCGUUGUCGUCUCGCCAAUCUUAUGCUUCCACGACUAUCACUACUGUUUAGUAAUAAAGUAAAGCAUUACAUCGCGAUUGCAUUGCAUACAAUAAAGCGACAACCAUAUGGCUCCUGCCAGUUGCCGAUAACUCGGUUACAAAACAUGAUCAUCUCAUACAAUAAAAUUCAGCAUCAUGCCUUGACCAUAUCACAUCACAACAUGCCCUGCAAAAACAAGUUAGACGUCCUCUACUUUGUUGUUGCAUGUUUUACGUGGCUGCUACGGGCUUAAGUAAGAACCAAUCUCACCUACGCAUCAAAACCACAACGAUAGUUUGUCAAAUAGACUCCGUUUUAACCUUCUCAAGGACCGGGCGUAGCCAUACUCGGUUCAACUAAAGUUGGAGAGACAGUCGCCCGCAAGCCAUCCAUGUGCAAAGCACGUCGAGGGAACCGGUCUCGCGUAAGCGUACGCGUAAGGUUGGUCCAGGUCGUCUCGUCCAACAAUACCGCCGAACCAAAGUAUGACAUGCUGGUAGGCAGUAUGACUUGUAUCGUCCACAACUCACUUGUGUUCUACUCGUGCAUAUAACAUCAACAUAAAUAACCUAGGCUCGGAUGCCACUGUUGGGUUUCGUAGUAAUUUCAAAAAAUUUCCUACGCACACGCAAGAUCAUGUGAAGCAUAGCAACGAGGGGAGAGUGUUGUCUACGUACCCAACGCAGACCAACUGCGGAAGCGAUGACACGACGUAGAGGAAGUAGUCGUACGUCUUCACGAUCCAACCGAUCAAGCACCGAAACUACGGCACCUCCGAGUUCGAGCACACGUUCAGCUCGAUGACGAUCCCCGGACUCCGAUCCAGCAAAGUGUCGGGGAAGAGUUCCGUCAGCACGACGGCGUGGUGACGAUCUUGAUGAACUACAGCAGCAGGGCUUCGCCUAAACUCCACUACAGUAUUAUCGAGGUAUAUGGUGGCAGGGGGCACCGCACACGACUAAGGAAUAGAUCACGUGGAUCAACUUGUGUGUAUAGAGGUGCCCCCUGCCUCCGUAUAUAAAGGAGGAGAGGAGGGGAGGCUGGCCGGCCAAGGAGGGGAGGCGCAGGAGAGUCCUACUCCCUCUAGGAGUAGGAUUCCCCCCAAUCCUAGUCCAACUAGGAUUCCUCGGAGGGGAAGGGAGAGAGGGGGGCCCGCAGCCACCUUGGGCUGCCCCUUUCUCCUUUCCACUAAGGCCCAUGAAGGCCCAUAUGGCUCCCGGGGGGUUCCGGUAACCCUCCCGGUACUCCGGUAAAAUCCCGAUUUCACCCGGAACACUUCCGAUGUCCAAACAUAGGCUUCCAAUAUAUCAAUCUUUACGUCUUGACCAUUUUGAGACUCCUCGUCAUGUCCGUGAUCACAUCCGGGACUCCGAACAACCUUCGGUACAUCAAAAUGCAUAAACUCAUAAUGUAACUGUCAUCGUAACCUUAAGCGUGCGGACCCUACGGGUUCGAGAACAAUGUAGACAUGACCGAGACACGUCUCCGGUCAAUAACCAAUAGCGGGACCUGGAUGCCCAUAUUGGCUCCUACAUAUUCUACGAAGAUCUUUAUCGGUCAGACCGCAUAACAACAUACGUUGUUCCCUUUGUCAUCGGUAUGUUACUUGCCCGAGAUUCGAUCGUCGGUAUCCAAUACCUAGUUCAAUCUCGUCACCGGCAAGUCUCUUUACUCGUUCUAUAAUGCAUCAUCCCGUAACCAACUCAUUGGUCACAUUGCUUGCAAGGCUUAUAAUGAUGUGCAUUACCGAGAGGGCCCAGAGAUACCUCUCCGACAAUCGGAGUGACAAAACCUAAUCUCGAAAUACGCCAACUCAACAUGUACCUUCGGAGACACCUGUAGUACUCCUUUAUAAUCACCCAGUUACGUUGUGACGUUUGGUAGUACCCAAAGUGUUCCUCCGGUAAACGGGAGUUGCAUAAUCUCAUAGUUACAGAAACAUGUAUAAGUCAUGAAGAAAGCAAUAGCAACAUACUAAACGAUCAAGUGCUAAGCUAACGGAAUGGGUGAAGUCAAUCACAUCAUUCUCCUAAUGAUGCGACCCCGUUAAUCAAAUGACAACUCUUUUGUCCAUGGCUAGGAAACAUAACCAUCUUUGAUAAACGAGCUAGUCAAGUAGAGGCAUACUAGUGACACUAUGUUUGUCUAUGUAUUCACACAUGUAUUAUGUUUCCGGUUAAUACAAUUCUAGCAUGAAUAAUAAACAUUUAUCAUGAAAUAAGGAAAUAAAUAAUAACUUUAUUGUUGCCUCUAGGGCAUAUUUCCUUCACCACGUGGCCCGGCCGGCCCCCGGGGCUCAAGAACCAGGUCCAAUGCCCCCAUUGGUCCCGGUUUUGGAUUGAACCGGGACUAAUGGGCUGGACCGGCCUGGACCAUCGCCCCCUUUUCUACUAGUGUUAGUGCAUGGUGGUUAGUGAAGUUAGUGGAGCAUGGUGUGAGUGCGUGGGUCAUGGUUGAGUGCCAGACUUUGUAUAAAUUGUCAUUUGAGUCAAUGAGAAAAUGUAAGGCCGAGAGGGCCAGUGCAAAGAUGUAGCAUUUGUGGUAGCCAAGGGAGAUUAACUGGGCAAAGCUAUGUGUUCUUCCUUGGUCUAUGCGUGUGUGUGUUCUGUGUGUGUUCUCUCUCUGCGUCCUUGUGUUCAUGGGAGUGUUUUUGAGAGAAGCCAGAAGAGAGAGUUGUGAGAGGCAGCUCGAGGUAGAAGAAGGAGCGGUGCUGCUCCGAGAGGAGGCGGCGCCAACAAUUAUUGACGAAAGGGAUAUUAUAUUGCGCAAGGUAUAAUCAGACGCGUCGGGGAUGGAGCGACUACACACAUAUGGGAUCACAACUGGAUUAUGAGGGAAAGCUAUAAGAGGCCAAUAAAUAAGUUAGUGCAGAUCCCCCCUCAGAAACAUUUUAUGUAUACACGUUAACAUUUCCCAGAUAUAUGAUUAAUAUUUUUAGAAAACUUCUAUUUUUUAUGUGUACUUUUUAUACAUUUUGUAAUAUCAGAAAUAGUUUUUAUAGAAGGUUUAACAUUUUUCAAAUACAUGAUUACCUUUUUGUAAACUUAUAUUGUUUGACGUUUACUUUUUUCCAUAGACAUAGUGAGGGGUUAUAUCUAAGGAAUAGGCCCAAGUACAUGUAGGCACAACCAAAGGCCCAUGUUAAUCAAGGAUGUUCCACAAGACAAAUGGGAAAACACACCGGGGCUAAUGGAGCUACAAGGCCAAGGCAUCGGAUACAAGGGGAGAGUCAACUGUGUACAGUCAGAUUACACAACCCUUAACAGACAAGACUCAUCAGUUGGUCCACUAUAGGAAUCAGGUCAUUUGCCGUCAGCCGAGAACAGAUGCGAAGGCUUUGCCGUGAGCAAGUUGACGACAAACACAAUCAGCAAAGACUAUAUCAGCAAAGAGCUAAUUUGACGUCAACUUUUCAUCGCGCUGAUGACAAAGACUUUGCCGUCAAUUAAACUAUGUGUUUGUCGUCUGUAGAAAAAACACAAAUGGCAAAGAAAUUAAACAAAUGGUCAUUUUAUAAUAAUUUUUCGAAAUGUAUAUAGUGUAUUUUAAAAUGUUAAAUAUGUAUCAAGAAUUAUUUCAUAAAUAUACAGAAGAUGUACAACGUGUAUGAAAAUUAUGUAGACAUCAGAACAUAUUAUAGAAAUGUUAAUCUUGUAUUUAAAAAUGUUAAAUACACAUAAAUAAAAAUGUUUUUGAUGUACAUAAAAAAAUUGUACAUCGUGUGUGAACAAAGUAUGCAUUGAAAAAAAAAUCUUGUUGGAAAGAAAAUCUCGUGCUAUAUACGAAAAUGUAAAAGGUGUAUGAAAAUAAUUAGAUAUAUGCUUAACGAAAAAAAGGAAAGAAGGCGCAAAAAAAUCCGAUCAACACCAAGAUAGGAACAAGAAAACCUGAAGAAGACCAUUGAAAAAAAAGAAAAGAAUACAAGAAAGAGGAAAAAAAACAAAAAAAUGAAGAAGCUGAUGCAGAACAGGGAACUUGGUGAAAACGAAUAAAAAUUGAUGAAAACCGAGAAGAAAAACAAGAAAACUGAAGCAAAAAAAUAAUAAAAAUAUGUAAAAAAAUGAUGAAACAUUGCAAAACACUGAAAUACUAUGAAAACCAAAGGAAGAAAAGACUCAAAAAGAAGAACAUACAGCGAGCGAAUGAACAACAACUGAGUGAACGAGCGACCAUGCGAGAACACGUUAAUUGUCCGGCCCAUACUUGUGGACUCCAGAGGCGAGCCAGAAUAGGCGAGAUAUAGCUAUGACGAUUUGAUACCCUUCACAGCUUCACGAAUGCUAUAUCUCGCUCACAGCGAAAGUAUAUUUUGUCUGGCCUGAAGGUGCAAGAAUAGCAUCAGGUCGCUGUAAGGUUUGUGAUCCUACAAUGAGAGCUCCGAUAAGAUUAAAGUUCAUUUUUCUGACAACCUUUGGUCGUUCGUUCGCGCUCAGGUCGUCCGCUCACUCGAUUCCACGUACUAGUUUGGUUAUGUUGUUUUUUUCAUUUUGUUCUUUUUUUGUUUCUUCACUGGCUUUCUUUGGUUUUUAUAUCGGUUUUCUUUGUUUCCUUCACGUUUUAUUCCUGUUUUCCUUUUUACUGGUUUAUUUAUUCCUUUUUUUCUUUGUUUCUUUCUUGGUUUUCUUUGUUUUUCUUUCUUUUGAUGUCAAUCUUUUUACAUACGCAUUCAACAAUUUCCGUAUACAUCAGAAACAUUUUAUGUAUACACAUUAACAUUUCCCAGAUAUAUGAUUAAUAUUUUUGGAAAACCUCUAUUUUUUAUGUGUACUUUUUGAUACAUUUUGUAUAUAUCAGAAAUAUUUUUUUAGAAGGUUUAACAUUUUUUUAAAUACAUGAUUACCUUUUUGUAAACUUAUAUUGUUUGACGUUUAUUUUUUUCCAUAGACAUAGUGAGGGGUUAUAUCUAAGGAAUAGGCCCAAGUACAUAUAUGGCACAACCAAAGACCCAUGUUAAUCAAGGAUGUGGUCCACAAAACAAAUGGGGAAACACACGGGGGCCAAUGGAGCUACAAGGCCAAAGCAUCGGAUAUAAGGGGAGAAUAAGUGUGUACAGUCGGAUUACACAACACUUGACAGACAAGACUCAUUAGUUGGUCCACUAUAGGAAUCGAGUAAUUUGCCGUCAGCCGAGAACAGACUCGAAGUCUUUGCCGUCAGCAAGUUGAUGACAAACACAGUGAGCAAAGACUAUAUCGGCAAAGAGCUAAUUUGACGUUAACUUUUCAUCCGCUGAUGACAAAGACUUUGCCGUCAAUUAAACUAUGUGUUUGUCGUCUGUAGAAAAAACACAAAUGGCAAAGAAAAGCAUCUUUGCCAUCAGCAACUGAUUCACAUGUGUCGUCAGCCAGACUCGUCUUGUCACUAGCCUCAAACAUCACAGAUGGCAAAGAUUUUUUUUUAUUUUUAAAAUUCCGCGUCGACCACCCUAUCGCUCGUGCAGCCACCGCCUGGCCGCGCUCGCCUCCCUGCUCACAUGCCCUGCCAGCUUGCGCCGUUGCCAUCCGGCAGCGCUCGCCCGACCCUGCUCAUCGCCCGGCCGAGCUCGCCCGCCCUGCUCGGUCGCGUCGUCGGCAGCUGCCCUGCUUGCACACGUACCUGCCCAGCCUUGCUCAUACCGCCGGCCACCCUGCUCGCUAGAGAAAGGAAGGCGAGAGAGGAGGCUCGGGGGAGAAAGAAAAAACAAAGGAGAGAGAGAGGAUGCUACCACUGCCACAUCACCAAUACGCAUGAUCGAUCUGCAAGAUGUGCUCUCUCUUUUGCCGCCUCUGAUGGCAAAGUAUGUCUUUAUCGUCUAUAAUAAGAUUACAAACAGCAAAGUGAGCUCUUUGCCGUCUGUAAAAAAACGGACGACAAACAAACUUUGUUGUCAGCUGCCGACGGCAAAAAGUGCUCUUUACCGCAGCCUCGAUGAGAAGCUGAAGGCAAAGUGCCCCACAGACGGCAAAUUAGUUGAUUCCUGGGUGGUUAUGAGCAAGACAGGAGCAAUAACCCUAUCUACACUCGGUCAUCUGGAAGACAGGAGUAGUCGAACCAUCUAUAGUCGGCUACAUCUGAGGUUACCGUGACCCUUACGAUGCAUUCAUUAUCGCCGUUACUCAAUGGAGUAGUUAAAUACGUCAGUUAGCAAUAAUAAUAGCCACGAACAGUCAAUCAUGCAUGUGACCAUCAAUAGCAUUUAUACCAACCCAUUACGGCACUUCCUCCUAGCACACUCUAUAUAAGCCAGGAGUAGGACAUGAGAGUGAGGGAUGAACUCUCUCACAGUAUAACCUACGCCAAGAGCAGGAACACCACAUGAAUAGAGAUUACCUCCACCAACGUACUCCCAUCCGUUUUAUGUACCGAUCAAUGUAUAUAAUGGCUUCUACAUUCACAUCCCGUAGUAUUGUCAGGAUUAUAUCCACGACAGAAACUAUAUUUUGUUAUACAUCAAGAACAUUUUAUAUAUAAAUAUUUACAAUUUUUUAAAUACAUGAUUAAUAUUUUUUCAAACAUAUAUUUUGUAUGUCUCCUUUUCAUAAUCUUUGAUCCCUGGAAGUUUCAGAUUUUUUCCGAUUUGUUCUCAUUUUUUUAUGAAUUUACUGUUCAUGAGGGUGUAGGGGCACCCAGGAGCUGUUAGGCAUAAUAUUUCUGCUGUUGUUGUCAUCAUCAAGGGGAAUGAGAAGGGUUGAAGUUUUCGUUUUCUUUGAGGGGGAAAUCAGAGUUGGGGGCUGGAAGUGAGUGAUUAGGCCCAACAUAAGCGCUGUGUGUGUGUGUCUCGUCACGGGCACCAAAUUCGAACUGGGCUAUUGUUUUCUGAGAACCCAACGUCACAAGCCCAACCAACAGUCUGCCGAUCUGCAUCUUCCUCUCCUUGUCCAUCCUCCUCGUUGGCCGGACCGCCUCGAGCCACGGCCGCUCCCUGGCGCAGCGUCCUCCCCUUCCUCUCCACCCCCAAAUUCUCUUGUAUCCUCUUCUGAUCUCCUUCCUUACUUCCUCUCGCUGAUGGUCUCCACAAGAAGGUCUCCGAGCUCCUCGGAGGGUUCCGGCUGUACGUCGACGCAGCCUCUCCGACCUCCCCAUGAACAUGAGCUAUCGACCCUGAAAGCCUGUCUCUUCCAUGAUUCGAUUCACAUGAAUUCACGAGCCGCAUGAAUCAUGAAGGUCAUGGAGCAGAAUUCAGUCGUGUAGCCUGACAGUGAUGUACAUUUGUGGCUUUUCUGGCUAAAUAGCUCUGUACCCUAUGUGGAUGCCACUUCAAAUAAUCGUCAAAAUAAUUCUCCUGCACGCGUUAUACAAAUGGCGAAGAAGAAGUUCGCGUGGAACAUUUCGUUUCUUAUUGAUGUCCGAGAGAAAAGCUCCUAGGAAGUUCAUCCGCUCGGUGGAUUAUAAGUUUAAGUUUGUUACAACAUCCAAUCAUCCAUAUAAUCUCUGUGUUUCUUCUGUUUUCUACCAGUCAUAUAUCAUAUGUGCAUCAGAGGAAAAAUGCUUUCAGCAGUCAUGUUGGAGCGCGCAUACCAAGUUCCCACAUUGCAAAUAUGAUCCUAGCCAUUAAUAUGUUUCAUUCCACAUUUUCUUGAUCUAAUUUCUAAAUGAUUGGACAACCUGUUAUAGUCUUAUAGAAUUAUGAGCCGCCAAAUCCACAUUUCUCUUGGUCUAAUUUCUAAAUGAUAAUGUGCAGCAUCUAUCUCCUGGUGAACCUUUUUUUCUUGCGACUGUAUCUCCUGAUGAACCUAGUUUUCUCUAGGUAGCACAAUAAUUGUACUGGUUUGAUGUAAAGGACAUAAAUACAAGGGAAUAAAUUGGAAGCUUAUUUCAAAUUAACUAGCUAGUGGUGUUUGUGAAGUUCAAGAAAAAGCUGGUCUUUUUCUCGACAAAUAAUUUAACAUGCAAAGAAUCAAUAAAUGUAUUUGCAAGAAAGCAAACAUAAUUAACGAUAAAACUGGUUUAUUGUCACUGUAGACAACGGUAGUAGUUGGAACUAGAUACAAACCAAUAAAAAACAAGAUCUCAAAUCUCCAACCAAUAAAGAGUUCAACCCAAAUUUUACAGUAACACCAUUAUAUUCAAAUAGUGAUUAUUCCAACACAUGGAUAAUUAAUUAAGGCACCAGGUUGCCCUUGUGACUAGGAAAGACAAACUUAUGAACUUGCAAGCAUGGCAAUCAGAUCGACAUCCACACAAUGCCAAUAUGAACAUUGUCUUGAUACAACUUUAUUUUUAUUUUAUUUCAGAAUUUAAACAACUAGUAUGGGCGGGUCACACACGACAUUGUGUGACACUUUAUUUGUCACCGCUGCAUCGACAUAUCCAUCGACUAAACAACGGUGAUCCAACUAUAUAUUACUAGAGACCUUUCCUUAUUAGUAGGAACCAACUCCGGUGCCAACACCGAAUGGCACACUAGUGGUGGUUCUAUACAACGGCACAUUGACACGGCACAUCGUUGGCAGGGUACGGAGCGCAAUGGAAGUCAUCACCUCAAGCUGAGCUAUCUGGUGUGGCUGCAAAAAGGUACCUUGUGCCAAUUGUUGUUGUUGAGGUUGUUGCCCGAGUUGUUGUUGUGACUGCUGUUGGGGUUGGGAAACACAUUGGCCCAACUGUUGGGGUUGCUGCUGAGGAGUUUGGAUGGAACCCUGAACCUGUUGUUGUUCUUGCAGGAUGAUGGAGUAGAUGAUAGCACGGAUUGCCUCAUAGCGGGAUUGCUGGGGGAUUUGCGGCAACUGCUGGCAACAUUGUUGUUGCAUCACAUGGCAACUGCUCUGCUGCAACAUUUGCGACCUAGCAAGACUUUGUGGCAUUGCCACAGGGCUGCAUUGCUGCUGGAGGAAUACCUUGCAUGGGUUUAGCUGCUGCAAGAUAGAUGGAUGAACAAAUGGUAUUUGUUGUUGCGGUAGAACUAGUUGUUGUUGUUGCUGCGAAAAUGGUGGUUGUUGCGGUAGACUUGGUUGUUGUUGUUGCAAAAAUGGUGGUUGUUGCUGUAGUACUAUUUGUUGUUGUUGCGAAAACGGUGAUUGUUGCUGUGAAAAUGGUGGUAGUUGUUGCUGUGAAAAUGAUGGUUGUUGCGGUAGAACUGGUUGUUGUUGCUGCGAAAAUGGUGGUUGUUGUUGUGAAAAUGGUGGUUGUUGUUGCUGCGAAAAUGGUGGUUGUUGUUGUGAAAANNNNNNNNNNNNNNNNNNNNNNNNNNNNNNNNNNNNNNNNNNNNNNNNNNNNNNNNNNNNNNNNNNNNNNNNNNNNNNNNNNNNNNNNNNNNNNNNNNNNNNNNNNNNNNNNNNNNNNNNNNNNNNNNNNNNNNNNNNNNNNNNNNNNNNNNNNNNNNNNNNNNNNNNNNNNNNNNNNNNNNNNNNNNNNNNNNNNNNNNNNNNUGGUUGUUGUUGCUGCGAUAAUGGUUGUUGUUGUUGCUGCGAAAAUGGUGGUUGUUGUUGUGAAAAUGGUGGUUGUUGUUGCUGCGAUAAUGGUUGUUGUUGUUGUUGCUGUGAACAUGGUUGCUGUUGUGAAAAUGGUUGUGGUUGUUGUUGGAUGGGUUGUUGUUGUUGGUGGUGCGAUAAUGUUUGUUGUGGUGGUAAUGGUUGUUGCUGCGAUGGUCUCUCCAAACCAGGGAUGUGGCUAUUCUCCAUUUGUGCAAUGGCACUUGUCGCCACAAUGGCGAGGAGAGCAAAGAUGAGGAAGGUCUUCAUGGUGGAUUGGUGUUAACCAGUGUUGCUUGGUUUUGAUGCUUGUGCUUGUGAUGAUCUUUAUACUUCAUGCCUAUUUAUAGUAGCCCGGGCACCACCUCUUUUCUUCUUUGCAUUAGCUUUAAUAAUUCUGUUUGGAUGCAUCUAAAAUGAUUUUUGGUACAAUGUGUUAGGUUGCACUAGCUACACGCGUACUUUUGGAUUGAUCAUCAAAGUUGCUUUUUAGUUGUGCAUAUGAUCACACACAAAGUACAGAAACCUUGAUGUUUGGUACAUAUGACUCACCUUAUUCACUUUACAUGUCACACACUUAUCUGGAUAGUAUCACUUUUGCAACCGAGUUUGGAACCUUGUAUAGGCUGUCAUCCAUAAACAAGAAAGGCAAAACUUGUGUAGGACUAAGUUUGCAAUCGGAGGGUUCUUCUAGACUCGAUUUCUUUUCGUAAAACUAACUUUGUAUUUUUCCUCUAAGAUGAUAAGAUGAACCGACGCCUAUAGAGCAUGACAUGACUCAUCGAAUUCCCUUUACAUGUAAAGGAUGGUAAUUGCUUACAAGCUACUCCUACUAGCAUAUAUCCGGUUCCAAGCCUAGACACGUCAUCAUCAGUUUCGUCUAUUUUUUUAGAUAAAUCAUCAGUUCUAUCUAUUUGUGAAGGGUUUUUUUGGGGGGAAAUGAUAGUUUUUUUAUGCUAGGGGGGUUUUUUNNNNNNNNNNNNNNNNNNNNNNNNNNNNNNNNNNNNNNNNNNNNNNNNNNNNNNNNNNNNNNNNNNNNNNNNNNNNNNNNNNNNNNNNNNNNNNNNNNNNNNNNNNNNNNNNNNNNNNNNNNNNNNNNNNNNNNNNNNNNNNNNNNNNNNNNNNNNNNNNNNNNNNNNNNNNNNNNNNNNNNNNNNNNNNNNNNNNNNNNNNNNNNNNNNNNNNNNNNNNNNNNNNNNNNNNNNNNNNNNNNNNNNNNNNNNNNNNNNNNNNNNNNNNNNNNNNNNNNNNNNNNNNNNNNNNNNNNNNNNNNNNNNNNNNNNNNNNNNNNNNNNNNNNNNNNNNNNNNNNNNNNNNNNNNNNNNNNNNNNNNNNNNNNNNNNNNNNNNNNNNNNNNNNNNNNNNNNNNNNNNNNNNNNNNNNNNNNNNNNNNNNNNNNNNNNNNNNNNNNNNNNNNNNNNNNNNNNNNNNNNNNNNNNNNNNNNNNNNNNNNNNNNNNNNNNNNNNNNNNNNNNNNNNNNNNNNNNNNNNNNNNNNNNNNNNNNNNNNNNNNNNNNNNNNNNNNNNNNNNNNNNNNNNNNNNNNNNNNNNNNNNNNNNNNNNNNNNNNNNNNNNNNNNNNNNNNNGCCGCCACCGCUCGACAAAAAAGGUCACUUUUGUAGCUCCCCCGUCGAUUGCGGGCCGUACGUCGACGGCAGCCACUCCGACCUCCCCGUCAACACAAGGUAUCGAUCUGUUUCGUCUGUCUCUUCCAGCGAUUCAAUGCACAUAAAUCCGAGAGGCAGACCCAUCUCCAUGCUAGCUGCACGGAUCAGGAGGGUCAGGCAUCAGAAUUCAGCUGGGAAGCCUGACACUAAUGUACAUUUGUGGCUUUAGUAGCUGAAUAUAACUAUGUGUUUUCUGAGAAUUUCACUUCAAAAGUUCCAAUAAUCAUCAAAUUUCCGCCUAUGCGCGCUAAGCAGGUGGACCAUAUAUUUCUCAUGUCGACGAACGAAAAAACAAAACUCCACAACUAGAAGUCUAUGAUAUUGACACGGAACCGUGCUGUAGGGUCGCAAGUAAAAAUAUGAAAAGCAUGCCUAACACUACUAGGAAAAGGGCUAUAGAUGGAAUUGACACUAAUGACGCACCAGACAUGUGGUGCGCCAUUAGUAUAUACUAAUGGCGCACCAUCUUCUGAUGCGCCAUUAGUGUUGAAAUUACUAAUGGCGCACCCUGCCCACGGUGCGCCAUUAGUACCAAUUUUUUUUUGAACUAGUGCGCCUGUCCAAACAUACUAAUGGCGCAUCCGCUGGUGGUGCGCCAUUACUAGUUGUAACUAGUAAUGGUGCACCAGCCAGAGGGUGCGCCACUAAAGUUAUUUUUUUUAUUAUUGUUUUUAUUCCUUUUUUUGCAAAAGUACUAAUGGCGCACUCACACGCGGUGCGCCAUUACUAGUUCAAACUAGUAAUGGCGCACCGUGGCAGAGUGCGCCAUUAGUAUGUUUUUUUUUCAAAACUACUAAUGGCGCACCACCUGGUGGUGCGCCAUUAGUAACCUGGAUUACUAAUGGCGCAUUUGUUGCUGGUGCGCCAUUAGUAAGUGGGCAGCAACAAGAUAUUUUGGACAGCCUCUCCUCCCACACUCACUUUCUCCCCAUUUCAUUCUCUCCACCGCCUCCUCAUGUCUCGGGUGCCUCCUCUUUUUCACCUCAUUUCCACCAUAGAUUCAUUCAAAUUAAGUGGUUAAGUUACCUUGUUUUGCUAGGUAAGUAAGGGGGGAAGCUAUAUUUAUGUUGUUCUCCCUACAACAGUGUGCACAUGCACUUUUUAUGGCCUAGCUAGAUCUAUGUAUGUUCGUGGUGUUGCAUAUGUUUGUGGUGUUGCAUAUGUGUUUGUGUUUGAAGGUGUACCGGUAUUUGAAAUGCGAUAGUUGCCAAUAUUUUGCCGGAAUGUUGAUUCAUUUCCGUUUCGGCGAGAAUUUUGGCAUUAAGCAUUCUUUUUGGUCCUAUUUUUAGGGAAAGUCAUGCCAAAUUUUUUCUUGGUUCUAAAAUAUCGUUUUGCUCUACCCCGCAGGCGACCAUGGUCCGCACGAUGACCGAAGGCAUCGUGAAUAGGUUUUUGAGGUCCACGAAGGCCGAGAUGCUUCAAAAGAACGAGACGGAGAUAAGAUGUCCGUGUCGAAGAUGCAAGCUGAAUAGCCUUAUUGCGGACCCGGAUUCCGGGCAGGUGCGGGACCACCUGCUCUUGCGUGGUUUCAUGGAUGGCUGUCGGUGGCAAGGUGAUGAAGAUGACUACGAAGUCGUCCAUGGGGGCCGGGCAAGAAAUGAGGAAGGGCAGCAAGACAACCACCGCGGCUCGGGGGGGCGAGAAGAAGAAGAAUCCCCAGGAGAUGAUCACGACGGUGAUGUUGUACACAGUCAUCAUGUAGAAGAUGCAGGACAUGAUGAUGAUGCCGGCGGAGCAGACGACGCUGGACCAUCGAUGGGCUGGGUGCAGGACCCUCAUAUUCAAGAGCUGCUUCUCAAGCAGACGGAUAACGCAAGAGCUGCCGCCCGAGAGAAAGCCAAGAUGGAUCAACUUGAGUUAGACGCGGUUACUCCAUUGUAUGAAGGAUGCAGGCCCGAGGAUACCCGCCUGAAAGUAACACUCAUGGCUCUGGAGAUGAAGGUAAAACACAAAAUGACCGACGCAUGCUUCGACGAGAACAUGUCAUUCUGGCACGAACGUCUUCCCAAAGGGAACAAGUGCCCGACCAGUUUGGAGGAGGCGAAGAAAAUCGUGUGUCCUCUGGAUUUACCGCACGUGAAAUACCAUGUGUGCAUGAACAAUUGCAUCAUUUAUCGGGACGAGCACGCGGAGUCUACCAUAUGUCCGGUGUGCGGUGUCACUCGAUACAAGAAGGGGAAGAAAGCUCCUCGAAAAGUGGUGUGGUACUUUCCGAUCACUCCUCGUCUGCAGCGGUAUUUCGCGGACCCUAAGGUAGCAAAGCUCCUGCGUUGGCACGCGGAUAGGGAGGAGAAGAAGCGAGAAGAUGACGCAAAUGAUACGGAGAUAGAUAAAAAAGACAAGAUGCUGAGUCACCCUAAGGAUGCGAGCCAGUGGCAAGCGUUGAACUUCGAAUAACCAGAAUUUGGGAACGAUCCAAGGAACAUCGUGCUGGGCGCGAGCACCGGUGGAGUCAAUCCGUUUGGCAGCCAGAGAAGCACACAUAGCACCUGGCCUGUGUUUGUGUGGAUGUACAACCUUCCCCCCUGGUUGUGCAUGAAGAGGAAGUACAUUCACAUGAGUAUGCUAAUUGAAGGGCCGAAACAACCAGGGAACGACAUCAAUCUGUAUCUGGGGCUGCUGAAAGAGGAGCUUGACACGCUGUGGAAAACGCCCACCAAUACGUGGGACGCCGCAGAGAAAGAAUAUUUCCCUAUGAGAGCCGCACUGCUCACGACGGUGCACGACUAUCUCGGUUACGGAUAUCUUGCGGGGCAGGUAGUCCACGGAUUUUCUGGAUGCGUAAGGUGCAUGGAUGACACAACGUAUCGCCAGCUAGAUAGAGACGAUGACCCGUGGAGGAAACGCAAGGAUCUGUUCGAUGGUGAAACCAAACCCCGAAAACGCCCGUGUACGAGGAGCGGCGAGGAAAUAGACAAGCUGUUGAAAAAUCGGAAAGACUGCCCACUGCCGGGAAAGAAGCAAAAGGUGCCAGAGCCGGGAAAGAAGCGAAAGGCGCCAGAGCCGCUGCUGAAGCUAUGGAAAACGAGGUCUGUUUUCUGGGACUUGCCGUACUGGAAGAUCCACCGUGUGCCUCACAGCCUUGAUGUCAUGCAUAUCACGAAGAACGUGUGCGAGAGUCUGCUUGGUACCCUGCUCAACAUGCCAGAGAGGACCAAAGAUGGGCCGAAAGCGAGGGCAGACUUGAAAUCAAUGGGCAUCAGGCAGGAGCUUCACGCUAUAUAUGAUGAUGAUGAUGAUGAUGAUGAUGAUGAUGAGGCGAAGCAGGACACAGAAAGUCGUCGCAAAGGCAAAAAGGCCAAGAAGACCGGAAAUGACUACCCUCCCGCGUGCUUCACUCUAAGUCAGGAGGAGAUCGAGCAGUUUUUCACCUGCCUCCUAGGAGUAAAACUUCCUUACGGUUACGCGGGGAAGAUAAGCAGAUACCUAGACCCAGCGAAGCAGAAGUUCAGCGGGAUGAAGUCUCACGAUUGUCACAUGCUGAUGACGCAGAUACUUCCAGUUGCAAUCCGUGGGAUCAUGGACGCGCACGUCCGUGAAACGCUAUUUGGCCUAUGCAACUUCUUCGACGUCAUCUCUCAGAAGUCGAUUGGCAUGAGGCAACUCAGAAGGCUACAGGAAGAGAUCGUGGUGAUACUAUGCGAGCUUGAGAUGUACUUCCCGCCCGCAUUCUUCGAUGUUAUGGUGCAUCUGCUGGUCCAUAUAGUGGGGGAUAUCAUCCAACUCGGGCCGAUGUUCCUGCACAGCAUGAUGCCGUUCGAAAGGAUGAAUGGUGUCAUCAAAGGAUACGUUCGCAACAUGUCACGUCCAGAAGGAAGCAUAGCCAGGGGCUUUCUGACCGAAGAGUGCAUCUACUAGUGCGCGAAUUAUCUAGGCAUCGAGAACCCCGUUGGUCUGCCCGUCAACAGGCACCUCGGCAGGCUCGCUGGAUGGGGUCACCGUGAGGGUCGCCGCGAAAUGCAUGUCGACUUCGAGGGUCGACUCGCCGACUUUGAAAGAGCAAACCUAGUCGCGCUACAACACAUAGACGUGGUCGAUGCUUGGGUGGUAGAGCACAAAACCUUUAUUAAGAAGACGUACAAUGACCGAGGCCAACAGAGGACGGACGGAGAUAUACUCAAAGAGCACAACUCAUGUUUCACGCGUUGGUUCAAGCAGAAGCUUCUGUCGUACCCUUUACAUGAGGAUUCUUCCGCGGAAGAACAACUCAUAUUCGCCUUGUCACAGGGCGCCGAGCACAACCUGAUGACCUAUGAGGCGUACGAUAUCAACGGCUACACAUUCUACACCGAGGCCAAGGACAUGAAGAGCGAUGGUUAUCAGAACUCCGGGGUAACGAUGGAAUCCUACACCGGUAACGACAAGGACAGAUACUACGGAAGGAUCGAGGAGAUCUGGGAGCUGAGCUAUGCUGGAGAGAAGGUCCCGAUGUUCCGUGUCAGAUGGGCCAAGAACGUCAUAAAAGAAGACCGGUAUUUCACCACCAUGGUUAUACCCGGAGCCAAAUCCAAGACCGCGAGCGCAAACGUCACCGCGAAAAAUGAGCCAUGGGUACUGGCUUCCCAAGUGGACCAAUGCUUCUUCAUUACCGACCCGCCAAAGCCCAGUCGUGUUGUCGUGAGGAGAGGCAAAAGGAAGAUCAUCGGAAUGGAUGGAGUAGCCAAUGAGCAAGACUUCGACAAGUACGGCGACCCGAGGAUCGAACAUGACGACGAUGAUGAAGUAGCAGCAUACACCACAAGAAGAAGCAGGACCACCCUACCUAAAGGACGUCCGUUCCACAGAAGAACUCCAUUUGCGAAAAAGAAGGGCAAGAAGAUUGUGAACAGAUAGCUAGCUAAGAUCGAUUGUAUUUAAAUCGUAGCCUUCAUUUCUCGAUUGUAUUUCAUGGGUACUUUUUGAACUAUCAUGAAUAUUUUUAAAUUUAAUGGACACUCGAUCUCGAUCCCCCUCCAUCUCGAUCGCUAUCCCACCUCGCCAGAUCCGGUCCCCCUCGCCGCCAAGCACCCCCCCAGCCCACCGGCCGCCGCCGCCGACCCCCCGCACCCUCGAUUCCCCUACCCAACCGCCGCCGCCGACCCACCGCACCCCGCGCACCCUCCCCUGCUCCACCAGCAUUACUGUUUGAUGAUAUUUUUAAAAAAAUUAUUAUUGUCUUAUAAAAAAAUAUUACUGUUAUGAUUUAAACAAGUUUGAACAUAUUUAAACACAAAUAAGUAUCAAACAGGUUUUUAAAUGCUAAAAAAAAUUUGUGGAGCCUGGGAGUCGAACCCAGGACCUCCUGGUGUGAGAACUGGCUGCUGACCAGUCGAGCUAGUAGAGGGGACUUGAUGUGGAUCAAUUCUGGUGGUACAUAACCUGUUGGCUCGAGUUGAAAUAAAAAAAAUACUAAUGGCGCACCACGGUGAGGUGCGCCAUUAGUAUGGAUGUACUUAUGGCGCACCGAGGGGUGGUGCGCCAUUAGUAUUGUGCCCGAUCCCUUCCCUCUCCCCCUUCGCCCGAUCCCCCCUUCCCUCUCCCCCUUGCCAGUUCCCUCUCCCUCGAUCCACCGCCGCCGCCGCCGCUGCCCUGACCCACUGCGCCGCAGCCGCCCACGCGCCCCCGCCGCCUCCCUCUCCCCUUCCUCCCCCUCGAGCCCGCGCCGUCCGCCCAAACCUAACCCGACGCCGUCCGCCGCGCCCGCUCCACCGCCGCCGCCCUGCCUCUCCGCCCUCUCCCUCCCUCNNNNNNNNNNNNNNNNNNNNNNNNNNNNNNNNNNNNNNNNNNNNNNNNNNNNNNNNNNNNNNNNNNNNNNNNNNNNNNNNNNNNNNNNNNNNNNNNNNNNNNNNNNNNNNNNNNNNNNNNNNNNNNNNNNNNNNNNNNNNNNNNNNNNNNCGUCGCCCCGCCGCCCCGACACCACCGUCCGUCGCCCCGCCGCCCCGCCGCCCCUCUCGCAGCAAGGUAUGCGGCUGGUUCGUCCCCUGUCAUGGUUCUCUCUUCGUUUAUUUUCCUGAAAUCUCUGCUGUUCAUUGGCCGAUGAUGUCUUACAAGUAAAAUAUCUGGCAAACUUGUGCUGUAAACUGUACAUUGCUGAGGCUGUGGGCAACCUGUUCUUCUCUUUGCCAUACUAGUGCUUUUGUUCAUUGGCCGAUGAUGUCUCUGUUGGUUUACGUCCCCGGCAAAUUAGGUACCCGUGAACCAUUUAUAGGCCCAACUUUCUUACUCUCAAUGACCACAAUGUGCUUAUUUUGUUAGGAUUGUGCAUUUGCGCGAUUUGUGCAGUGCUUAUUUGUUGGCACCUCACCAGCUUUCAAAUUCAGCAUUUGUAACACAGUUCAAUUUGAUCUAAGGGCCUAUCUUGUCUCAUUUCCAACAUGUAAUAAACUUCCCCCGAGGCCAUAGAUGAGAAUACUUCUUUCAGUACAUUUUGCUGAUUUCUCACUGUUGAAUACUUCAUUUCUGUUUGCCUUUGGCCAAAGAUGCAUUCAGUUCUUUCUGCCCUUAGCGGUUUGAUUCAAGUUUGUCAGGUUCUGUUAACUAAAAAGGUUCAGAUUCAGAAACAUUGUUGGACUACUAGGAAGUUGGACUACUAGGAACAUGUUUAGAUUCAGGUUCUGUUAACUAAAAAAGUUCAGGUUCUGUUAACUAAAAAAGUUCAGAUUCAGAAACCUGUAAUUUCUACUUUUAUGCCUCUGUUACUCCAGUCAAAAUUUUAUGUUUGAUGCCCAUGGUAGUUGAGCUCUCACCUCACCUCACGCAACAUGCAUGAUGCCACAAUGUCUAGUAUGUACUGCCAAGCAACUGGCAAAUAAUUAUAACUUAGAAUAAAUAAAUCUGAUGUAAGAUAAGCAUGGCAUGAGCUUUAAUUAAAUAGCAUAAUACACGUUGGUAGUCCAUCUCUCUCAAAAAAAAUACAUGUUGGUAGCAGAAAAAAAUACAUGUUGGUAGCAGAAAUUUUUUUGAGCCCUUAUUAGCUACUCACACUAUUUGCCCCGCAGUUUCUCUGUCAUGGCUACCAAGUGAUUGACGGUGGGCUAGAAAAAUAAAACCACCAAACUAUCAGUAAAAGAUGUGAACCAACAUCUUUCAUUGUUAUGCAUAUCAAACACCAAGGGUUAUUUUCACUUAAAGUUUUAGAAUGGGUGCAUUACAAUUCAGUCUGAUAUCUAAUAAGACACUCUGGGCUGAUAUAAUUAUGGAACAGAACCAACCAUGAUAAAUAAAAGGUGAUGUUGUCUAUGCAUUACCAAAAAUGUAUCUUUGUGAACAAAUAAAUUGGUACCAACAGCAAUGCCAUCUUACUGUAGAAUUAGAAUACAUGGACAUGAUCAGCUCAGCUCCCAAACUGCCAUUCAUCACAUCAAUUUCCCCUUAUGUAACUCCAGUCAAAAUUUUAUGUUGGUCUACCUAGUAGAUGCCCAUGGUUUGAUUUUAUGUUUGUUCCUAUCAAUACAAAUGCUGAGCUAUGUUCCAUUUUUACUGUUCUUUGUGAUAGUUUUUGCAACUUUACUUCCCAUCUUAAGGCAAGCCCCAUUUUUACUGUUCUUUGUUAGCAGAGCUGCUUGUUUCUAAGAACUUUGAUACUAUUUGGAUCAAAGUUAAAUGAGCACAUAGAUGACAAAAAAAAGUUCAGAUUGUAAAAUGUUCAUUUUGCUGCUAGUGCCCAUUUUGAGUAAUUGCUUAGAGGGAUGAUCCUGUGUGAGCUGGUGGAGUGAUUUGUUUUCUACAUAAAGCUCUUUAGUCAGGCUGGUUUUCGUGAAAUACACAUGAAGCUUCACCAGCUCCUGUGGGUGUGGGAUCCAUGUGACAUGUGACAUUGCAUCCAUGUCCACCUGGGAUAAUGAUUUUGCAUGUACCCCGAGAGGCCCUUAAGUUUGCCGGAAUGUCGAUUAACUUCCGUUCCGGCAAAUUCGGGUACUCCAUAUGUCCUAUUUUCAGCAAAGGUCAUGCUGAAAUUUUCCGUGAAUUUUAGCAUGACUUUGCAAAAAAUAGGACAUAUGGGGUACUUGUGACUAAUGCAUGGGCCGGGGUAUCAUAGUAGUUAAUUAAGUAGGAUCAAGUGCCCCGGCGUACUUGUGACUGAUGCAUGGCUUUUAGGGUGCCUCGGUGUUGAUAAAAACCGAAAUGAUGAAAGCUUAGGCUUUUAGGGUGCCUCGGCGUCGAAAAACCCUCAAUGAUAAAAGCUUAGGUCUUAGGAUGCCUCGGUGUCGACAAACCCUAAAUGAUGAGACCAUGUCUUGUUCCUUGACAAUAACCAACUUUUUGACCAAACUUUGUUUCUAUUUAGAGAGAAACAUGGCCCACAACGAUGAGGCCGGGGGUUCGGGCGGCAAGGCAUUCUGGGAGCUGUCCCAGGAGAUGGAGGAACAACCUCACUUGUAUGAGGCCGCCGCCUUCCCCACCGAUCCUGAGACCACUGAUGGUGCCGCCGAGGAUGACCACACUGAUGCCACCACUGAUGGUGCCGCCGAGGAUGCCACCACUGAUGAUGGCAGCGCCCGCACAGAUGGCAGCCAACCGAAGAGGCAACGGAAGGACCGACGCCCGAUCGUGCUCCUCACCCUCAAGGAGGAAGUUACUGAAGUGGACUCCAACGGGUAUCCAACGGCGCCCGAACGAAUAGUCAAGGGGUACUCGCUUCAGCUCGGGUGCAUUGUCCGGAGCACCGUCUCGAUCAACACCGAGAACCUGAGGCAUCCUGACCGAGGGAAUUUGUGCCACCUCCUCUUCACGAAGCUGCACGAAUGAUACAAGUUCCCCGCUGAAUUUGCAAACAGAAGCCUCAAAGGGAAUAAAGUGAACAAUGCUGCCCUCACGAAGAUGAGCAAGGCCCUGUCUACUUGGAAAAGCAAUGUGAAGAAAAUGAUCGAUAAAGGUGAGAGUUAUCAGAAGAUCAAGGAGAAAAAUCCUUCGAUCACCAAAGAUGACUACAAUGACUUCAAGAUCAAUUGCUCGAGCACCGCAAGCUCCCAAUCAAGUGAGUGGGGGAAACAAAUGCGGGAGCUGAACAUAGGGGAACACACACUCGGUCCCGACGGUUACAGAGUGGCGGAGCCUAUAUGGGACAAGGAGGAGGCGGACCGUGCCGAGCAAGGCCUACCGCCCCUCUUCGAGAAAUACAGCGGUAACAAGCAGACCAGGAACUUUGUCAGGGCCCGGUACAAGAAGGACCCGAAAACAAAGGAGCUUACCACGGAUCCGAAGACCAGGCAGCUUGAGCUUGUUCUGGUAAGGAAUACACCCCCGCGUAAUUAGCUCCAUAUGGUUGCAUUCUAAUUAAUGAAGCCAAAUUUCUAAAUGGUUCACAUUCCUUCCGCAGGCGACUGAAAGCAGUAGCGCGGGGUCGACUAAGAGCAACCCUUGGGACACCACUCUAAAUAGGGCGAUGAAUGUAAUGAAGAAGAAGGAUAAGCUCAGUAAGCCGACGUCAGCUGGUCGUGUGGCCGGCAAAGGCUUGUCGACAAAAUGGGGGUCAUACUAUACCGCUGGUGUGCGGAAGGAGAAAAAGACCAGCUCGGAAAGCCAGGCGCGAGAGGAUCAAGAACUCAAGGAACAGGUGACGCGGAUUCCGGAGAUUGUCCAAGAGCAAGUGGAACAAUGACUCGGAGCGACGAUCACCGCCAUUGUGCCUACCUUGAUCUCGGGGUUGAGUGCGUGGAUUGCGGGCGGCCAACAGGGGCCGCCCCCGAUUCCUAGCUUCACGGCCAGCAACUCGCAUAAUGCGAUGGCGGGGCCAUUGGUGCCUCCGGCGGAGGCGGCAUUGGUGUCUCCGACGCCGGCACGGGAGCUUAAUGCACCCGGGUGUACGCCGGCCGGCACCUCUGCAGCAAGCGGCCCCUCCGUCAACUGCACGCCCGCCGUUGGCGGUGCGUCGACAUUAGCCGAGCUCGACGCCAUCAACACGGUAACUAAUUAAGCCUCUCUCGGCCGAGGACUUCAUCUCCUUGCCUUUGACUAGGCAUCCCUGACGCCCUACAUGUUUUCGCAGGGCGCCGCCGACGUUCCGUGCACUCUCCUCCACUUCGUGAACAACGAGUUGGUCGAUGUCGCCAAGGGCAAAAUCGUUCAACCGGCAACCCCUUGUUCCACGGUACCCAGAUGCCACCCAACUUGUUUAGGGUUCAACUGGUUCGGGUGUUGCCAGGCUGCGACGACUUGUUACCUCUGAUUCGACCCGUUGGGGCCGACGAUGAAGACGUGAUGACCCUCAGCGCCUGCCUGAGCUGGCCCCUAGUUUGGCCGAAGAGCCAGAUUCGUUUGGGGGCGGGGGACACCACCCCAAAGACAACACCGCCAGUCGUGCUGGUGCCAAGUCGGCCCCAUGGCAAGACCGCCGUAACGGUGCCGGACAUCCCUAUGCCACUGGAUCCAAACAUGCAUAUGGCACAGGAUCAGAAUGACGACGACAACGACGAUGAUACAUUUGGCAACGUCGAUCAGUACUUUGCCGAUCAUGGGUACGAUGGCGACUUCAUGGGGCCUCCUUCUCAAGAACCAAACCCAACAAAAGACGUGUGCGAUCUAGCUGGUACCGCAGAGAAGCCAAGUUGCAACAGGCGCCGUCUGGCGUUCAGCUCUCAGGAGACGCCUCCAGCUGCCGACUUCACCGAUCCUCAGAUAGGCGAGGUGCGAAAUAUUAUCAGCCCCAACACACUCAAGAAGGCGGUCUGUGAGCAGAACUCGGUCCCAUUACAGGAGAAGAAGAAGGCACGCAAAAGAAAGACUAAGAAGGGUGCGAGCCAGCCGGCACCGAGUACGAUCCGUGCUCAGGACGGGCCACCUUCACCGCAGGAUAUCUCGAGGAGGGUGCAUGUGGCGGGUAGGGCGAUGCUACCGACAAAUAUGCUCAAUGCUGCAACCGGUGCUAUGCGGAGUCUGCAUGACAGUGUUCUUGCUUUGGAGAAGCGGCGUCUCAGAGAGAAGGAUGUGGCAUACCCGGUUUUCGCGGCCAAGGUGCCAAAGGGCAAGGGCUUUGUGGAUAACUCCAUCGGGCGUACGAUCGUCCUGCGUUUUGAUGACAUCCACGCUAUGUUGAACCUUCAUCCGCUGCACUACACCUUCGUUCGGCUAUUUUCGCUGAGUAUGGAGAUGCGGAUCAUUCGCGACAAGACCCCGGACAUCGUGAUAGUCGACCCCUUCUACAUGCGUGCCAAGAUCUUGGGCAGCGCUGGGGACCGGCAAGUCGCGAGUUCUUACCUCGAAGGCAUCAUUCUGGCAAACCAAGAUAAGGAUAACUUCCUCGUGCCUUACUUUCCCGAGUAAGUCCUCCCCUCAACCGGCCCGUAACAUAUGAAUUCUUACAUUUCGAUCGUUUUUCUUUUAACAUUCCGUGUUUUUUGCAGUGACACACGUUGCACGCUCAUCCUCCUAAGCCCCAAAUAUUCCAUGGCCACAUAUUUCGACCCGGACUGUUAGUCGAACGUAGACUACACAAAUGUCAAGAAGGUUCUUGAUGAUGUUCUCCCCGGCUAUGCCAAAUCUGGAGGCACCUUCACCAGGCCUAAUCGUAAGUACGGCAAGCAUGUUUUCUCCCACAAUACGAUGUUCUACUGCGUCAAGCAGCCGCCUGGUGGUCAGAAGGGUGCCUACUACGCCAUCCAUCACAUGCGGGCGAUCGUACGGGACCAUCAUCAACUUCUGCUACCGAGUAAACUCAAAGAUUGGGCAAAGAGCGUGUCGGCAAUCGAGGACGCGGACCUCCGACAAGAAUUCUUUCGCAUCCAGUCGGAGUUUGCGGAAAUCAUCCAUCAAGAUGUCCUUCGUACCUCGGGGCAGUUCUACCUCAACAAUCAACCGUCCAAUAGUGACAUCGACAUAAUGCUACAAAUGCAGGCUGACAACGACCGUUAUUUCAUGACUCCCACGAUAGACGGCGGCUUCAUCCACGCUCCGGUCCCUUGAGUCGAGUCGAAAGCAGUGAUGCUGUGUCUAGUUCUGAAACAUCGAUUGGCUCAUGUUGUAAUUAAACUUUAAUGAACUUGUAGUAUGUCUCUUUGGUUUCGAGAGUCGUUCAACUUAGAUGUAAUCGAUGCUAUUAAUGUCUUGCUUUUCUCUUCCGAUUGUUCUGUUGCAUACUUAUAUAUUGCUUAUGUAUUGUCUGUGAAUUGGUACUAACGUUUCGUUUGGCUAGUGCAUAGCGAUGCCGACGUAUGUCGUGUACAAGGGUAAGGUUCCCGUAGUCUACGAUGACUGGGAGGAGUGUCGGAGACAGGUUCACCGAUUCAGCGGUAACAGUUACAAAGGGUACACCACUAGGGCCGAGGCCGAAUCUAGAUACGCCCGCUAUCUAGCGGGAGAGGGGAGGGAGCGUUGGAGGAACCGGAUGAAGACGAGUUUCAUCGUGAUGAUGCUCAUCGUGAUGACCGCAGCUCUCUUCUAUGUGAUGGUAGUUUAGAUGAUCGAUAUCGACUUGUAAUGUGAAGACAAACUCGCUACUCGCGGUCUCGAGACUUGUAAUAUAAUGUUCUAUCUUUGUUCGGUCUUUUUAAUUCGGAGACUAAUAUGAUGAAUUGUAUUCGGAGACUAAUAUGAUGAAUUGUAUUCAAAGACUAAUCUUCUAUUGUAUUCGAUGAAUCUGUUGUUGAUGUGUGCUGUCUAUAUUUUGUCAAAUUAUACAUUUUGUAACCUGUGCAAAAAACAGAAAAUAAAAAAUAAAAAAAACCUAAUAUUCAUACUAAUGACGCAUCACAUGAUAGUGCGCCAUUAGUAUGACAGUGCAUACUAAUGGCGCAUCACUGGGCAGUGCGCCAUUAGUAUGCCGCGGUUACUAAUGGCGCAUCCAGCGGUGGUGCGCCAUUAGUAUGCCAAAGCACCUGGGUAUACAUGGCCCCUGGGAGGCAUACUAAUGGCGCACCCUUGCCUAUACUAAUGGCGCACGCGCGGUGCGCCAUUAGUAUACCAGAUACUAAUGGCGCACCAGGUGGUGCGCCAUUAGUAAAAAUUACUAAUGGCGUGCUAUUAAUGGCGCACCACAGAUGCGCCAUUAAUGGCCAUUUUAGGUGCGCCAUUAGUAGGGGUUUUUCUAGUAGUGUAAUAAGCGAGAUGACGCAGUUCCUGACCGCCCCGCUACCACUACUGGUUCCAGCGUGGCGUUUGAAUUAUGCCGCGCUAGAUGCCUUUUGUCCAGCGAGGAACAAGUGGGGUCAAGCGUGCUUUGGCAAUUCCCGCCGUCAGAAGACUUCCUUGUAGUCCGGUGUAGAGGUGAGGUUGUAGGGAGAUGCAUCGACUAGGAAGGAGUGGCCACAUGAACGAGCAUAUGUAUGAUGUGAUUAAGUCUCUCGAUCGGGUAUCUGGUGCCUUACGUACGGUGUCUUAUUUUUGUCAAGCUAUGACAUCUUUCAGUUUGAGUGUCUGAUAUUAGGGUUGCAUACGUUUUGUUAUUCAGUUGCCUGUUGUCAACUCUAUGGUUAUAUCACCUCGAUGUGUGAGUCAAUGUGUUUGAACCAAUGUAGAGUUUCAUGUGAAUGUUACAAGUGUGAUUGAUAUCUUCAUGUUAUAACCGCAGUUGCCUUGGUAAGAAAUUGAAAGAGCAAACCGUUAUCGUGUUAGGAAAAAAGUCAUCGCUCAAUAUAAGUUGCUUCUCUAGAACAACCACACCUUUCCCUCAAAAAAAAGAACAACCACACCUUGUGAAAGAAGAUGGCAAACACCCAAUUAUGUCUGGUUAGAUAUGGGCAUGGCUAUGGGUAGCUUAUAGCGACACGGAAGCUAGCAUCGCCUGAAGAAACACCCGGAUGGGCCGGCCUAGAGACAAAUUUCUUCAUUUCUACCCUUAGUUUUGUUUUUCUGCCCUUUUUUCUUUAUAUUUUAUAUUUUUCCCGACAUGUUCACUACUUGAUGCUCAACUGGGAUCUCAUCUGAUGCGGAGCAUCCUAUGGACAUCACCAUGUCAAGAGUCCGUUCGGCAAGUGACACGUGUGACAUCUACUUCUCAUACAUAAAGGUGAAUCUUCUCCUUUACACGUGUUUACUUGACCCCUUCGAGGAUGGUAUACUACUUGACACUUCUCCCGUGUGCAUGCAUAGGUAUUGUCGGAGCUUCAUGGAUGUCGAGGAGGAGUGCAAGCGCCAAGGAAUGACUACACCGUCCGCGAGGGAAGCAUGGAAGAGAAGGAGGAAGAGAACCUGGCUACUCCAGAACGAGCGGUACUACUGCCCACUCCAAGCGGUACUACCGCCGAGGCCACCCAAGCGGCACUACCGCCCAGCAUCCGCCCUUCUACUGCUCAACCCGACAAACUCCAGUGAUCGAGCGGUGUAAGUCCGGUACUACUGCCCCUCCAAGCGGUACUACCGCUCAAGCGGUACUACCACCCAUGAGUCCGGUACUACCGCCCUGCCUCUGCCCAGCCGUGGGCCUUUGGCCUUGUAUCCCUCUCCCACUUACCCCUUCGUGGCUUAGACUAUAAAUAGGCCACCUCCACCUCCUUUCUAGGGUUAGCACAGAUUUAGCUCAUUUUGAGAUAGAGCUUUGCUCAUCCAUACGGAUCUACUCCUCGUGAGAGACCGCGACCUCUUCGGAGAAGAUCCAUCUUGGAUUCAAGACCCCCUCGUGGGAAGAUCCGUCUAGGAUACCAACAAGACCUCCUCUUGGAGAUGAACCUUACCUUGUAUCUUUCCCUUUGUUGUUCAUGUACCCUUGUGGAUCUUGUGUGUUUGAUUGUCUAGUGGAUGUGUGAUUGGACUUGUACUUGAGUGUUUCCCCUUGUGAUUUCUCUCCGUUCUUCCACGUGUUCUUCAUAGGGAUCCGCUCCAAACGUGAAAGAUCGGCCUCUAGGGUUCUAGCCUACAUCAUCUUGGAUCAGAGCAAGGUUGAUCACGGAUUUGGAGCCCCUACCCCUCUUUUUCUAGCCUUCUUUUGCUUGCUUUCGUCCUAAAAUCCCCACAAAAAAUAGCCCCAAUUUUUUUGUGAUUUGUUCGUUUGAUGAUUUUUUGUUGAUUUUGAUCCAUGGAUUUGCUUGGUUUUGAGUGGAUCUAGCAUCUCUCCAAGUUUCCCCACCUUCCAUCCACGAAAUCCAUCCAAUUUUGCCCCUGAAAUCAUCCUUUUCCGCCCCAAAUUCGCCCCGAUUUCGAUCUGUGAAUUUUCCCGACACGAGCGGUACUACCGCCCUCGAAGCGGUACUACCGCCCUCGAAGCGGUACUACCGCUGAGCACCACAAGCGGUACUACCACCCUCCCAAGCUAUGACGCCCGGAUAAUUAAGCUACAGUAAUCCCCUUCUAAUGGUGCCAUGUCAUCACAUUACUGUUGCUAAUCCUCGCUUGAUCCAAAUCUUAGUUCAAACUCAAAUUCAAAUUAAAGACCAAAAUUCAAAUUUCUCAAGCAUGCAAAAUAAAAUGUUCAAAGUGUGGCAAAUAAUCGCUGGAUAUUUGUCAUGUUGCAAACAACCUCUUUUGAAUUCUCAAAAUGCCCCUGGGAAUUAAUUUUUGGUCCAGUAGUAAAUUAAAUGGCAUUUGCAAAAUAAAGAAUUGUUUAUUUAACUCCAAUUGCCUCCAAACUUUAUGUGCCACUCCAAAAUAUUUGUGGCUCUGUCUAAGAUCGCCAAGGAAUUAAAAGGGCACUUCCCAUAUUUUCCCUAAGUAAAUAGUGUGCCCAAAAUAUUCUCUUAACCAUCUCUAUUUUUUUAAAUAAAAAAAGGCGAAGAAGAACUCCCCCGGGCCUCGGGCCACUCCCACUUACCAGCCCACCUAAGCCGGCCCACUCCCCCGCUCCCCUAGCCUAUAGGCCACGGCCGACCGAACCCUAACCCCGCAUGAUCCCCCCACUCCCCACUCCUCUCCCCUCUCGAUCCGAUCUGGAUCGGACCGAAACCGGCGCAAUUGGUCGAUCCAUGUAUAAAGUAAAAAUAACUAGGCCCAAUUGGUCGAUCCAUGACAGUUUUCGUGACGGUACUUCCACGUCUGUCAUGAGGGGGCUACCCUACUUGGCCCCAAAUGGAUCUUGCUAAUUGGUGACGGUUUCCGUGAUAGAUUUCUGGAACGUCACCAGAAAUCCGUCAUUGAUUAACAGAUUUCCGCACAAUCCCCCCACUCCCCACUCCUCUUCCCUCCUGAUCCGAUCUGGAUCGGACCGAAAUCGGCGCCGCGACGCCAACCGCCGUCGCUGGAGGCGUCCCCGACUCCACGCCGGGCCGCCCCGUCACUGGACCUCCUCCCCGUCGCCACUCGUCACUCGCUGGACCGCCUCGUCCCCACCAAUGCCGCCCCCACCCCAACGUCCCCGACGCCUUCGCCGUCGGCACCGCCCCAAUGUCGCCGCCACCCGACGCCGGCGCCCUCGACAUCGCCACCCCGAGCCCACUGCCACCCCUACGCUCCGCUAUGAGCCCCUCGCUGAUUCCCCCUCCUUCCCGUCGUCGUAGGUGGCUGCGCGCGUCGUUGGCCAUCGUGGCCGCGCUCCGGCCGUUCCCCAUCCGUGCGCUGGCCUCGCCUUCCUCGGAUUGCAAACAUUGAACUUUUCCCCUCGGGUUCAUCUAUCUGACAGACGUUCGGGACCAGAAAAACUUUCCCGGAUGUUUCCCCCUUCGCCAGUAUCACCUAGCACCGCGUUAGAACACUUCUAGCCCCGCUUAUUGUCUUGUUAUGCAUAUGUUUGCGUGUAUUUACUGUUUCUUCCCCCUCUUCUUCUCCGGUAGACCUCGAGACCGUUGCUGAUGCCCCUGUGGUCGACUACGUCGACGGCGACCCUCCUUGUCUGAGCAACGAGGCAAGCCCCCCCUUUGAUCAUCCCGAUAUCGCCCAUUCCAUUCUCUAAUGCUUGCACUAGAUUUUCUACUGUAUUUGAUUGCUCCUAUUCUGAUGCAUAGCAUGCUUUUCUACCUGCUGUUGUACCUUACCUGCUUAUCCUAAACUGCUUAGUAUAGGUUGGCUAGUGAUCCAUCAGUGACCCCCACCUUGUCUUUGUUGCCCCUGCUUCAUCAUUGACGACUCGAUCAACGUGAUCGACGACCGGAGCCUGACACCUCACAUCACAUCACGCCCCUUUUUGUUGCUCGACUCUGCAGAGUUACCAUCGAGUGCCGAGGGUGGAACCUCAUACAUCACUCCUUAUGAGAUCUCUGUAGUGUAGCUAUUCGGUCGUGGUCAUCGAGGGUGGUUCCUCCUUCACCAUUCCUAAUACGGCUCUGUCGUGCAACACCUCAAGUGUGAACCUCGAGGGUGGUUCCUCUUACGUUCACCUUGAUGAUUACAUCGAGUGGAAUCCACCGGGGGUGAUUCCUCGGAUUUUCCCCUUUAUGUCUGGACACACAGUUACCUUGACUUCACUUGAGACCGUUUUGAAAGCCGGGCAGGCCCGGAGAGCACCCGUGCGGUGUGACGGUGGCGGCUGGCUGUUUAGCGGUAUCACCCGGGAGGGGGUGAUAGCUCCGGACUUGUCCCGACAGCCGUCACUUCUUUUAAUAAUGCACUAACAGGUUUGGGUAUUUUUUCUAAGUUCACUAACCACGACGCUAGAAUAGUUAUGGGUCUCGAUGUUGCAGUAUCAGCCGAAGCUUUCUCAGACGUCCAGUUCAGCAUUGUGGCCGGGCCGAAUCAUGCCAUCCACUUCACGGGUGGUGCUGGUAUCCCCUUGCGCACAACGACCCAGAGUGCAACGGGCGAUGGGCCCAGACCCCGGAGUGCUUAGGAUGUAGACCGGCAGGGACCUCUCUGCUGAGCCUAGGUAGGGCAGCUACGUGUUGAUCUUCCGAGGCCGGGCAUUGACCCCAGAAAGGUGUGUCCUUCCAGAGUGAUCGAGCGUGUUGGGUAACGUGGUGCCCCCCUGCAGGGAAGAUUAUCUAUUAAUAGCCGUGUCCACGGUAACGGACGUUCAAACUUAUAUCUUGAUCUUAUACAACUACAAAUGGAUACUUGAGAUAUGUGGCUCCGGGAUUGCUUUCUCGCAGGGAGUCGAGGAAGGAUCUCUGGGCGUUGUUGUCACAACAUGCUUGUUAAUUAAACUGCUAUUCUUUACUCUUCUACAUGCUGCAAGAUGCUUGGAGCUACUUGAAGAUGCUAGUCUUCAUGAGGCUAGGCCUUCCCCUCUAUUCUGGCAUUCUGCAGUUCAGUCCACAGAUACAACCCUUCCAUUUGAUACCAAUGCAUACUUAGUAUAGAUCUGAUGCUUGCGAGUACUUUGGAUGAGUACUCACGGUUGCUUUGCUACCCCAUUUCCCCCUUCUUUCUUCUUUCCGGUUGACGCAACCAAAUGGUGGAUCCCUGGAGCCAGAUGCCAGCGCUGAUAGAUGCUACUAUGUGAAGAUCGCCGACGACCAGGAGUAGUUAGGAGGUCCCAAGCAGGAGGCCUUGCCUCUUCGAUCAUUGUUGCUUUUGUGCUAGCCUUCUUAAGGCAUCUUUGUUUAACUUAUGUCUGUACUCAGAUAUUGUUGCUUCCGCUGACUCUUGUGUAUCGAGCUAUGUAUUCAAGCCCUCGAGGCCCCUGGCUUGUAAUAUAAAGCUUGUAUUAUUUUGAUUUGUGUCUAUAGUUGUGUUGUGAUAUCUUCCCGUGAGUCCCUGAUCUUGAUCAUACACAUUUGCGUGCAUGAUUAGUGUACGAUUGAAUCGGGGACGUCACAAGUUGGUAUCAGAGCCGACUGUUUGUAGGAUCCCCCUUUCCAACUCCUUGGCUGAAGUUGAGUCUAGUCUUUGAAAAAAAUUGUUUUACUAACAUGGUUGUGUGGCUUACGGGCCCAUGUCGCCAUUGGGUGGUAUUAGGAUCUUUUACUCCUCGACCUUUACUCUGGGACUCUAAUCGCUCUUCUAUUCGGGUUAAAUGGUCUCGCAAACUAUAACUCUAGGUUCUCGUAAAUACUUUCUCCCGGAGAGCCCCUUCAUUCCAGAUGAUGGCCUGCUUCACCAGAUGAUUUCGAAGAUACCCUUCUGUAAUUUCCUGAGACUUUUGUACUCAUUGCUUUUGCAGUUCCCUACCUCUGAUAUAUCCUUACGGAUAACUUCAUACACUUGUCAUUCAUACAAUCAUUCCUAGUUGCUCUUGUUUUUACAAGAUACAUUGAAUUAUUCUCCGACUUUUAAGAAUCCCUUGCUUACUGCCCUGCAGUUCCUUGCCGCAUGAAUACCCCUACGGAUAAUUACUCGCACUUGCCGAGUAUCCGUUCGUCCAUAGUUGUUCAUGUGUUUCACAACAUUCUUUGGAAAGCUAUUUGAUCUUUUCAAAAAUCCUCAGUAGCCUAUUACUCUUGUUCCUCCUUACCUACUUACAGUAUGGUUACUUCCAUUUGUCUAGCAAUAUUCUUUAAAAUCCUUUGCGAUUGACAUCCUUACCCUAUUGUUUCAACAUGUGUGUGAAUGCACGCAAUCAUCAAUUGUUCCCUGGAAUUGUCCUUCUGGCUCAGACGUUACCCCGGACACGAGCUGGUGUUCGACAAAACAAACCUUGAUUGAUUUUGAAUCUAUGUCUAUACAACUUAAUUGUCUUUGAUCAGAGCCUCUGCUUUUGAUCCCCCAUUUUGAAAAUCAUAAUCCCCUUUGCAUUCGAGCAUAGAAUUAGUCAGUUGUUUCUAUAACCUGACCUCCUUGAAUUCUUUCUUCUUCUGGUUGAGUAUCGAUACUCACAUCAGAUCCAUUGUGGACCUCCAGGUCCUUUGUUGGUUUUUAUCCGACAGCAUCCUUCAUAUUCAGUAACCUUGUGAGCCUUUCCUCGAAUACACAAUGCCUUUGGUAAAUUGUAUCCCCCACUCUCGUCAACCAUACUCUGCUUCCGGGCUUGAGUUAUUUACUCGUGAAGUUUGUGGUAUAUGUUCCUAAUAUGUCCCUAUGGGUUGAAUCUAUGUCUUCCCUAAAUCUGUGUGAACCCUACGACUCAUACUCUACUGGUGUUAUGCCAGAUAAAAUCUCAACAGUACGGCUUCGUUGAAAAUGAGAAGUGAAUGAAAGGUUAUGCAUCGAAGAAGUGGGAGUCGACCUUGAGCCUUGUGUUCAUGCCCAUGGACACGAUGUGGAACUUAACAUGGAAGCUUCUUUUUAUAAUAAUAGCCCCCUAGCGAUAAGUACAUCUUGUAUCCAUGUGUGGUCCAUUGCAAUCGUGGUUCCGACCAUAUUGUUCUUGUUUGAUCCAUUUAUCGGACAAGUUAAAGUACUUGUCUUCUUCAAAUUGUUUCACAUGUUCAACCUCUACAUUGAUAUACCUUCGAGCAUUAUCCUCUGGUAUCUCGAGAAUAUCACGGAACUACAUAACUUCUUAUGAGUUCUUGAUCAACUAUUAUUUCUCACUGAUUCAAAUUUUUCACUAGUUGGGAGUUGUUAGACACUCGAGAAUACAGUUAACUGAUUCAAGUCUACGCUUUCCUUUCCAUUGUUCUGUUUAAUCUUUCUGGUAACCUAUCUUAUCUGAGAACUGAUAAUUCCCUGCUUAUGUAAACACCUCGGUGUACAAGCUCUGUCUGUAAGACCUUGUUACUAUUGUUGAGGACAUUCCGAUAGCUACCGAUGGACGAGAACUUUGCCUAUUGGUCCGCCUCAUCUUAACGAGCAGGAAAAUGGUUCUCUUUGUCCCUCUCCCUUGGUACCAACGUUGUUGCCAACAUAACUGACAAGUUGUCCUCUGACCUGCCUUGCUAUCAUGACCAUGCAAAAUGCUAGCGCCCUUCCUGCUUUUAACCCACAAGGUGGGCCUGAGGGAGUCCUGGACUAGGCGGUGUCCGGACAGCCGGACUAUCAUCGUCCGCCGGACUCCAAGACUACGAAGAUACAAGAUUGAAGACUCCGUCCCGUGUCUGGAUGGGACUUUCCUUGGCGUGGAAGGCAAGCUUGGAAAUACGGAUAUGUAGAUCUCCUACCAUUGUAACCGACUCUGUGUAACCCUAGCCUCCUCCGGUGUCUAUAUAAACCGGAGGGCUUUAGUCCGUAGGACACAACAUACAUUACAACAAUCAUACCAUAGGCUAGCUUUAGGGUUUAGCCUCCUUGAUCUCGUGGUAGAUCCACUCUUGUACUACCCAUAUCAUCAAUAUUAAUCAAGCAGGAUGUAGGGUUUUACCUCCAUCGAGAGGGCCCGAACCUGGGUAAAACAUCGUGUCCCUCGUCUCCGGUUACCAUCCGCCUAGACGCACAGUUCGGGACCCCCUACCUGAGAUCCGCCGAUUUUGACACCGACAUUGGUGCUUUUAUUGAGAGUUCCUCUGUGUCGUCACCAAUAGGCUCGAUGGCAUCUUCAACCAACAACGCUGUCCAGGGUGAGACUUUUCUCCCCGGACAGAUCUUUGUAUUCGGCGGCUUCGCACUGCGGGCUAAUUCGUUUGGCCAUCGGAGCAGAUCGAAAGCUACGCCCCUGGCCGUCAGGUCAGAUUCGGAAGUCUCAACUUCACGGCCGACGUCCGCGGAGACUUGAUCUUCGACGGGCUCGAGCCACAGCCAAGCGCGCCGCACUGUUACGAUGGGCAUGAUCUAGCUCUGUCGCCGAACAGUGCCUUGGUGGCCGCCCACGAAUCCGCUUCGGCCUUUAGUCCGGGGCCGAUCGCCCAGACCGAGGAACGGUGGAUGGACACCGCCUCGGGGGCUUCAACUUCCACGGCGAUGGAGCCGAACACUAAUCUUGUCCCUCGCAAAACUCGUGAUUCCGAGGUGCCGGACUCCUUGCCGGACUCCGAAGCUCCCACGCCCCUACCAACCGAAUCGGAUUGGGCGCCGGUUAUGGAAUUCACCGCCGCGGACAUCUUCCAAUACUCGCCUUUUGGCGACAUCCUGAAUUCGCUAAAGCAUCUCUCGUUAUCAGGAGAGCCCUGGCCGGACUAUGGCCAGGAUGGUUGGGAUACGGACGACGAAGAAAUUCAGAGCCCACCCACCACCCACUUUGUAGCCACUGUCGACGAUCUAACCGACAUGCUAGACUACGACUCCGAAGACAUCAACGCUAUGGACGACAAUGCCAGAGACGAACAGGAACCAGCGCCUACAGGGCACUGGAAGACCACCUCGUCAUAUGACAUAUACAUGGUGGAUACCCCAAAAGACGGGGACGGCGAAGAAACAGCGGAGGCAUAUUCUUUAAAGAAACAGCCCAAGCGCCGGCAUCAGCGGCGCUGCUCUAAAUCCCGCCACGGCAAGAAUGGAGAUUCCAGCACAGGAGAUAAUAAUACCCCAGAAAGUGCCGAAGAUAACCCCCUCCAGCAAGACUCAGCGCAGGAGGAUGCAGAAGCAAGCCCUCACGAGAAGGCGGCAGACAAAGAGGUUGAGGAUUACAACUAUAUGCCUCCCUCCGAAGACGAGGCAAGCCUCAACGAUGACGAAUUCGUCGUGCCCGAGGAUCCCGUCGAACAAGAGCGUUUUAAACGCAGGCUUAUGACCACGGCAAAUAGCCUAAAGAAAAAGCAGCAGCAGCUUCAAGCUGAUCAGGACCUGCUGGCCGAUCGAUGGACCGAGGUCCUCGCGGCCGAAGAGUAUAAACUCGAAUGCCCCUCCAAAAGCUAUCCAGGACGCAAGCUGCUCCCCCGAUUAGAGGAGGAAGCAUACAUACCUCCAUCACCAGCGCACGAUACGGCUGACCGACCACCCCGUGGUCGUGACAGAGAGGCAUCCAGGCCCCCAACCAAGACCGUACCCCGGCAUCGCUCGAAAAGUAUGAAGCCAAGAGGGAACGCGCCGGACUUGCGAGAUAUAUUGGAGGACAAAGCAAGGCAAUCCAGAUCCAUCUACGGAUCACGGGGGUGCCCCACGACCCAUGACGAAUACCGUCGCGCCGGAUACAAUAACCCCGGCCGGGCCGAACACAGCAGACAACGCUCUCUCGAGUUGCAUCGUGAUAUUGCUCAAUAUAGAGGCGCCGCACACCCGCUAUGCUUCACAGACGAAGUAAUGGAUCAUCAAAUCCCUGAAGGGUUUAAACCCGUAAACAUCGAAUCCUACGAUGGCACAACAGACCCUGCGGUUUGGAUCGAAGAUUACCUUCUCCACAUCCAUAUGGCCCGCGGCGACGAUCUACAUACCAUCAAGUACCUCCCACUCAAGCUUAAAGGACCAGCUCGGCAUUGGCUCAACAGCUUGCUCGCAGAGUCAAUUGGGUGUUGGGAAGACCUAGAAGCCGCAUUCCUUGAUAACUUCCAGGGCACGUAUGUGCGACCACCAGACGCCGAUGACCUAAGUCACAUCAUUCAGCAGCCAGACGAAUCGGCCAGACAAUUCUGGACACGGUUCUUGACAAAGAAAAAUCAAAUCGUCGACUGUCCGGAUGCAGAGGCCCUUGCAGCCUUCAAACAUAACACCCGCGACGAAUGGCUAGCCCGGCACCUGGGGCGGGAAAAGCCGAAAUCCAUGGCAGCCCUCACAUCAUUAAUGACCCGCUUUUGCGUGGGAGAGGAUAGCUGGCUAGCUCGCAGCAACAAUCUCCGUAAAAAUUCUGGCAGUCCAGACACCAAGAACAAUAAUGGCAGGUCACGUCGAAACAAAAACAAACGCCGCAUCAACGGCAAUGAUAAGGAGGAUACGGCAGUCAACGCCGGAUUCCGAGGCUCUAAACCCGGUCAACGGAAGAAGCCAUUCAAAAGAACCACUCCGGGUCCGUCUAAUUUGGACCGAAUACUCGACCGCUUAUGCCAGAUACAUGGCACCCCUGAAAAGCCAGCUAAUCACACUAAUAGAGACUGCUGGGUGUUCAAGCAGGCAGGUAAGUUAAUUGCCGAAAACAAUGACAAGGGGCUAAACAGCGAGGACGAGGAGGAGACCCGACCGCCGAACAAUAGAGGACAAAAGGGUUUUCCCCCACAAGUGCGGACGGUGAACAUGAUCUACGCGACCCAUAUACCCAAUUGGGAGAGGAAGCGUGCACUAAGGGACGUCUAUGCGAUGGAGCCAGUCGCCCCGAAGUACAAUCCAUGGUCCUCUUGUCCGAUCACUUUCGAUCGAAGAGACCAUCCGACCAGCAUACGCCAUGGCGGAUUCGCCGCAUUGGUUCUAGACACAAUCGUCGAUGGAUUUCACCUCACGAGAGUCCUGAUGGACGGCGGUAGUAGCCUGAACCUGCUUUAUCAGGACACAGUGUGCAAAAUGGGCAUAGACCCCUCAAGGAUUAAACCUACAAAGACAACCUUUAACAGUGUCAUACCAGGUGUGGAAGCCAACUGUACAGGCUCAGUCACACUGGAAGUGGUCUUCGGAUCCCCGGACAAUUUCCGGAGCGAGGAGUUAAUCUUCGACAUAGUCCCGUUUCGCAGCGGCUAUCACGCUCUGCUCGGACGAAUCGCGUUCGCAAAAUUCAACGCGGUGCCGCAUUGUGCAUACCUCAAGCUCAAGAUGCCAGGCCCUCAUGGAGUCAUCACGGUCAAUGGGAAUACGGAACGCUCCCUCCGAACGGAGGAACAUACAGCGGCUCUCACGGCAGAAGUACAGAGCAGCCUUUUAAGGCAAUUCUCGAGUCCGGCCAUUAAACGGCCGGAUACAUCAAAGCGCGCCCGAAGCAAUACCAACCAAGACCACCUGGCGUGAUCAGAGCACGCGUAGCAAUGCGGCCCCAACCCCCGCCCGCGCGUGAUUGCAAGAAUAACCCUCCGCGUACAUCAUUACGCUUUGGAGAUACCAUGGGCGCAGGGGAAGGGGCACGAUCACAACGGACCCAGAGUGCAGUUCGACCGCACCAGGGGCUCGCAAGUGUGCCCCCUUUUUUUUAUUGUUAUUUUCCCUCUUUGUGUACACAGGACUCCGUUAGCCAGAGGCCCUAUCCGGCGGUGAACCUGCCGAACUCAUGAUGCAAUAACCAGGGAAGAAAGAACGCUGCGACGAACACUCAGGUGGUCUCAAUUACAAGCAUUAAAUUCGAUUAUAUACACCAAGUCCGCAGCUUACCCUUGGAGGGGGACAUGUUUAAUUAGUCCAAAUCCCUUGCUUACCACACUAUUUGUAUCAGUCCGCACUCAUAGCAGACUUUCUUUCAUAAAUAAUGCAGCACCUUUUUGACUGCAAUUACAUUACCUUUUAUAUAUAUAUGCUCAUUACAUGACAUCUUGCACCCGUAUAUUUUGGUACGGCCUAAUACACCAGGGGCUUAUGUUCCCCACAUUAUGGUGUGAUAAGUCCGAACACUUUCGUAAGUGCAGCACCCCGAACUUAUAGCACUAUAUGAAUCGGCUCCGAAUCAUGUCUUGGGUCAAUAGUUGGGUUUGCCCGGCUCCCACGUUUUGGUGCCUUACGUUCCGUUCUGUCGGCUAAGGUGGCACUGGGAGAACCACUGCGAUUGCGCCCCGGUUGAGCCGGGCGAGCACCUCAGUGGAGAAAGCUAAAACUGACCGGCAUGAUAAGGCGAGAGACUGGUCGCUGUUCGAGAGGUUUUUUCGGGUCCUUAAAGACUCACGCCACUUCGAGCGAAGUUCCGGACCAUGUCUGACGAAGGCGUGGAUAGCGCCCCGGAUUCGGCCUUUCGGAUACCAGGGGCUUCGCCGAAAUUUAAAAUUAUAGAAUUCUAUGGCUAAGUGAGAGUGUUCAAGCAUUAUAAGUCCGGUCGCCUUGUUCGUUGUGUUGAGCACCUCCCUAGAUGGACCCAAAAAUGGGAAUAAGAGUGCUCAAGUUUAUCCCGAACACCCCAGCACUCGUGGCUCGGGGGCUGAAGCCAAUGACUUUCCAUCUCUCAGAUUUUAUAAACGGCCGCACAGAAGGUAAUAUUUUAAAUUAAAACAAGCGUUGCUCAUGGCGCAUCUGAACGAAGUUUUCAGCGCACAGGAUAAUACAUAGCGAGUUCACUCAAAGAUUACAUUUCUAGGGCACUCAUCCGCAAUAUCGCGGGCUCCCUUCAGGACAGUUUUAUAAUACAUUUCAGGCGUGCGAUACUCCUUGCCCGGCGGCGGUGGGUCUGUGAGAAGCUUCUCCGCAUCCAACCUGCCCCAAUGCACCUUUGUGCGGGCAAGGGCCCGACGAGCACCUUCAAUACAGGCGGAGCGCUUGAUGACCUCCACCCAGGGGCAUGCAUCCACCAGCCGCCGCACGAGGCCGAAGUAGCUACCAAGCAUGACCUGUUCAGGCCACAGCCGGACUAUAAGGCCCUUCAUGGCCUCUUCAGCUACCUUGUGGAGUUCGACCAGCUGCUUCAGCUGGUCGCUUGGGGGCACCGGAUGGCCUGCCUCAGCGUACUAAGACCAGAAGACCUUCUCCGUUGAGCUCCCCUCCUCGCCACGAUAGAAUGCGGCGGCAUCGGAGGCACUACACGGCAGAUCUGCAAACACCCCUGGAGAGCUCCGAAUGCGGGUAAUUGUCAGGUAGUUUACAUUAACAUGCUUGCUUUGCAUGAAAAAUGCCUUACCCGCCGCUAUCUUCUUUACAUCUUCAACCUCCUGAAGGGCCUUACGGGCCUCGGCCUUGGCGGACUUGGCACUUUCGAGAGCCGAGGCAAGCUCGGACUCUCGAGUCUUGGAGCCUCCUGCUUUUCUCGCUCCGCCCGUUCCGCGACCGCACUGCGUUCAGCCGCGGACACAGCCUCCUUCAGGGCUGCCACCUCGUUCGUGGCCCCUGCAAUACCCAUAUUAUCCUUGUUAAUUUUAUUGCAACCAAAAUCCUUUUCCGUAAGGUGACUAUUCAAAGCGGUGUUACUCACCUUCUUUGUCCUCGAGCUGCUUCUUGGCAGUGCCGAGCUCUUGCUCGGACCGCUCGAGAUCCUGCUUCAACACAUCGACCUCCGCCGUCAGUGCGGCAGAGGUCAGUAGCGCAGCCUGCAAACCCAUAUUGACAUAUUUUAAGCAACCCUGCGUAUAUCUUGUUAGAUCCUCAGUCCGGCUUUUCUUUCCGAACACCGAACUGAGCAUCAAGGGCUACUGUCUAUGCGGUAUUACAUUACAUAAUUUUAACUUCUUACCUCAAAGCCUGUUAGAAGGCUGCUGCAGGCUUCGGUCAGCCCGCUCUUGGCGAGCUAAACCUUUUGAAUCACCGCACUCAUGUUAGUGCGAUGUUUUUCCUCGAUGGAAGCGCCUUCAAGCGCCUCCAACAAGUUAUCCGGCGCCUCCGGUUGGACGGAGGUCGCCGGUGUCAAGGUCUUGCCCUUCUUUCGAAGGGGCCGCCCGCCGGACUCUAGAACCACUGCGGGUUCCGAUGUAGAGUCCGGCACAAAGUCUGGGAGGCAGCCUGACGACGCCUCCGGAGCCUCCUCCUGAUGGGUCCCUCUCUGGGAUCCCACCUCGGCGUCCCCGUCGGCGCGGGGGGUAGAGGCGGUCGGAAGUGAAUCCACAUCUAACGGGGCCAACGACCCGCUCGAUGAAGCGGGGAGAUCAUCAUCGGCCGGACUACGGACAGAACGCGGCAUUAGAAGGACACUACGCGACACGAAAGAAAUUGCAUAUCAUGGAUCCGGAUACUUACGAUCUUGUCGGACGCCUGGCCCUUGGAGGCCACUCAUCCUCGCCAACGGUGGUGUUGGCGAAACUGUCCGGGGGGAUAGUCCUCCCCCUCUUGGACCCUUCGGCCUCCCCUAUUGGGAAAGCCUUCCACUUCUUCUCUCCCUCCUCCGAGAGAGAGUCCUCUUCCUCCUCCUCGUCUUUGGGGGAGGAGUCCGCCUCGUCGUCGGACGCCUAAUUGCGGGAACUCUUUCGAGUCCCCGCGGCCACCUUCUUGGCCUUCUUCUCCGGCACCACGUGCGGUGCCGGAACCAGCAGCCCUGCUAAACGGGCGUUCUCUGGGUCUUCAGGCAUGGGAGCCGGGCUGAUGAGCUGCUUGGCCUUCUCCAUCCAUUCCUAUCAAAGGAAAAGAGAGAUUGAAACCCUCUUAGAAUCAGUUUAAUUACCACAAGUGUCCCGUAACGUGGUUGAAUCACUUACCUCGUCAGCCGGAUGCUGCGAGCGAAAUCCGUGAUCUUCCGUCGCGGAUGCGGGGGCUUCGGCGCCCUUAAACAGCACCCUCCAGGCGCCUUCGUAUGUCGUAUCGAAGAGCCCGCUCAGCGCCUGGUGCUGUUCCGGAUUGAACUCCCACAGAUUGAAUACCCGUUCUUGGCAUGGGAGAAUCCGGCGGAUGAGCAUGACUUGGACCACGUCGACGAGCCUGAGCUUAUUGCUCACCAGCUUCUGGAUGCAGGCUCGGAGUCCCGUCACCUCCUUCGGAUUUCCCCACAGCAAGCCCUUCUCUUUCCAGGAGGUGAACUGCGUGGGGACGCCAGAUCUAAACUCGGGGGCCGCCGCCCAUGUGGGCUUGCGCAGCUCGGUGAUGUAGAACCAACCCGAUUGCCACCCCUUGACGGAGUCCACGAAGGCCCCUUCGAGCCAAAGGACGUUGGGCAACUUACCCAACAUGGCGCCUCCGCAUUCCGCUUGCGUGCCCUUCACAACCUUCGGCCUCCCCUAUUGGGGAAGCCUUCCUCUUCUUCUCUCCCUCCUCCGGGAGAGAGUCCUCUUCCUCCUCCUCGUCUUCGGGGGAGGAGUCCGCCUCGUCGUCAGACGCCUGAUUGCGGGAACUCUUUCGAGUCCCCGCGGCCACCUUCUUGGACUUCUUCUCCGGCACCACGUGCGGUGCCGGAACCAGCAGCCCUGCUAAACGGGCGUUCUCUGGGUCUUCAGGCAUGGGAGCCGGGCUGAUGAGCUGCUUGGCCUUCUCCAUCCAUUCCUGUCAAAGGAAAAGAGAGAUUGAAACCCUCUUAGAAUCAGUUUAAUUACCACAAGUGUCCCAUAACGGGGUUGAAUCACUUACCUCGUCAACCGGAUGCUGCGAGCGAAAUCCGUGAUCUUCCGUCGCGGAUGCGGGUGCUUCGGCGCCCUUAAACAGCACCCUCCAGGCGCCUUCGUAUGUCGUAUCGAAGAGCCCGCUCAGCGCCUGGUGCUGUUCCGGAUUGAACUCCCACAGAUUGAAUGCCCGUUCUUGGCAUGGGAGAAUCCGGCGGAUGAGCAUGACUUGGACCACGUCGACGAGCCUGAGCUUAUUGCUCACCAGCUUCUGGAUGCAGGCUCGGAGUCCCGUCACCUCCUUCGGAUUGCCCCACAGCAAGCCCUUCUCUUUCCAGGAGGUGAACUGCGUGGGGACGCCAGAUCUAAACUCGGGGGCCGCCGCCCAUGUGGGCUUGCGCAGCUCGGUGAUGUAGAACCAACCCGAUUGCCACCCCUUGACGGAGUCCACGAAGGCCCCUUCGAGCCAAAGGACGUUGGGCAACUUACCCAACAUGGCGCCUCCGCAUUCCGCUUGCGUGCCCUUCACAACCUUCGGCUUGACGUUGAAGGUCUUGAGCCACAGGCCGAAGUGGGGCCGGAUGCAGAGGAAGGCCUUGCACACGACGAUAAACGCCGAGAUGUUGAGGAUGAAGUUCGGCGCCAGAUCGUGGAAAUCCAGGCCGUAGUAAAACAUGAUCCCCCGGACGAAUGGGUGGAGUGGAAAGCCCAGUCCGCGGAGGAAGUGGGGAAGGAAGACGACCCUCUCAUGGGGCCCAGGGGUAGGGAUGAGCUGCCCCUCGUCGGGCAGCCGAUGCGCGAUAUCGCCGGAAAGGUAUCCGGCGCUGCGAAGCUUGGUGAUAUGCUCCUCCUUAACGGUGGAGUCCAACCAUUUGCCUCCCGCUCCGGACAUAUUCGGAGAAGGUCGGGGCGAGAUGCGCGAGCUUGGGCGUUGGAGCUUGAGUGCACGGAGAUGGAUAAGCAAAGGAGGAAGAAGGCGUAGGUGAGAAGGUAAAUCCUUAUCCCUUAUAUAUAGGCGGACGAAAACUAUGCGUCCCCACCGGCCUGAUAAAACUCGCUUAUCUCCCAAGCGCCACCAUCAAUGGCGCGGUUGGGUUACCCACGUCCGUAUUGAUGGGAAUCCCGGAAUAAGGGGAACACAAUCUCUGCUUCGACAAGACGUGCCAAGGAAACCGCUUCGCUAAACGUGCUGAGGUGGUAUAGUAAAAAACGAUUCAAACAAAGGCUUGGUAGCGGUGUGAUGUCACGCCGCAUAAUACGUCAGCAGAUUGGACUGGUGUACAUUUUAUUCUCUCUACGGUGGAAUGUGGAAUUUAUUUUGCAGAGCCGGACACUAUCCUGGUGUUCAUGAUCUUCUCUGGAUUAUUCAAGGGAGGAACCCGCCUUGCAAUGCCGAACAUUAUGCGCGCCGGACUUAUCGUCAUUGAAGCCUGGUUCAGGGGCUACUGAGGGAGUCCUGGACUAGGGGGUGUCCGGACAGCCGGACUAUCAUCGUCCGCCGGACUCCAAGACUACGAAGAUACAAGAUUGAAGACUCCGUCCCGUGUCCAGAUGAGAUUUUCCUUGGCGUGGAAGGCAAGCUUGGCAAUACGGAUAUGUAGAUCUCCUACCAUUGUAACCGACUCUGUGUAACCCUAGCCUCCUCCGGUGUCUAUAUAAACCGGAGGGCUUUAGUCCGUAGGACACAACAUACAUUACAACAAUCAUACCAUAGGCUAGCUUUAGGGUUUAGCCUCCUUGAUCUCGUGGUAGAUCCACUCUUGUACUACCCAUAUCAUCAAUAUUAAUCAAGCAGGACGUAGGGUUUUACCUCCAUCGAGAGGGCCCGAACCUAGGUAAAACAUCGUGUCCCUCGUCUCCUGUUACCAUCCGCCUAGAUGCACAGUUCGGGACCCCCUACCCGAGAUCCGCCGGUUUUGACACCGACAGGGCCCAUAACCCACAGUUCCACAGGAUCGAAACCUGACUCAUGUACAUCCCUGUUUUUCAAAGUUGUUCCUCGCGCUUGGAUUCGUAUGUAAUUCACGAGCCACCUUCCUUGUGAUCUGUUCUGGUAUCAGAUGCAAUACUUAUUCCCAUUGCUCUAAACCCCUUUCACCUUCUUACCUUGCUCUCGAUGACUAUCCUGAAUUCCAACUCAAGAGAUGCCUCUAUGCCAUGUUGAGGUACCUAUCUUGUGUUGAGCUCCAUCCCUCCCGAGUCUUUCCCCCUUACUCACCCCUUAAAUCUCGAGACGAUAUUUCUUGUAGUGGAGGAGAAUUGUGACGCCCAAAUAAUUAAGCUACAGUAAUCCCCUUUUAAUGGUUCCAUGUCAUCACAUUACUAUUGCUAAUCCUCGCUUGAUCCAAAUCUUAGUUCAAACUAAUAUUCAAAUUAAAGACCAAAAUUCAAAUUUCUCAAGCAUGCAUAAUAAAAUGUUCAAAGUGUGGCAAAUAAUCCCUGGAUAUUUGUCAUGUUGGAAACAACCUCCUUAGAAUUUUCAAAAUGCCCCUGGGAGUUAAUUUUUGGUCAAGUAGUAAAUUAAAUGGCAUUUGCAAAACAAAUAAUUAUUUAUUUAACUCCAAUUGCCUCCUGUCGUGGGAAACGAACACCUAUGGGGCAGGGCCCCUUUUCGGUCUGGCAAGGGAGCGGAGGGCACACGAAGAGCAGAUCGAGGCGAAGCACGCGGGGGAAUUUUACCCAGCUUCGGAGCUCUCCGGAGAGAUAAAACUCCUACUGCUGCUUUGUGUUUCUAUUCUGUUCUUGCUCAAGAGUGUGGGUGUGUUGUAGUUUCGAAUGAGUCGAACCCCUUCUACGUGCGCAUGGGCCUCCUUUUUAUAGUCUAAAGGGGUCACCGACAGGUGGCAGCAUAGAGAGAGGGGUAAAAAAGUAAAAACGCGGGUUGGUACAACCGCUAUCAACAGUGCCCCCUACCUAACUCUGACAGCAGGGGACAAGGGCAUUUAAUGCCCAUCCGGUCGCCCAAACAGUGCAGGAAGUGACCGUUAGGGGCGCCACCAAUCGCCACGAUGGCCUCCUAGUCAUCUUCACUUGCCACCUCGCACCGCUUGGCUGCACAGCUACCCGCCACGUGCACCGGGAGCGAUCCUGCGGCGACACGUCAUCGGAUGCGCUGGAGCAUGGGCGCAGAGUUGUGGCUUUGCCGCGGCAAGCGCCUUGCCGCGGUCACUAUCUUGUUGCACCCGCAAGCUUGCCGCUCGCCGGGUCUUGGUUGGCCUUCCCGGCAAGAUCCUCCUGCCGGGGUCUUGUCCUUCCCGGCAAGCUUCUCUUGCCGGGGCUUCGUCUUCACAGUUAACACUUUGUUCUUGAAUGGCAGUAAAUAGGAAUGACGAAGGAUCUUGGCGGACGCCCGGCAAGCCUUGCCGCAGGACGCUGCGCCUGCCCGUGCACAAGUUCGGGGUACUAAGGUACCCCUACUUUAGUACACCGACUGGAGCCCCCGGGCCUGGGCCAUACACGGUGCUGAGCGCUGUUGGGCCAGGCCCAAAACAGGACACGGGCACGCGCGGCCUGGGUCCUAACUAAAUCCACUCCGUAUCCACCGCGUCCUCCCGUAACGGCACGCGUCAAUCGCGGCGUCGUGGGAGAGAUCGUGGGUGGAAGACGUUCGCGCGUAUCCACAGCCUGAUGGAGGGGUUUACCCUCCAUUUUAAGUUAAUGGAGGGCGAUCUCCUCUCCGUCAAGGUCUUCGGGUGCUUCGACACUCGGGCGAAGUGCUGCGUGGACAGCUCCUCCGAUAGCAAAGGCUCCCCCUCGAGCGAGAGCGACAAGGAGGAGAGCAACAGCGAUGAUGAGGGUAGCGGGCGGCGGGAUGGCGGGCCCGACUAGGUGUCGGGCGCCGCUUCGUGCGUCACCGGUGACCCCAUCAUCCGUGUCGCCGGCUCCUUGAACUCCCCGGGGUCGUCUCCUUGGGCGGCUGGCGUAGGGAGGCUGCGGAAGGGGAAGAGGGCUGGCGACAAGGCCGUCAAAUCGGAGUACGAGGGCGUAGUGCCCUCGACAGCGUGCUGACGUCCUGCCGCCCCAUCUUCGAGCCCCGCUUCCAGCGCCGCCAUCACCGUCCGGCCUUCGGACGGCCCCCGGGAUGUUCUCUUGGUGUCUUCGCCUAGGCGCCUCUUUUGCCCUUUUCGCCUCCUUGACCUACAUCCUGAAGAGAGGGACAGGAAAGGGAUUACGGGCAUCUUAUCUUUUUAAUUUGUAAGCCUUCGGGCCCUAGUCGCAUCUAAAACUUGUAACCCUCUCUUUCAUGUUUUUCAUCCUCUAUGGACUGUACCUGAGUGUGAUGUUUUUUUAAUGAAAAAGGGAUGCUUGCCGGGUUAUUUGUCUCAUGGGUUGAACCCACGCCAAGGAGCAAAUCCUUGGUAUCCCUCGGACAGGCAUUUCAUCUCCCGCCAACAGGCCCUGCCGCCUUCCCACGUCGCUCGACCUUUCUCACGCCUUUGACGGAGGCGGGAACGAGGUGGGUGCGGCCUCCUCAUUUCAUCCCUUUGCUGCUGUGACUACGACCAAACUUGGCCCCGGGAACGAGCCCCAGGGCCUAGAGUUGAGGGAGCACGGCAGUUUUCGGGAAGAAACGCGGUUUCGCAUUCCCCAGUCCAUAAGAGGAUGCAUGAUGAGGGACGAAAGACUUAUCUGAUAUCGCAGCCCCCGGCAACUCUGGCUUGCCGUGGAUGAAUCUUGGUACUCGCAGCCCCCAGCAACACUGGCUUGCCGGGGCCCAGGUGCCGGCGCGCCCUUCUUCUCCUUUCCUUGUCGCUGUUAUUUCAGUUAUGAGAACAAUUUAGUCAGUGCCGCAAUAAGUUACUCUUGUAAUAUAACUUUAUUCUGGGCAAUGCUUGUUAUGUUACAUCCUUUAUUUGAUUCCAUUCCUUGUAUGUUUGUACCCUUACGCUUUUACGGAACUUGCCGGUGCAAACACGCUUGCCACGAGCGCUGAGUGCAAAACAUCAGCAGCCUUCUAGCGGUGUUGCCUCCGGCAAGAAACCUUGUCGGGGCUAGUCGCAGCACACUUUCAUUGUUGAGCGGACUCAAAACAAAGUAAGGGUGCAACUUAACCACGAGCCGGUUCCUCUGCGCACAGGUUUUCCAUACAAGGCAUGGUCGUUCAAGGAAUAUAACUUAAAAAUUUAAAACUGACUGUGCUUAAACUUCGGCAACUUAGCUUUUUUGUUGUUUGUGUCCNNNNNNNNNNNNNNNNNNNNNNNNNNNNNNNNNNNNNNNNNNNNNNNNNNNNNNNNNNNNNNNNNNNNNNNNNNNNNNNNNNNNNNNNNNNNNNNNNNNNNNNNNNNNNNNNNNNNNNNNNNNNNNNNNNNNNNNNNNNNNNNNNNNNNNNNNNNNNNNNNNNNNNNNNNNNNNNNNNNNNNNNNNNNNNNNNNNNNNNNNNNNNNNNNNNNNNNNNNNNNNNNNNNNNNNNNNNNNNNNNNNNNNNNNNNNNNNNNNNNNNNNNNNNNNNNNNNNNNNNNNNNNNNNNNNNNNNNNNNUGUGGGCGCAGGAAUCUUCUCUUUGAGAAAAAGGAAGAAGAGAAAAUAAAGUUAUGGAGCCUUAAGGCUUGUUAUUGCUUACCGGGGGCAAGUUCUGCACAAAGUGUCAGUGUAUACAUGCUAAAAAGAAAAAGGCAUGAAUUUUGACAAUAUGUACUAAACAUAUGAUCUUUAUUUAUGCACGGGAUCUGCGCCCGGCUUUGUACAAAGGGUUACAUGCAACAACGGCAAGGCUUGUACAAAAGGUGGUUGCCAGGACAGCAGGUUCCGGCAACCGCGCCUUAUGGGUAAAACUUACGAAGAUGAUCUAUGUUCUAGGAGUUGCUCACCGGAAUGCCAUCUUCGGUCUCAAGGCGGACAGCGCCAGGCCUAGUGACUCGCUUUACCCGAUAAGGGCCUUCCCACUUCGGCGUCAACUUGUUGGAAUUCUUGGCAGAUUGAACGCGCCGAAGAACAAGGUCACCUUCCUCGAAGCUUCUGGCAUUAACUUCGCGGCUAUGGUAGCGGCGCAAAGCUUGCUGGUAGCGAGCAGCUCGUACAGCAGCCUGAAGACGAUCCUCCUCGAGGAGCAGCGCGUCAUCUUGCCGCAGCUGCUCUUGCUCAAGCUCAUCAUAAGCGAGCACUCGAGGCGAUCCGUAUACGAGUUCUGUGGGGAGAACUGCCUCUGCUCCAUAGACAAGAGCAAAAGGUGUCUGGCCAGUGGCUCGAUUUGGCGUCGUCCUGAUCGACCAAAGAACCACCUGUAGCUCCUCGAUCCAAUUUCUUCCGCACUUGUGCAGCCUGUCGAAAGUUCUGGUCUUGAGCCCACGCAGCACUUCAGCGUUUGCCCUCUCCGCUUGACCGUUGCUUCUCGGGUGAGCAACAGAAGCGAAGCAGAUCUUGGCGCCAAGAUCUUGGACGUACUGCAUGAAGGUGCAGCUCGUGAAUUGUGUGUUGUUGUCGGUGAUGAUCCUAUUAGGGACUCCGGAACGGCAAACAAUUGACCUGAAGAACUUGACUGUUGACUGUGCUGUCACCUUCCUCACUGGCUCCACCUCCGGCCACUUCGUGAACUUGUCGAUGGCCACGUACAAGUACUCGAAGCCCCCGACAGCUCGGGGAAAAGGGCCAAGGAUAUCAAGCCCCCAGACUGAAAAUGGCCAGGAUAAAGGGAUUGUUUGGAGAGCUUGAGCUGGUUGAUGAAUCUGUUUGGAGUGGAACUGGCACGCUUCACACUUGGUUACUUGUGCAGUCGCAUCCUGGAGGGCUGUUGGCCAAAAGCAACCUUGCCGGAAGGCUUUACUGGCAAGUGCUCUUGCGCCAAUGUGGUGGCCACAUAUGCCUCCAUGUAUCUCCGCCAACAGCUCUUGUCCUUCUUCCCGGGAAAUGCACUUCAAUUUCACUCCGUUGAAUCUUCUUCUGUACAGUAUGUCAUCGACAAACUGAUACAUACUUGAUUGUCGGGCUACUUUCUCUGCUUCUUCUUGCUCUUCGGGAAGUUCUCCUGUUUGAAGGAAAUGGACGAUCUGCUGUGCCCAUGCCGGAGCUUGUGGCUCGACGACAAGGACUAAAGGCGCAAAUGCUGCUGCGGGAACAUCCGCUUCUACGGCAAGAAUAUGAGAUCCUGCCGGAGCGUGAUGCUCCCCGGCAAGCGUGCCGGGGCACAGCUUGUCGGGAGCGUCUGCUUCAACGAAACAAACCCUAGGGCUUGUCGGAGCAGACUGCUCCUCAGCACUUUCUAUGUUGAUCCUGGGGACCUUCUUGGCGGCGGCUUCGGGGAGCUCUGCCGGAAAGUAGUCGCCAGUAACCAACUUUCUCUUCUUGCUCUGUCCAGUUGAUGGUGUUACAGAUGGCUGAGUCAGCUUGAGCACAAAAAUACCUGGUUCCACAGGUAACUUGAGUGCGGUGCACUUUGACAGGCCGUCUGCAAUGUCAUUCUGAGCUCUUGGAACAUGUUCCAUCUGCAGGCCGUCAAAAUGCUCUUCCAGCUUCCUCACUUCAUCAAUGUAGGCCUCCAUCAGCGGACUCUGAUAAUCUGUGUUAACUUGGCGGACGACAAGCUGUGAGUCACCCCUGACAAUAAGCUUCUUGAUCCCAAGUUCUGUCGUGAUCCUGAGUCCGGCAAGCAGGCCCUCAUAUUCUGCAGUAUUGUUUGUUGCUUGCUCCUUGGGAAAGUGCAUUUGGAUCAUGUACUUGAGGUGCUCUCCGGUGGGUGCGACAAGUAACACACCCGCACCGGCGCCUUGCAGCGAGAAAGCACCAUCAAAGUACAUGAUCCAUUCCCUGUUUGCUUCCUUGACGGGGAUCCUCGUCUCCGGAGUUUCUUCAUCUGGUGUUGGCGUCCACUCCACUAUGAAUUCUGCCAAUGCUCGGCUCUGGAUAGUUGAAGUACUUUCAAACUUGAGGCCAAAGCUUGACAGUUCCAGUGCCCACUCGACAAUCCUGCCUGUUGCUUCUGGAUUUUGCAAUAUCCUCUUCAACGGAAAGCGAGUGACAACUGUGAUCUGAUGUGCUUGAAAAUAAUGGCGCAGCUUCCUCGAGGCCAUGAGAAGGCCGAAAAGCAACUUUUGCACUCCAGAGUAUCUUGAUCUAGCCACCUGCAGAAGGGAGCUGACAAAAUAAACUGGGUGCUGCACCAUCUUCUUUUGUUUCUCUGCCUGCGGCUGCACAGACUCAUCCUUGUCGGGACCAGAGCUUGACGGAGAAGCCCCCUGCUUGUCGCUGGACUCGCUUGCCGCGGCCGCUGGCUCAUCAUCUGCCUCCCUCUCUGCUACUAACGCAGCACUAACCACUUGAUUGGUUGCUGCUAGAUACAGCAGCAACUUCUCUUGCGGCUUAGGUGCGACAAGUACUGGAGUGGAGGAUAGGUAUCUCUUCAAGUCCUGUAGCGCAGCCUCCGCUUCUGGAGUCCAUUUCAUUGGACCUGCCUUUUUCAAAAUUUUGAAAAACGGCAGGGCGCGCUCAGCAGACUUAGAGAUGAACCUACUGAGAGCAGCAACGCAGCCGGCAAGCCUUCGCACAUCCUUGAGGCGCUUCGGGGCUUCAAUCUGCUCGAUGGCCUUGAUCUUGUCGGGGUUGGCUUCGAUCCCCCUCUGGGACACGAAGAACCCGAGAAGCUUGCCGGAAGGAACUCCAAACACGCACUUCUCAGGGUUCAACUUGAGAUUGAUCUUGCGCAGAUUUGCAAAAGUCUCAUCCAAAUCUUGGAUCAAAGUUUCUCUAUCUUUGCUCUUGACCACUAUAUCAUCCAUGUAUGCUUCUACAUUCCUGUGCAGCUGUGGCUCAAAAGCAUGACUGACUAGUCUUGCAAACGUUGAACCAGCAUUCUUUAGUCUGAAAGGCAUUCAUACAAAGCAGUACGUGCCACAUGGAGUAAUGAAUGCGGUGUUCUCUUCAUCCUCUUUUGCCAUGAAAAUCUGAUGGUAUCCUGAGUAUGCAUCAAGAAAUGAAAGCAGAUCACAUCCUGCCGUGGAGUCGACAAUCCGGUCAAUGCGCGGCAAGGGAAAUGGAUCUUUGGGACAAGCUUUAUUAACAUCCGUGAAGUCAAUACAAAGCCUCCACUUCCCAUUCACCUUGCGCACAAUUACUGGAUUGGCUAACCACGUUGGAUGGAGUACUCCUCGGACGAGGCCUGUUGCUUCCAACUUCUUGAUCUCUUCUGCUAUGAACUCUUGGCGUUCCGCCGCUUGCUUCUUGACUCUCUACUUGACGGGCCGCGCGUGAGGACAGACGGCAAGGUGGUGCUCAAUUACUUUCCUGGGAACACCGGGGAUGUCAGAUGGUUGCCAUGCAAACACAUUGACAUUCGCCCGCAGGAAAGCAACGAGCGCGCUUUCCUAUUUAGGGUCAAGCGUGGCACUGAUGGUGAAGGUACCACUAGUGCCGUCCUCCUUGGCGGCCACUUUCUUGGUAUCAGGUGUCGCUAUCUUUGCCCUCUUGCACUUGCCGGUGGAGCUCGAUGGUGCGUCCUCGACGGUAGCACAGCACUCCGAAGAGGUGCGCUUGCCGGAGUGGGCAUCAGAGCUACUCUUGCCGGACUUGGUCUUCUUCUUCUUCCCCCCGGGAGCUUCAGCGGCAAGUGGUUUGUGCUCUGCUGCGGCUGCUGCUUCCUGGUAGAUCUUGUCGGUGCAGAUAAGCGCAUCCUUCUUGUCGCCUUGGACAGAAAUGACGCUUAUCGGACCGGGCAUCUUGACCACGUUGUAAGCAUAAUGAGAGGCUGCCAUGAACUUGGAAAGCGCUGGACGGCCGAGUAUCCCAUUGUAGGGCAACGGGAAAUCAGCAACAUCAAAUGUGACUCUCUCUGUCCUGAAGUUCAGUUUGCUGCCAAAUGUCACUGGUAGUGUAAUCUUCCCCUUGGGCUUGCUCCUUCCCGGGUUGAUUCCUUGAAAGGUACCAGUUUCUUCGAGCUCGCUGUCGGGGAUCUGGAGCUUGUUGAGCACCGCGGAAGAGAUCAGAUUUAGGCCGGCCCCACCGUCAACCAACAUCUUCGUGACCUUGAGGUUGCGGAUGGUUGGCGAAACCAACAUCGGCAAGCACCCGACCGCAGUGAUGCGAUCAGGGUGAUCCUCAACAUCAAAGACGAUGGGCGUACUGGACCACUUCAGGGGCUUGCGCGAUUCGACUGAUGGUUCAGCUGCAUUUACCUCCCGCACCCACUGCUUGAGUUGGCGGUGCGAGGUGUGCAGAGAAGCACCGCCGUCAACGCACAAAACCUCUGUUGCCUUCUGAAACUCUUGCUCGUCGGUCUCAUCCUCGUCCAUCUCAUCAUCCUCAUCUUCAUCUUCGUCCUUGUCACGGCCACGGGGAGGUCUGUCUCCUUGCCGCUGCUUGGCCUUGCCGCGGCGCCCUCCCCGGGCGGGACGCUUCUUGCCGGAUCCUCCGCCACCUUCCUGGGCCUUCUCCUUGUCGCGACGCUCGUAUUCAGCUUUCUGUAGUUCUGCCAUUUGCUCAACCUUCUUGCAUGCUUGGAGGUCAUGGCCCUUGGUGCGAUGGAUCUUGCAGUACUGCUUGCCGGAACAAUCCUGCUUGUCGGCGGCCACCACAGCCUCGCCGGAGUCACCAGCUUUGGCCUUGUCGGCGCCGCCUCCGUUGCCGGACUGCUCAACAACUAGCACAUCCUUAGCCUUUCUCUUUCUAUUAUUCCGCCUCCGGUUCUUCUUUGCCGGAGGGACGUCCUCAUUGUCCGAUCCUUCUGCUCCUGCAUUCUCUCCGGGAAGUUUCCUCCCCUCUUCAGCUCGUGCACACUUGUCAGCCAGAGCAUAUAGCUCGCUGACAUCUCUAAUCUUGCACAUCGCCAUCUCCUCCCUCAUCCUGCGGUUACGCACGUUCUGAUGGAAUGCGCUGAUAACCGCGGCAGGGUGGACGUCUGGGAUGUUGCGCUGCACCUGGCUGAAUCUCUGUAUGUACUUGCGCAGGGGUUCUCCUUCUUUCUGGGCGAGCAGAUGAAGAUUGCUCUCCUGACCAUGGGGUUUGUGGCCGCCUGUGAAGGCGCCGACAAACUGAUGGCACAGGUCCGCCCACGAAGAGAUGGAGUUGUCCGGCAAGUGCAUGAGCCAAGAUCUGACGUUGGGCUUGAGCACCAGCGGGAAGUAGUUGGCGAGGAUCUUCUCGUCGCGCCCCCCGGCAGCCUGCACCGCGAUGGUGUAGACGCUGAGGAACUCUGAUGGAUGUAUCCUGCCAUCGUACUUCUCGGGUAUGUCCGGCUUGAAGUUCUUGGUACUGGGCCACUGGACUUGCCGCAGCUCACGGGUGAACGCAGGGUAACCUGCCGCGUACGGCAAGUCGCCUGGUUCCCCUGGCGCAUGCAUAUCGACAGUGGGCCCAGCGCACUGGUCAGAUUAAUGUCGCGCUUCUCUUCUGCGCUCGAUGCGAGUACGAGCGUCUCUGUGUCGUCGUUCUUGGAGAACUUGGCGUUGAUCGCGGCGAGCUCGCGGGUCCGACGACGCGGUGGAGUCGGUGUCGAGGUUGGAACGGCGAGUUGGCGAUCAUGGCCUUCGGGGCGGGGAGUGCACGGUGGUGGCACCCCCAGCGGUCUUGUCGGUGUCGGCUUGCGCCCGGGCGUCUUGCCGGGGCUUUCGAUGUGCUCGGUUGCCGGGGCUUGUCGCCGUUGGCGAAGCCGAUGAGGCUUUGGAUGGUGAUCCUCCAGUCGUCGAUCUUGUCUGGCGCUGGAGGGUAAUCUAGAAGCAGCUGGGCUCGGGCCAGCGCUUCCUCUGGAGUCUUGGGCGGCGGUGGCGAGCGACGCGAGGUGCGGGAUAUGCUCAAACUUCUAACAGUGUUAGAAGGAGCAACAUCUCGCCCAGGCGACCGUACUUCGCUCGUGCCAGCGUGUUGACGUGUAUGUUGGCCUUGAGCGUCCCGCGAUCCGCCGGCUUGGCCUUGUUCCAACACGAGCACGGUGCUAGGAGUACCGUGGCAUUGCCGAUCUUGCACCUCCUGGGAGGGGUACGGUGGAUGUACAGACGCUGAAGCUUGCGGGGCCUUGUCCUCGGACCUGGUGACGAUGUGAGUCCCCCCGUCGGCGCCCGCUCCUCCGCCGGCGUCCACCCCACCACCCGUUUGCUCCGGUGGCGGUAGGAUAGUCGCAAACGGAGUGGCCACCUCCGAAGCCUUCUUCUUCGGUGGCAUGUCGAUGAAGAUGUUGAUGUAGCGCGCAGAUGCCGGAUCAGGUACGCACAACCUCGACGCCCACCUACCUGGCGCGCCAAAGAUGUCGUGGGAAACGAACACCUAUGGGGCAGGGCCCCUUUUCGGUCCAGCAAGGGAGCGGAGGGCGCACGAAGAGCAGAUCGAGGCGGAGCACGCGGGGGAAUUUUACCCAGCUUCGGAGCUCUCCGGAGAGAUAAAACUCCUACUGCUGCUUUGUGUUUCUAUUCUGUUCUUGCUCAAGAGCGUGGGUGUGUUGUAGUUUUGAAUGUGUCGAACCCCUUCUACGUGUGCAUGGGCCUCCUUUUUAUAGUCUAAAGGGGUCAGCGACAGGUGGCAGCGUAGAGAGAGGGGUAAAAAAGUAAAAACGCGGGUUGGUACAACCGCUAUCAACAGUGGCCCCUACCUAACUCUGACGGCAGGGGACAAGGGCAUUUAAUGCCCGUCCGGUCGCCCAAACAGUGCAGGAAGCGACCGUUAGGGGCGCCACCGAUCGCCAUGAUGGCCUCCUAGUCAUCUUCACUUGCCACCUCGCACCGCUUGGCUGCACAGCUACCCGCCACGUGCACCGGGAGCGAUCCUGCGGCGACACGUCGUCGGAUGCGCUGGAGCGUGGGCGCAGAGUUGUGGCUUCGCUGUAGCAAGCGCCUUGCCGCGGUCACUAUCUUGUCGCACCCGCAAGCUUGCCGCUCGCCGGGUCUUGGUUGGCCUUCCCGGCAAGCUCCUCUUGCCGGGGUCUUGUCCUUCCCGGCAAGCUUCUCUUGUCGGGGCUUCGUCUUCACAGUUAACACUUUGUUCUUGAAUGGCAGUAAAUAGGAAUGACGAAGGAUCUUGGCGGACGCCCGGCAAGCCUUGCCGCAGGACGCUGCGACUGCCCGUGCACAAGUUCGGGGUACUAAGGUACCCCUACUUUAGUACACCGACACCUCCAAACUUUAUGUGGCACUGCAAAAUAUUUGUGGCUCUGUCUAAGAUUGCCAAGGAAUUAAAAGGGGAACUUAACAUAUUUUUCCUAAGUAAAUAGUGUGCCCAAAAUAUUCUCUUAACCAUCUCUGUUUUUUUUAAUAAAAAAAGGCGAAUAAGAACUCGCCCGGGCCUCGGCCUACUCCCACUUACCAGCCCACCUAAGCCGGCCCACUCCCCCGCUCCCAUGGCCUAUAGGCCAUGCUCAACCGAACCCUAACCCCGCACGAUCCCCCCACUCCCCACUUCUCUCCCCUCCCGAUCCAAUCUGGAUCGGACCGAAACUGGCGCCCCGACGCCAACCGCCGUCGCUGGAGGCAUCCCCGACUCCACGCUGGGCCACCCCAUCACCUGACCUCCUCCCCGUCGUCGCUCGUCACUCGCUGGACCGCCUCGUCCCCACCAACGCCGCCCCGAGCCCAACGUCCCUGUCGUCGUCGCCGUCGGCAUCGCCCCGAUGUCGCCACCACCCGACGCCGGCGCCCUCGACAUCGCCACCCCGAGCCCACUGCCACCCCUACGCUCCACUGUGAGCCCCUCGCCGAUUCCCCCUCCUUCCUGUCAUCGUAGGUGGCCGCAUGCGCUGUUGGCCACCGUGGCCGCGCUCCGGCCGUUCCCCAUCCGUGUGCUAGCCUCGCCUUCCCCGGCUGCGGCCACCAGCCUCCUCGUCGCGCUCCCGCCUUCGCCCACACCUGCCCCUGUACGCCCAGCCGCUGCUGCUCGCCGGAUCCGCAUGUUCGCCCCCUAGCUUCGUCUCCGGCCGUCGAGUCCGCACCCGAUGCCGGCGCCCCAGCGCGUCCAUGCGCCCGUACGGGCGGGCGCCCACGCCCAUGCCCCUCCGCCCGUUAGCCCGCCCCGCUAAGGCCUGGGCACCUAACCAAGGGGCCCCACGCCCCUGUGUAAUAAAAAAGAUUUAAAAAAAAUAAAUAUAAAUAUAAUUAGUUAAUUAGUUAAUUAAUUGUAUAGUUAAUUAACUAACUUAAUUAACCUUGCUUAGUUAGCCUAAUGAACUAGUUUAGUUAAUUUAAAUCUGUUAGAUAGGUCUAUGAGAGAACGACCCCACAUGUCAGUUUAACCAGUCAACACUCUUUUGACUGCUGACAUCAUGAUGACGUCAGGCUGACAUCAUAAUUCCAAUUUUGAAUUAAUAAUAAUUUCAGAAUAUUAUUAAAACUUUGAAAAAUCAUAGAAAAUAAACCGUAUCUCGGAUGGAAGUUGCUUGGAACGACGAGACAAAUCCGAAUGCGCAGUUCGUUCAUCUGUCACGCGUCCCUAGCAUAGCAAACGUUGAACUUUUCCCCUCCGGUUCAUCUGUCUGAUAGACGUCCGGAACCGGGAAAACUUUCCCGGAUGUUUCCCCCUUCGCCAGUAUCACCUAGCACCUCGUUAGAACACUUCUAGCCCCGCUUAUUGUCUUGUUAUGCAUAUGUUUGCGUGUAUUUACUGUUUCUUCCCCCUCUUCUUCUCCGGUAGACCUCGAGACCGCUGAUGAUGCCCCUGUGAUCGACUACGUCGACGACGACCCUCCUUGUUUGAGCAACCAGGCAAGCCCACCCUUUGAUCAUCCCGAUAUCGCCCAUUCCAUUCUCUCAUGCUUGCACUAGAUUUUGCUACUGUAUUUGACUGCUCCUAUUCUGAUGCAUAGCCUGCUUUUGUACCUGCUAUUGUAACUUACCUGCUUAUCCUAAAUUUCUUAGUACAGGUUGGCUAGUGAUCCAUCAGUGACCCCCACCUUGUCUUUGUUGCCCCUGCUUCAUCAUCGACGACUCGAUCAACGUGAUCGACGACCGGAGCCUGACACCUCACAUCACAUCACGCCCCUUUUUCUUGCUCGACUCUGCAGAGUUACCAUCGAGUGCCGAGGGUGGAACCUCAUACAUCGCUCCUGAUGAGAUCUCUGUAGUGUAGCUAUUCGGUCGUGGUCAUCGAGGGUGGUUCCUCCUUCACCAUUCCUAAUACGGCUCUGUCGUGCAACACCUCAAGUGUGAACCUCGAGGGUGGUUCCUCUUACGUUCACCUUGAUGAUUACAUCAACUGGAAUCCACCGGGGGUGAUUCCUCGGAUUUUCCCCUUGAUGUCUGGACACAUAGUUACCUUGAUACUUGAGACCGUUGUGAAAGCCGGGCGAGCCCGGAGAGCACCCGUGCGAUGUGACGGUGGCGGCUGGCUGUUUAGCGGUAUCACCCGGGAGGGGUGAUAGCUCCGGACUUGUCCCGACAUCCGUCACUUCUUUUAAUAAUGCACUAACACGUUUGUGUAUUUGUUCUGAGUUGGCCUCUGGCCUUUACGCACUAACCACCACGCGAGAAUAGUUAUGGGCCUCGACGUUGCAGUAUCUUUCGAAGCUUUGUCAGACGUCCAGUUCAGCAUUGUGGCCGGGCCGGAUCGUGCCAUCCACUUCACCGGUGGUGCUGGUAUCCCCUUGUGCACAACGACCCGGAGUGCAAUGGGCGAUGGGCCCAGACCCCGGAGUGCUUAGGAUGUAGACCGGCGGGGACCUCUCUACUGAGCCUAGGUAGGGCUGCGACGUGUUGAUCUUCCGAGGCUGGGCAUUGACCCCAGAAAGGUGUGUCCGGCCAGAGUGAUCGAGCGUGUUGGGUAACGUGGUGCGCCCCUGCAGGGAAGAUUAUCUAUUAAUAGCCGUGUCCAUGGUAACGUACCUUCAGACUUAUAUCUUGAUCUUAUACAACUACAAAUGGAUACUUGAGAUAUGUGGCUCCGGGAUUGCUUUCUCGCAGGGAGUCGAGGAAGGAUCUCUGGGCGUUGUUGUUAAAACAUGCUUGUUAAUUAAACUGCUAUUCUUUACUCUUCUACAUGCUGCAAGAUGCUUGGAGCUGCUUGAAGAUGCUAGUCUUUGUUUGGCUAGGCCUUCCCCUCUAUUCUGGCAUUCUGCAAUUCAGUCCACAGAUACAACCCUUCCAUUUGAUACCAAUGCAUACUUAGUAUAGAUCUGAUGCUUGCGAGUACUUUGGAUGUGUACUCGCGGUUGCUUUGCUACCCCUUUUCCCCCUUCUUUCUUCUUUCCGGUUGACGCAACCAUAUGGUGGAUCCUUGGAGCCAGAUGCCACCGCCGAUGGAUGCUAGUACGUGAAGAUCGCCGACGACCAGGAGUAGUUAGGAGGUCCUAGGCAGGAGGCCUUGCCUCUUCGAUCGUUGUUGCUUUUGUGCUAGCCUUCUUAAGGCAUCCUUAUUUAACUUAUGUCUGUACUCAGCUAUUGUUGCUUCCGCUAACUCUUGUGUAUCGAGCUAUGUAUUCGAGCUCUCGAGGCCCCUGGCUUGUAAUAUAAAGCUUGUAUUAUUUUGAUUUGUGUCUAGAGUUGUGUUGUGAUAUCUUCCCGUGAGUCCCUGAUCUUGAUCGUACAUAUUGGCGUGCAUGAUUAGUGUACGAUUGAAUCAGGGGCGUCACACAAGCGGUACUACUGCCCCACCCAGUUUCAGCAUUUCGAGUUUCACCGUUUUGCCCAUAACUUCCACAUCCGGAGUCCGAUUUUUGCAUUUUUUAGCUCGUUGAGUAGCUAUUGACAUCCCCCAUCCAUCUAUAUAGGUUCCAACACCAUUUGACUCCAUCAAAUUUUCCAAAAUUUGGAAAGUUUGCCUAGGCCGUCCACCAUAUCAUCUGCAUAGCCACCACCGACCACCGCAACCUAACCCAUUUUGUUCCCCUUAGCAUUUGAGGUUGUUUGAGUUGUGGCUUGUGUCUCCUAAGGUGUUUCGGCUACUUAGGGAUGGUAACUUCAACUCCAACACGUGUAUAGCCCAUCAUUCCACUUCCGCAUUGCCGAGUGCAAACCACCACCUCUUUCCACUACCACCAUUUGACAUUUACCUUUGUAGAUUUUGAGUUUGCGAUUUUUCCGUUUCCUAGGGUGUUUUGGCUAACUAGGAAUGGGUCGACAUCAGCAACAUCGCCUCUCAUCAUCGCCAAGGACGGUAACCUCGAUGACACCAUUGUAUAUUCCCUUGCCAUUGCAUUGAUAACCCCUAGCCCAUUUUGCGUCACUUGCCUAUCGAGACUAGCCGUUUGAGUAUUGCCGGCAACGUGACUUGUGCACAUUAGUGAUCAUACUUCCCAUAGCAUCAUACCAUAUCAUCGUGGUGCAUAUAUUGGUAGCAUAUCUUGCGUCACAAGUUUGUUGCCGCAUAUACACAAUUGCUAUCUUGGUUUGUGCAUUAUGCAGAAGUGGCCAUACAAAAAAGAGAAAUAAAGCUUUUAAGCAAAAGAAAGAGAGAAAAGAAGCUUGUAAGCAAGUGCCAUAGCAUCAUACCAUAUUGCACAUAAGAUUGUCAUAUCCGAUCAUCUUGGAUCAUCUUGAGAGAACAUCGGGAACCAUACAUACAUAGCAUACUUGGGAUAGAAAGUAUAUCCAUUUGGCAUCUUGUAGGUUGUGCACAAGUGUCCUAUCCGCCUAUUGAGCAAUCGUGCUAGCGUCUCUCUUGAGUUGUGCAACACGAGCGUUUUCUGUGGAUUCCACAUUUUGUGCUCAUUGCUUGGUUGCACGACCCCAUUUAUCUAUCCGUGUGUGUGUUUCCGUGUGUCAUUCUUUGCUAUUGGUCUACUUGUUUCACUUGCAAAUUUGUGAAUCUCUUUCAACAUUAUUGACUCUUGCUAACAUUUUGCAUCAAAUUUUUGUGCCACUAUCCUCACCGAGCUCCACCAUAAGCUUUACUUGAUAGGUGUGAGUGAACAAGUCCGGUACCAAUUCCACUAUUCUUUCAUUUCACAUUGAGUUAAACGGGAUACAUCCUCAACUUUGGGAAAGGUAACUUCCUAUUGUUUAUCUCAUUUCCUACUGGCAUUUCACCUUCGGUCUACAACAACAACGACGAGUUCGAUGCCACGAACAACUCCAACGACGCCAAGAUGCAAGCUCAAAUGGAGGAGAUCAAAGCCCUCAUCAAGUCCUACAAGCAAUCUUCCUCAUCUUCGAGAAGACACUCACGUGCACAUGUUUCCGAGCUACCAUCUCCGGUAAGAUCACAUCAGCAUCGACACCAUCACCAACAAGAACGUGAAGGUCAAGAGCUCAACACCAACUACCGCUCAACGACUUCACCAUCUCCCUUGGCAUCUUCGCCAAGCGACUUCAAGGCAUCUUUGAGUACGGAUAUACGGCAUCUUCGCCAACAAGAACCUCAAGGCUACGCUCAAGAGAAGCUCCCCAAGCUCAAGUCCACGACUUCCAUGAGCUACUACGACCUCGACACCGACCACAAGAUUCCUUUCUAUGGAACUCAAGAACCCGAGGAGUACCUCGAGUGGGAGCGUUUGAUGGACGACUACCUCAAGCUACAUCAAGUCCCUUCCGAAGAUCAAGUGAAGUGCGCCACAAGAAACUUCCACGACUACGCCUCGACAUGGUGGCUUCACACACCUUCGGAGAGCUACGAGAUGAGUUAGCCCAAGACGAAGAGAGCUUUGCAGCGAGAGCUCGUGCCUCCAACCUACAUGGAACAACUUCGACGCCAAUUGGAGAACACCAUCCAAGGAUCCAAGUCCAUCGACGCGUACUUCAAGGAGAUGAAGAAUGCCUUGCGACGAGACGGCGUGGAUGACCCCAUUUCGAUGAAGUUCCACUUCAUGAUGCGAUUGAACAACGACAUCUCCAAGACUAUCUUCCUCGAGAACUACAAGUCCCUGGACAACUACUACAUUGGUGCUCUCAAGGCGGAACAAGAACUCAUGAAAGCCAAGGCUUCUCCACCCCAAGCACACUUCGCGGCGACCAAGCUGUACGACAAGCAUGAGGCUAGUACCACCAUGAUGUCCAAGCCCGACGAGCUCCAAGACAAUGCUCCCAAGUUCGACUUCACCGCCAUCCCUCUUUGUGGCAUUGAUGACGCCGAGUCUACCUUGACUCUUUUUCAAGACGGUGCGGCGACGAGUACGACUACGGAGACCUUCAAGGACCAAGCUUUGGAGGCGAGCGACAAGGUGGCGAGCAAGGAUGGUGUUUCCAUCUUUGGAGGCGAGAGUGAUGAUGUGCCAUCUUCGUCCUUCAUCCACGGCGACGAUGACGAGAUGAUCGAGCAUGGGAUUUUCCCUUCGGUCAUGGAGGAGAGUGAUGAUGUGCCAUCUUCGGCCUUCAUCCACGGAGACGACGACGAGAUGGUUGAGCAUGGGAUUCUCCCUUCGACCACGGUGACGUAUGAUGACUUGAGUGACUUUUGCCACCAUAUUGAGAGUGAGAGUGACUUCACCACUAGCCCCAUAUAUGACGAGUUGCCCCAAUUCCUAUGUGAGGAGAGCCACAACCCCCACCACUUGAGUGAGAUGAGUGACUCCACCAUAUGCGACUUUGAGUGCACCUAUUUUGAGGGAGUGAGUGAACCACCACAUAGAGAGAGUGUGAUAGUUGAUAGGUCUCGUGAGGCCAUUUGCAUUUCUAACAACUUGACCUCUACCUCUAUUGUGUCUUCUCAUUUGGUGCUAGGUCCCAUUUAUGAUGACGCGCCGAUCCUCGACGACUUCGUCCUCCCUUUGGACAAGACGAUGGCCAUGGUGGAAUAUGAUGCACCCCCCACAUGGUUCCAUCAAGAUGAAGAUGACCACCAUUUGGUCUUUCCCACCUCACCUACACCACUUGAGUGGAAUGAAAAAGGUAACAUAGGUGAAGGUGAUGCUCUAGUCCCACUAGUGGACAUUCUUGACAUUGAUUGCUUGCAUGAUGUUGAUCCACCUAGUACCAUGCUUCAUGCUAGUAUGAUUUCCCCAUGUGAUGAUUUGGCCAUUUAUGAUGAGUAUGAUGAUUCUCAUGUGGAGUCUCUUAGUUGUGAUGUCAUGUUACAUAGGAUUUCUUGUGACAAUUCUUUAGGUCACAUCAUGUUUGAUAAUCCGCUUGACUUGUCGUAUGCUAUGCAUGACAUUCACCAUAUGUCAUAUUUGCAAUCUCAUUGUAGUGACUAUGCAUAUGCCAUUCAAAUUAACCCAAUUUGCACUUAUGGCAUAGAUGACAAGCCCAUGGUUAUUGGGAUUUGUUUUUCUUGUGAUGAUAUUGAUAUGGUCCCUUUGCAUCAUUUAUCUCAUAUGCCAUGUCAUGCCCACCUAGCUUCGGAUAUGCAUUGUUUUGGAUGUUGUCCAUUUUCUCCAUAUGAUGUUUCCAAUCUUGCUCAUGAGGAGACCCCCAUAGUUCCCUCAUACAUGUUAGGAGAUUUUGAUCCAUCCCAUCCAUUGCAUGAUCCCAACAAUUGUGUGCACCAUAUGCUCCCCAUGAAUAAACAUGCUAUUGAUGUGCCAUAUACUUGCAUUCUCAAUUUGUGUCCCCAUCGUGUCAUACAUAAUAACUAUUCUUUCAUGAUGGAUGACAUGUUCUUAUACCAUGCAUCAAAUUUCGUUGAGCGAUGCUUAUCUUGUGCUAACUCACACGUGCACAUACACAUCAUGAUGGAUGAUGUGUACAUUUACCACACACACAAUUUAUUUGGUUUGUGUCUCUUUUGUGUAGGUACCCAGGAAUACUUGUCAACCUCGCAAUCCCACGAGUUGACAAAACGAGCUCUAGAGAGCAACGAUGAUUUGGGAUCCCAUGGAUUGUCUUUCCCACCGCUCUCUUCGCGCAAAGACUUAGCGCAUUUCUUCUACAUGGCCCUCACUUGGCUAUGGGUUGUUUUCCAUUACAUAUUAUAUGCCCAUCUUGCCAUGUUCACUUUGCAUGAUAUGCCCAUUCCCAUGCAUUUGUGACCCAUACUUUGCUUUACACAUGAUGAUUGACUCUCAUACUUUUAUGUGUAUUUGCAAGCUUGGUGGAGAUAUUGCUUGUUGUUUCCCUAUUCCAUUUUUGACCCACCCCUAUGAUGAUACUAUGAUCUUGCUUUGUGUUCGUGCUUGUGAUAUGUCAUGUGCAUUGUCUAUCCCUAUUAUUUGCUCACAUGACAUGAUUGCCAUGAUUUACUCUGGUGUGUUGCAUCUUCGCUCCACUAGUUUGCACCACAUGAUUGAUAUGCUUGCUUGUAUUGCAUCCCCCAUGAUUCAUACUUGCUCAUUUCAUGCGAUUGAUGACAACCAUUUCCAUACUUUGCACGUGAUUGCUAUAGCUUCUUGUCACAUAUCUACAUAUGUUGCCUCUCUCAUGCUAGAUCACUUGCCAUGUAUUUAGUGCAACAAUGCUCUUAUUCUUGCUCAUGAGAUUGCCCCCAUAGCAUUCUCACAUAUGAUUGGAGUUGACAUAAUUCUUGUGAAGCAUGCUUGCCUUCCUUCUUUGCACCAUAUGCCUAGUGCCAUGAAUAUUGCCAUUGUUGCAUCAUAUUGUUCAUGCACUUGUGCUACUAAAGGUUAUGUGCAAGAGAUGAGAACCAUCAUGAUGGAUGAUGUGUUUCUCUACCAUGCGCAUAUACUCUUUGUUUUGUUGUGUGCAUGUGUAGGAUACUUGGACUUCGUCUCGACUUCCACUUCAUGUGAGUUGACCAUUCAAGCUCUUAAGAGCGAGCCUCACACAUUCUACCACUACUCGCUUCUACACCGCAUUUGCUUGCGCUUCGGCAUUGUGAAGAAUGCACAAGGACAUGCCUUCAAGGUGACAUCUUUCUUGAGCAUGGAUAUUGCGGAUCAUACUACUUGUGUAGCUUGCACUGUGAGACUUAUUGGUCAUCUUGGACCACUUGAUUGCGCACUUGCUAGAGAUCUUGCUUUGACUUGCCAUUUUCACAUUCCCAUGCAUCAUGAUAUAUAUGCCUUGUGUGUUGCAUCCAAUUCUUGGAUUACUAUCACAACCUAGCUAGUCCAUGCAUUAGAGUGUUGCAUCAUGUCUACCUUUUAUCAGAAACUUGAAUUGGGGAAGACAGAACCCCCCAGAACCCCUCUGAAUUCAACUAGUGCUUACUAAAAAUAUUUUCAAUGAACCUGAAAUGCCCUUCUAAAAAGUUCACCCUCUUUGUCUUGGGUUAGAACCUCUGGCAAAAUUGGUGCACAAUUUUCUAGGUCAACAAAAGGCCAUUGAAUUAAAUCAUAUCUACUUUGAGUUUGGGCAUUUAAACUAUAUAAAAUAUUUCAAAUGCUCAAAUAACUCCAAACUAAAAUGUUCCAUACUGGAUAUAUUCCAACUAGGGACCAUGUGCAGUUUGGUGAUUUUUGGAGUUGCCUAAGUAUUUUUAGAAAUGCAACAAACUUACAGAAACAAUUAAAAACAGAAACAAAUGGGAAAAACCCUUACCUGGCCGAACCAAGCCCCAGCCCAGCUGGCCGGCCCAGCACUGUGCUGGCCCAUGCCAGCCAGCUGCUUCGCCGUCGCCACGCAGGCACAGAGCUGACGCCGGCAAGCGUGAGCUCGCAACGGCGCCAGCUGCUUGCCGCCCGCGCCCCCGAGCACCUGGGUGAGCUCCACGUCGCCGCCCCGACCCCGUGGACACCUCAUUCGCCCCCUGCCUCUCUCCCUCGCUCUCCCGCACCAUGGCCGACGCACCCGCCGCCGCACCCCCGACGUAGUCGCGCCCUCCGUCGUCCUCGUGCUGCACCACCGUGUCCCUUCGCUCCGCCGUCAUCGACUACAUCGAGUAGGCCGAGCCCCGAGCGCUCGCUGGCCCUGUUUCAUCUUCUUCGAGCUCGUCUUCACCGAGCACCGCCACAGAUCCCCUUCGCCGUCGCCGCCGUACCAGCUCGUCCCCGACCUUGCCGACCACUCCGUUGUGACCGCCGUGAGCUCAGCCACCUCCCCAUCCUCCCCGUUUGCCUUCUCGUGCACCGUAGCAACCGCAUGGAGCUUCAUCGCACGCACCACCGACGAGCUCGUCGCCGACGUGCCUCCGGCCAUCCACCGUCCACACCACGGUGUCUAACAUGCUCACCGCAUCGUGUAGAGUCUAACGCCCCACUCCACGCGCCUCGCCGUGCCCCGUAGCCAUGGGUCCAUUUUCAUCCGACUCCGGCGACCGCCGUGGUCGUCGCCGGCGACGUUCCUGGCCACCUCGACCUCAACCACCACCACCAAACGCCGCGACUUGUUCCCGGCUACACGUAGAUGGUCUCCGUCGUCCAUUUGGUCGCCAGAACAUGCUAACCCACUUCCUCCGCCGCGUCUGGCCUCGCCGGCGGCUAGACACCGGCAUGUUUGACCCGUUGACAUUCACUGGGUGGGCCAGGUUGACUCCCCUGAGUCUAUGACAAGUGCCCCCCCCUCUGCUAAUUAACCUAGUUUAGCUCUUACUAAAAUCAGUUAGUUUAAAUAAGUGCUGACAUGCGGGACCCACUGGUCAGUUUGACCUGAACGACCCCUUUGACCACUGACGUCACCCUGAUGCACUGCUGACGCAAUAACCAAUUUCUGGAUUUAUUGUUAUAUAGGAAAUUCCAGAAAUUGUUGCAAACUUCAAAAAUUCAUAGAAAUUAAUCUGUAACUCCAAAUGCAAAGAUUUAUAUAUGAAUUUUGAUCAGAAAAAUUCAAUCUAUCCAUUGGUAAUGGUUUCAUGCAUGUCAGAACAAGUUAACCUUGCUGUUUAAUCAAAACAAGUUAAUGCACUAAUAUGACUAUGUUAAAUGAACUACCAUUUGCAUCUUUGAUUCAAAUGAGUUCAUACCUUUCUGUUCUAGCUUGCAUUAGGCCAGGACACAUUCAUGUUGCCAUGUCAUAGCAUGCAUCAUAUUGUUGUAUAUCGUCAUGUGUUGUUCAUGUUCGGUGUGUUUUCGUGAUAGGUUCUGCCUCCGAGGAUAACCCCGAAUAUCCGUCUGAAGGGCUGUAUCCUACUACCACUACAUCAGGCAAGCAACCCAUUGAUCAUUCCGAUACAAACCCAUGUUCUUGCCUCUGCUCUUGUUUACUGCAUUAAGACAAUGCGAUUCAAACUUUUGUGUGUUGUGGUAGUUGAACCCACUUCCUUUGCAUGACCUGUCAUUGCCACAGUAACUAGAUGAAACUCAGUAGCAUGUGUAGGAGUUGAUUGAGCCAUAUCUGUGUUACCUACCAUGCUAUGCUUGCUAUGCUUAGAGUUGUGUCAGGUCUGGCUCAUUGGGAUGAUGAACUAGAGUGAAAGGUUGUGUCGGUAAUGAAGUGUUGAACACGAUUUGGUAAAGGUAUCGAUGAGAGGCCAUGUAGGAGUACAUGGUGGGUUGUUUCAUUGAGGCCGUCCUUAAGCACUGAGAUCUGUGUGUGUGAUUUAAGAUUCAGCUACUACCACGCAUUGGGCCCGAAACCAAUGGACCCUCUCGACUUAUUAACCACUCUUGUCCUCUGUCCGGGAGUUGCAAGUAGUUUUUGGUGUUUGUAGCAUGAUGGGGGCCGCACGCAGUGCUGACCUUAGGGGUGGGUUGGGUUGCGGUAGGCAUGUGGCACGGUGUAUCGAUUCGCCCGUUUGGUGUCUCGGGAACCAUGUUCACAUCAUUCGGGGCCGUUAGUGGAAACCUCGGCCGGACUCCCUGCGGAUGGAACCCGAAUAGGCGAUAAACCUGGACUAGGGACUCGUGUGUUUAGUCAGGCCGUGGCCGACACCCUCGCUGGGCUUCCGCUUGAGGCUUGCCGAGUACACGUCAUGUAGCGGUGAUAAGUGGUGAGAGCGUGUGUGAAGAAGUACACCCCUGCAGGGUAUAAAACUAUUCGAAUAGCCGCGUCCGCGGUAAAGGACUACUUGGUCACCUAUGCAGUUCAUAGACAAGUAAAUGGAUACUUCUAAAAGCCUCAAGUUAAGUGUGAGUACCGAGGAUGGCCCUCUCGUAGGUUGACAAGAGAGGAUCCUCGGUGGAGUAUUGUGUUGGUGAGUAGUGGACUCGUGUGCGACAAAUGUUUUGCAAGUUGUGUCUAUCGUAGAAUAGCUUAGCCAAGAGUCAAAGCUGGCUUGCUGCAAUAACUCCACUACCUUCUUGAGAAUGUGCAUGUAUGAUAGGAUUCUGUUGUAAGACUUGCUGAGUACCUCUGUACUCAUGUUUGCUUAAAUGUUUUCAGACGACAACACCAACCCCUCCGAUGGGUUCUACGUAGACCUCGACGUUGACGAGUGACUAACCACCCAAGUGGUGAUCCGAGACUUGUGAAGGGCCGAUGUAGAUAGAAAGGCUUCGUCAAGCCCUCUUUCUUUCUAGUGUCUGUACUCAGACUAGUUGCUUCCGCAUGUGCUUGUAUGCUUGUAUGACUUGAGUCUCAGGUCAUGUGACCCCUAUCUGUAUGAACAUGUUAUGUAUGGCUCCUUGGAGCCACUUAAAUAAAGUACUUUGAGUUGUAGAGUUUUGUUGUGAUGCCAUGUUGUAUGUACUCAUAUCGGGCAUAUUGUGUGUAUGUUUGAAAUGCUUGGUAUGAGUGGGAUCCGACAAUCUAGUUGUUUAUCCUUGGCAGCCUCUCAUAUGGGGAAAUGUAGUCUAGUGCUUCCUGAGCGAUAGUAGUCCGCUACAGCCCGGUUCACCGGAGUCCUGCUAGCCCAGUACUACAGCUCUGGACACUUGACUGGACAGCAUGUGUUUCACUUCGUUCCUGUGUCUGUCCCUUUGCGGAAAUGUCACGCGGUGGCAUUCGGAGUCCUGCCUAGCCUGCUACAGCCCGGGUUACUGUUGGGAAACGUAGUAAUUUCAAAAUUUUCCUACGCACACACAAGAUCAUGGUGAUGGCAUAGCAACGAGAGGGGAGAGUGUUCGUCCACGUACCCUCGUAGACCGUAAGCGGAAGCGUUAGCACAACGCGGUUGAUGUAGUCGUACGUCUUCACGAUCCGACUAAUCCAAGCACUGAACGUACGUGGCCUCCGAGUUCAGCACACGUUCAGCUCGAUGAUGAUCUCCGGCCUCCAAUCCAGCGAAGCUCCGGAGAUGAGUUCCGUCAGCACGACAGCAUGGUGACGAUGAUGAUGUUCUACCUGCGCAGGGCUUCGCCUAAAAUCCGCGACGAUAUGACUGAGGUGGAAUAUGGUGGAGGGGGGCACCGCACACGGCUAAGGAACGAUCCAUAGAUCAACUUGUGUGUCUAUGGGGUGCCCCCCCCCCCCCGCCCCUGUAUAUAAAGGAGAAAGGGGGAGGCCGGCCGGCCCCUUGGGCGCGCCAAGGGAGGAGGAAUNNNNNNNNNNNNNNNNNNNNNNNNNNNNNNNNNNNNNNNNNNNNNNNNNNNNNNNNNNNNNNNNNNNNNNNNNNNNNNNNNNNNNNNNNNNNNNNNNNNNNNNNNNNNNNNNNNNNNNNNNNNNNNNNNNNNNNNNNNNNNNNNNNNNNNNNNNNNNNNNNNNNNNNNNNNNNNNNNNNNNNNNNNNNNNNNNNNNNNNNNNNNNNNNNNNNNNNNNNNNNNNNNNNNNNNNNNNNNNNNNNNNNNNNNNNNNNNNNNNNNNNNNNNNNNNNNNNNNNNNNNNNNNNNNNNNNNNNNNNNNNNNNNNNNNNNNNNNNNNNNNNNNNNNNNNNNNNNNNNNNNNNNNNNNNNNNNNNNNUCCGGUUUUCUCCGAAAUCACCCGGAACAAUUUCGGUGUCCGAAUAUAGUCGUCCAAUAUAUCAAUCUUUAUGACUCGACCAUUUCGAGAUUCCUCGUCAUGUCCGUGAUGACAUCCGGGACUCCGAACAAACUUCGGUACAUCAAAACUUAUAAACUCAUAAUAAAACUGUCAUCGUAACGUUAAGCGUGCGGACCCUACGGGUUCGAGAACUAUGUAGACAUGACCUAGAACCAUUCUUGGUCAAUAACCAAUAGCGGGACCUAGAUGCCCAUAUUGGUUCCUACAUAUUCUACGAAGAUCUUUAUCGGUCAAACCGCAUAACAACAUACGUUGUUCCCUUUGUCAUCGAUAUGUUACUUGCCCGAGAUUUGAUCGUCGGUAUCCAAUACCUAGUGCAAUCUCGUUACUGGCAAGUCUCUUUACUCGUUCCGUAAUACAUCAUCUCAUAACUAACUUAUUAGUUACAAUGCUUGCAAGGCUUAGGUGAUGAGUAUUACCAAGAGGACCCAGAGAUACCUCUCCGACAAUCGGAGUGACAAAACCUAAUCCCGAAUUAUGCCAACUCAACAUGUACCUUCGGAAACACCUAUAGAGCACCUUUAUAAUCACCCAGUUACGUUGUGACGUUUGGUAGCACACAAAGUGUUCUUCCGGUAAACGGGAGUUGCACAAUCUCAUAGUUGCAGGAACUUGUAUAAGUCAUGAAGAAAGCAAUAGCAGUAUACUAAACGAUCAAGUGCUAGGCUAACGGAAUGGGUCAUGUCAAUCACAUCAUUCUCCUAAUGAUGUGAUCCCGUCAAUCAAAUGACAACUCUUUUGUCCAUGGUUAGGAAACAUAACCAUCUUUGAUAAACGAGCUAGUCAAGUAGAGGCAUACUAGUGACACUAUGUUUGUCUAUGUAUUCACACAUGUAUCAUGUUUCCGGUUAAUAUAAUUCUAGCAUGAAUAAUAAACAUUUAUCAUGAUAUGAGGAAAUAAAUAAUAACUUUAUUAUUGCCUCUAUGGCAUAUUUCCUUCAGUCUCCCACUUGCACUAGAGUCAAUAAUCUAGAUUACAUGGUAAUGAUUUUGACACCCAUGGAGUCUUGGUGCUGAUCAUGUUUUGCUCGUGAGAGAGGCUUAGUCAACGGGUCUGCAACAUUCAGAUCCGUAUGUAUCUUGCAAAUCUCUAUGUCUCCCACUUGGACUUGGUCCCGAAUGGAAUUGAAGCGUCUCUUGAUGUGUUUGGUCCUCUUGUGAAAUUUGGAUUCCUUUGCCAAGGCAAUUGCACCAGUAUUGUCACAGAAGAUGUUCAUUGGUCCCGAUGCACUAGGUAUGACACCUAGAUCGGAAAUGAGAUCCUUCAUCCAGACUCCUUCAUUUGCUGCUUCUGAAGCAGCUAUGUACUCCGCUUCACAUGUAGAUCCCGCCACGAUGCUUUGUUUAGAACUGCACCAACUUACAGCUCCACCGUUUAAUAAAAACACGUAUCUGGUUUGCGAUUUAGAAUCGUCCGGAUCAGUGUCAAAGCUUGCAUCGACGUAACCGUUUACGACUAGCUCUUUGUCACCUCCAUAUAUGAGAAACAUAUCCUUAGUCCUUUUCAGGUAUUUCAGGAUGUUCUUGACCGCUGUCCAGUGAUCCACUCCUGGAUUACUUUGGUACCUUCCUGCCAAGCUUAUUGCUAAGCAUACGUCAGGCCUGGUACACAGCAUUGCAUACAUGAUAGAGCCUAUGGCUGAAGCAUAGGGAACAUUUUUCAUUUUCUCUCUAUCUUCUGCUGUGGUCGGGCAUUGAGUUUGACUCAACUUCACACCUUGUAGCACAGGUAAGAAUCCUUUCUUUGCCUGAUCCAUUUUGAACUUUUUCAAAAAAAAUUCAAGGUAUGUGCUUUGUGAAAGUCCUAUUAAGCGUCUUGAUCUAUCUCUAUAGAUCUUGAUGAGUAAUAUGUAAGCAGCUUCACCGAGGUCUUUCAUUGAAAAACUUUUAUUCAAGUAUCCCUUUAUGCUAUGCAGAAAUUCUAUAUCAUUUCCAAUUAAUAAUAUGGCAUCUACAUAUAAAAUUAGAAAUGCUACAGAGCUCCCACUCACUUUCUUGUAAAUACAGGCUUCUCCAAAUGUCUGUAUAAAACCAUAUGCUUUGAUCACACUAUCAAAGCGUUUAUUCCAACUCCGAAAUGCUUGCACCAGUCCAUAAAUGGAACGCUGGAGCUUGCAUACUUUGUCAGCACCUUUUGGAUCAACAAAACCUUCCGGCUGCAUCAUAUACAACUCUUCUUCUAGAAAUCCAUUCAAGAAUGCAGUCUUGACAUCCAUAUGCCAAAUUUCAUAAUCAUGAAAUGCAGCAAUAGCUAACAUGAUUCGGACAGACUUAAGCAUCGCUACGGGUGAGAAAGUCUCAUCGUAGUCAACCCCUUGAACUUGUCGAAAACCUUUUGCAACAAGUCGAGCUUUAUAGACAGUUACAUUACCAUCAGCGUCAGUCUUCUUCUUAAAGAUCCAUUUAUUCUCAAUGGCUUGCCAAUCAUCGGGCAAGUCAACCAAAGUCCAUACUUUGUUUUCAUACAUGGAUCCCAUCUCAGAUUUCAUGGCUUCUAGCCAUUUUGCGGAAUCUGGGCUCAUCAUCGCUUCCUCAUAGUUCGUAGGUUCACCAUGGUCAAGUAACAUGACUUCCAGAAUAGGAUUACCAUACAACUCUAGUGCGGAUCUUACUCUGGUAGACCUACGAGGUUCAGUAGAAACUUGAACUCCUCACUAAUUGGUGUAGUUGUCACAGGAACCGGUUCUCGUGAUGAACUACUUUCCAAUAAGGGAGUAGAUACAGUUAUCUCAUCAAGUUCUACUUUCCUCCCACUCACUUCUUUCGAGAGAAACUCCUUCUCUAGAAAGGAUCCAUUCUUAGCAACGAAUGUCUUGCCUUCAGAUCUGUGAUAGAAGGUGUACCCAACAGUCUCUUUUGGGUAUCCUAUGAAAACACAUUUCUCCGAUUUGGGUUCGAGCUUAUCUGGUUGAAGUUUCUUCACAUAAGCAUCGCAGCCCCAAACUUUAAGAAACGACAACUUUGGUUUCUUGCCAAACCACAGUUCAUAAGGCGUCGUCUCAACGGAUUUUGAUGGUGCCCUAUUUAACGUGAAUGCGGCCGUCUCUAAAGCAUAACCCCAAAACGAUAGCAGUAAAUCAGUAAGAGACAUCAUAGAUCGCACCAUAUCAAGUAAAGUACGAUUAUGACGUUCGGACACACCAUUUCGUUGUGGUGUUCCGGGUGGCGUGAGUUGCGAAACUAUUCCACAUUGUUUCAAGUGUAGGCCAAACUCGUAACUCAAAUAUUCUCCUCCACGAUCAGAUCGUAGAAACUUUAUUUUCUUGUUACGAUGAUUUUCCACUUCACUCUGAAAUUCUUUGAACUUUUCAAAUGUUUCAGACUUGUGUUUCAUCAAGUAGAUAUACCCAUAUCUGCUCAAAUCAUCUGUGAAGGUGAGAAAAUAACGAUACCCGCCGCGAGCCUCAACAUUCAUUGGGCCACAAACAUCAGUAUGUAUGAUUUCCAACAAAUUAGUUGCUCGCUCCAUAGUUCCGGAGAAUGGCGUUUUAGUCAUCUUGCCCAUAAGGCACAGUUCGCAAGUACCAAGUGAUUCAUAAUCAAGUGAUUCCAAAAGUCCAUCAGUAUGGAGUUUCUUCAUGCGUUUUACACCGAUAUGACCCAAAAGGCAGUGCCACAAGUAAGUUGCACUAUCGUUAUCAACUCUGCAUCUUUUGGUUUCAACACUAUGAACAUGUGUAUCACUACUAUCGAGAUUUAAUAAAAAUAAACCACUCUUCAAGGGUGCAUGACCAUAAAAGAUAUUACUCAUAUAAAUAGAACAACCAUUAUUCUUUGAUUUAAAUGAAUAACCGUCUCGCAUCAAACAAGAUCCAGAUAUAAUGUUCAUGCUUAACGCUGGCACCAAAUAACAAUUAUUCAGGUCUAAAACUAAUCCCGAAGGUAGAUGUAGAGGUAGCGUGCCGACCGCGAUCACAUCGACUUUGGAACCGUUUCCCACGCGCAUCGUCACCUCGUCCUUGGCCAGUGCUCGCUUAUUCCGUAGUCCCUAUUUCGAGUUGCAAAUAUUAGCAACAGAACCAGUAUCAAAUUCCCAGGUGCUACUACGAGCUCUAGUUAGGUACACAUCAAUAACAUGUAUAUCACAUGUAGCUUUGUUUACUUUGCCAUCCUUCUUAUCCGCCAAAUACUUGGGGCAGUUCCGCUUCCAGUGACCAGUCUGCUUGCAGUAGAAGCACUCAGUUUCAGGCUUAGGUCCAGACUUGGGUUUCUUCUCUUGAGCAGCAACUUGCUUGCUGUUCUUCUUGAAGUUCCCCUUCUUCUUCCCUUUGCCCUUUUUCUUGAAACUAGUGGUCUUGUUGACCAUCAACACUUGAUGCUCCUUCUUGAUUUCUACCUCCGCAGCUUUUAGCAUUGCGAAGAGCUCGGGAAUAGUCUUGUUCAUCCCUUGCAUAUUAUAGUUCAUCACAAAGCUCUUGUAUCUUGGUGGCAGUGAUUGGAGAACUCUGUCAAUGACGCUAUCAUCCGGAAGAUUAACUCCCAGUUGAAUCAAGUGAUUAUUAUACCCAGACAUUUUGAGUAUAUGCUCACUGACAGAACUAUUCUCCUCCAUCUUGCAGCUGUAGAACUUAUUGGAGACUUCAUAUCUCUCAAUCCGGGCAUUUGCUUGAAAUAUUAACUUCAACUCCUGGAACAUCUCAUAUGCUCCAUGACGUUCAAAACGUCGUUGAAGGCCCGGUUCUAAGCCGUAAAGCAUGGCACACUGAACUAUAGAGUAGUCAUCAGCUUUGCUCUGCCAGACGUUCUUAACGUCGUCAGUUGCAUCAGCAGCAAGCCUGGCACCCAGCGGUGCUUCCAGGACGUAACUUUUCUGUGCAGCAAUGAGGAUAAUCCUCAGGUUACGGACCCAGUCCGUGUAAUUGCUACCAUCAUCUUUCAACUUUUCUUUCUCAAGGAACGCAUUAAAAUUCAACGGAACAACAGCACGAGCCAUCUAUCUACAAACAAACAUAGACAAGCAAAAUACUAUCAGGUACUAAGUUCAUGAUAAAUUUUAAGUUCAAUUAAUCAUAUUACUUAAGAACUCCCACUUAGACAGACAUCUCUCUAGUCAUCUAAGUGAUUACGUGAUCCAAAUCAACUAAACCAUAACCGAUCAUCAUGUGAGAUGGAGUAGUUUUCACUGGUGAACAUCACUAUGUUGAUCAUAUCUACUAUAUGAUUCAUGCUCGACCUUUCGGUCUCCGUGUUCCGAGGCCAUAUCUGCAUAUGCUAGGCUCGUCAAGUUUAACCUGAGUAUUCUGCGUGUGCAAAACUGGCUUGUACCCGUUGUAGAUGGACGUAGAGCUUAUCACACCCUAUCAUCACGUGGUGUCUGGGCACGACAAACUUUGGCAAUGGUGCAUACUCAGGGAGAACACUUCUUGAUAAUUUUUGUGAGAGAUCAUCUUAAAAUGCUACCGUCAAUCAAAGCAAGAUAAGAUGCAUAAAGGAUAAACAUCACAUGCAAUCAAUAUAAGUGAUAUGAUAUGGCCCUCAUCAUCUUGUGCUUGUGAUCUCCAUCUUUGAAGCACCAUCGUGAUCACCAUCGUCACCGGCGCGACACCUUGAUCUCCAUCGUAGCAUCGUUGUCGUUACGCCAUCUAUUGCUUCUACGACUAUCUAUACCGCUUAGUGAUAAAGUAAAGCAAUUACAGGGUGUUUGCAUUUCAUACAAUAAAGCGACAACCAUAUGGCUCCUGCCAGUUGCCGAUAACUUCGGUUACAAAACAUGAUCAUCUCAUACAAUAAAAUAUAUCAUCACGUCUUGACCAUAUCACAUCACAACAUGCCCUGAAAAACAAGUUAGACGUCCUCUACUUUGUUGUUGCAAGUUUUACGUGGCUGCUAUGGGCUUAGCAAGAACUGUUCUUACCUACGCAUCAAAACCACAACGAUAGUUCGUCAAGUUGGUGCUGUUUUAACCUUCGCAAGGACCGGGCGUAGCCACACUCGAUUCAGCUAAAGUGAGAGAGACAGACACCCGCCAGCCACCUUUAAGCACGAGUGCUCGUAACGGUGAAACCAGUCUCACGUAAGCGUACGCGUAAUGUCGGUCCGGGCCGCUUCAUCUCACAAUACCGCCGAACCAAAGUAUGAAAUGCUGGUAAGCAGUAUGACUUGUAUCGCCCACAACUCACUUGUGUUCUACUCGUGCAUAUAACAUCAACGCAUAAAACCUAGGCUCGGAUGCCACUGUUGGGAAACGUAGUAAUUUCAAAAUUUUCCUACGCACACGCAAGAUCAUGGUGAUGGCAUAGCAACGAGAGAGGAGAGUGUUCGUCCAUGUACCCUCGUAGACCGUAAGCGGAAGCGUUAGCACAACGCGGUUGAUGUAGUUGUACGUCUUCACGAUCCGACCGAUCCAAGCACCGAACGUACGGGGCCUCCGAGUUCAGCACACGUUCAGCUCGAUGACGAUCUCCGGCCUCCGAUCCAGUGAAGCUCCGGAGAUGAGUUCCGUCAGCACGACGGCGUGGUGACGAUGAUGAUGUUCUACCGGCACAGGGCUUCGCCUAAACUCCGCGACAAUAUGACCGAGGUGGAAUAUGGUGGAGGGGGGGCACCGCACACGGCUAAGGAACGAUCCGUAGAUCAACUUGUGUGUCUAUGGGGUGCCCCCCGCCCCUGUAUAUAAAGGAGCAAGGGGGAGAGGCCGGCCGGCCCCUUGGGCGCGCCAAGGGAGGAGGAAUCCUCCUCCUAGUAGGAGUAGGACUCCUCCUUUCCUACUCCUACUAGGAGGGGGAAGGAAGGAGGAGAGGGGGAAGGAAAGGGGGGGCGCCGCCCCCCUCGUAGUCCAAUUCGGACCAGAGGGGGGGAGGGGGCGUGCGGCCCAUGCUGGCCGCCCCUCUCUCCUUUCCCCUAAGGCCCAUAAGGCCCAAUACUCUCCCGGGGGGUUCCGGUAACCCCCGGCACUCCGGUUUUCUCCGAAAUCACCCGGAACAAUUCCGGUGUCCGAAUAUAGUCGUCCAAUAUAUCAAUCUUUAUGUCUCGACCAUUUCGAGAUUCCUCGUCAUGUCCGUGAUGACAUCCGGGACUCCGAACAAACUUCGGUACAUCAAAAGAUAUAAACUCAUAAUAAAACUGUCAUCGUAACGUUAAGCGUGCGGACCCUACAGGUUCGAGAACUAUGUAGACAUGACCUAGAACCAUUCUCGGUCAAUAACCAAUAGCGGGACCUGGAUGCCCAUAUUGGUUCCUACAUAUUCUACGAAGAUCUUUAUCGGUCAAACCGCAUAACAACAUACGUUGUUCCCUUUGUCAUGGGUACGUUACUUGCCCGAGAUUUGAUCGUCGGUAUCCAAUACCUAGUUCAAUCUCGUUACUGGCAAGUCUCUUUACUCGUUCCGUAAUAUAUCAUCUCAUAACUAACUUAUUAGUUACAAUGCUUGCAAGGCUUAGGUGAUGAGUAUUACCGAGAGGGCCCAGAGAUACCUCUCCGACAAUCGGAGUGACAAAACCUAAUCUCGAAUUAUGCCAACUCAACAUGUACCUUCGGAAACACCUGUAGAGCACCUUUAUAAUCACCCAGUUACGUUGUGACGUUUGGUAGCACACAAAGUGUUCUUCCGGUAAACGGGAGUUGCACAAUCUCAUAGUUGCAGGAACUUGUAUAAGUCAUGAAGAAAGCAAUAGCAGUAUACUAAACGAUCAAGUGCUAGGCUAACGGAAUGGGUCAUGUCAAUCACAUCAUUCUCCUAAUGAUGUGAUCCCGUCAAUCAAAUGACAACUCUUUUGUCCAUGGUUAGGAAACAUAACCAUCUUUGAUAAACGAGCUAGUCAAGUAGAGGCAUACUACUGACACUAUGUUUGUCUAUGUAUUCACACAUGUAUCAUGUUUCCGGUUAAUAUAAUUCUAGCAUGAAUAAUAAACAUUUAUCAUGAUAUGAGGAAAUAAAUAAUAACUUUAUUAUUGCCUCUAGGGCAUAUUUCCUUCAGUUACCGGAGUCCUGUUAGCCCAGUGUUACAGCCCGGAUGUAUACGUUGAUGACCGACAUGCUCGAUGUGACUCAUGUAUGCCUGUCCCCAUAGGUUAGCGCCGCUUUGGGUUCAUGACUAGCCAUGUCAGCCCGGGUUCUCUGUCAUAUGGAUGCUAGCGACACUAUCAUAUACGUGAGCCAAAAGGCGCAAACAGUCCCGGCCAUGGUAAGGCGACACCCGUGGGAUUACCGUGCGUGAGGCCGCAAAGUGAUAUGAGGUGUUACCGGCUAGAUCAAUGUGACUUGGAAUCAUGGUCCAGACAGCAUUGGCAUCAGAGCCGGACUGCCUGUAGGUUCCUAAGCCAAACUGGUCGAUGUCGAGUCUAGAAAUGCUUUAGUUAUAUGUAGGGGAAUUUAUUGUGGGAGGAAACGUAAGGCUCUUUUUACCCCUUUACCUUAUGCCCUCUGAUCUGUGUCAUCCUCUUCUCAUUCUACGUGGGUUAAGGACUAGGCUCUCUUCUCUCUAUCAGGUUCACGUGUUACUAAUCCGUAGUAACUUAUAGGAUUGUUGGUUACCAGUCUCAGUACAGUUCCUACUACUUUAGUAUGUUAUCAGUUGAACCUGAACCUUGAUAUGAUGUUGUUGAGUGGUUUUGCAAUCCGUUGUGAAUGUCUCAAAUCUGCUCCUGAGCAUUUACAGCUGUUAUGUUGUCCAAUUUUCCCUAGGAAUUCUAAUGUCUUUGCAUUGUGGUUGUGCUUUCAGAUGGCCACUCGCGCUCAGAACCAAGUGGUUCGCCUGACGCGGUGCCUCAAUGUGCCCGGUCAUACUGCUAUGUUAGUCCGGGUCAUGAUCGAGACAGGUUACCGUUGGUAUCCCGAAUACAUUGCCGAAGAGCAAUUCCAAGACUUUAAUCAAAGCCAAUACUUCUGCACUGUCAGGAUAUUUCCUUCAUAUCCUGGAUCCACCGAGCCCCUUCACUGCUCCUAUGGACUCGGGGUCACCAUUGAGAUGGCUGUACAGGAUGCGGCCUAUUCUAUGAUGACCAUCAUGCGAGUCAGGACUGGUCUGCUUCGGAACACCGACUUCCGUUAUAUGCCAGCAUCGCUCCCAGGAGCGCAAGGGUAUCUCCAGGCUAUCUAUGCUGAUUCCACCCAUGAGGACUCACUAACUCGCACCAUUGCGGAGAUGCUCGAGGAUAAGGACCGAGAGAAUCAGGCCUUGAGGUUGGAGCUUUUCAACACCUGCGCCGAUCAUUGGGCCACUUUGACUCGGUUUGCACCGGCUGUGCAAGCUGGAUGUAUGGAUAUGAGGGAUCUGUUUCCUGUGAGAUCUGCUCUGCCAGACAUGGUGGAUUGGCGUGAUGUGGGAGGCAUCAUCCCACCCCGUGGUCCCCGUAGGCCAUCGUUUGUUGGUCCAAGACCUCAUCCUAGCCCCUAUGGUCCACAGGCUCCUCAGGACCGUCUGUUCCCGGAUGAUCACGUUGAGCUUCCAAGCUAUGGAGGGGACUUCUAUGAGGACUACUACGGAGCUGUCUGAGUUAGUAGUAGUAUCUUUAGUAUUGUAAUAGUUGUAAUUCCAUCGUCCUGCGUGACCUGUGGAAUAUGACUUAGUGUGUAUCAGUUCCGGAGGUGUAGAAAAAUAAUGUAUCGGAGCUUGGAAUGCCUCCGAUGAGAUGUAACUUCUUCCACCGUAGUUGUACUAUAGUCGGGCUUGUACUAAACUAUGUAUGGUGUGUAUGACUGUUGGUGCAUAUAUGGCAGUUUCUGUAUUACCAUGUCAUACAGAUGAACAUCUCUGCAUUCCUUGUUAUCCAUUACAUUCUGCACUUCCUUGUCCAGAUUUGCCAUCCUUGUCUAAAGCGAUGUCUUGUUUUCCUAGGAUGGUCAACACCCGUAACAACCCUGCUACUCCGGAGCAGGGUGAAGCCAGUGCAGCUAGGAAUGAAAAUCUGCCUCAACCACCUUCUCUGGUCGAAGUUAUGCUGGAGGCAGAGCGAAAUAAGCGUGAGACCAAUCGCUUGCUGGAGCGGAUUGAGCAGAAUACCGCACGCCAGCCGAGGAACGACCUGGUGUCACUUAAUGACUUUGUCAAGCUGUAUCCACCGAAGUUUAAACAUUCCGUCGAGCCCCUUGAUGCGGAUGAAUGGCUUCGCAGCAUUACCCACAAGCUACGUUCUGUCAAUGUGGCCGAAGCUGAUAAGGUUAACUUUGCUACCUAUCACCUCGAAGGCCCUGCUAGCCUUUGGUGGGAAAACUUUGAGGCUAUGCGCCCGGUCGGCCAAAUUACUACUUGGGCUGAAUUCAGUAUGGAGCAUCACAUUCCGGAAGGUCUUAUGGAUCGCAAGCGUGAAGAGUUCUGCAACUUCACCCAGGGUAGACUGACUGUGGAUGCAUACAGUCGCGAGUUUGGAUAUCUAGCACGAUAUGCUCCUAAAGAGGUAUCCACCGACGCCAAGAAGCAGGCAAGGUUCCGCAAGGGACUUAGCCCCGAGCUUCGUCGUGAUCUUCGUCUGCACGAGUGCACCUCCUUCCAGAAGUUAGUCAACAAGGCCAUCAGUGCUGAGACAGGGCAGUCGGACUUUGAAGCUUCACGCAAGCACUCCCGUGACUUUGGACUUCAUCCGGCUGUGCAUCUCAGAAGCGCCGGGUCUGGAUUCCAAGCACUGCUCUGCCACCCAGGUUCACCCCGAGGCCAUCCUUUGACGCGCCUCGCCCCAACCAAUAGUAUACACCGCCCAAGGCCUAUGGUGGCCCCACUGCUAAUGCUACUCCAUGCCCCAAUGUGAUAACUUGUUUCAAGUGUGGGGAGACGGGUCACUACAUUCGUGAGUGUCCCCAAAACAACCCCAACCAGAUUGGAAAGUCUGUUGGCCGUGGCAAGCCAGCAGGAAAGGUGCUCUACGCCAAGCCAGCCACCACUGCCCGUGGCCAUGUCAACUAUGUCUCAGCAGAGGAGACUCAUGAGGAUCCCAACGUCGUUCUCGGUACGCUUCUUGUUAAUUGCCACCCGGCAACCAUUCUCUUUGAUACUGGAGCAUCUCAUUCAUUUAUAUCUGAAAGCUAUGCUCGAUUGCACAACACCACAUUUUGUGACAUGCCCACCUCCAUGGUAAUUCAAACCCCUGGUUCUAAGUGGCAAACCUCUAAAAUCAGCCAUGGAAAUGAAAUCCUUGUCGACAGAUUAGUCUUCCUUGCAUCACUAAUAGCUCUCAAGUCCUCGGACAUAAACAUCAUCUUGGGUAUGGACUGGAUGUCAGCCCAUUACGCUAAGAUCGAUUGCUCCACUAGAACUGUUCAACUCACCCACCCUUCGGGCAAGACAGCCAAUGUUUUGACCCGAGUGUCUAAGCGUCAGCUUUACUCUUUAAAUGCCAACCCCCUUCCAGACCUUGAAGAUAUUCCGGUAGUCCGUGACUUCCCGGAUGUCUUUCCAGAGGAACUGUCAGGUGUUCCACCUAACAGAGAUGUCAAGUUCGUGAUAGACCUUGUUCCAGGAACCAUGCCAACAUCUAGGAGACCUUAUAAGAUGGCACCCCUAGAACUAGCUGAGCUUAAGAAACAACUCGAUGAGUCCUUGCAAAAGGGUUUCAUCCAUCCUAGCUCUUCUCCAUGGGCUUGCCCCGUCCUUUUCGUCAAGAAGAAGGAUGGAACGGAUCGGAUGGUUGUAGAUUACCGGCCAGUCAACUUGGUCACUAUCAAGAACAAGUAUCCGCUCCCCAAGAUCAACGACCUGUAUGAUCAGCUCGCUGGAUCCUCAGUCUUUUCUAAAAUGGAUUUGAGGUUGGGCUACCAUCAAAUCAAAAUUAAGAACGGGGACAUUCCUAAAACGGCCUUUGUUACUCGAUAUGGCCAAUACGAGUACACCGUCAUGUCCUUCGGUCUAACCAAUGCCCCAGCCACCUUCUCUCGGUUAUUGAACUCGAUCUUCAUGGAGUAUUUUGAUAAAUUCGUCGUGGUUUACCUUGAUGAUAUACUCAUCUACUCCAAGAAUGAAGAAGAACAUGCCGAACAUCUAAGGCUAGUGUUGAUGAAACUUUGAGAGCAUUGUCUUUAUGCCAAAUUCUCUAGGUGUGAGUUUUGGUUGCCAGAAGUAACCUAUCUAGGACAUGUAAUCUCUGGUAAGGGCAUUGCUGUCAAUCCCAAGCGAGUUCAAGCCAUCCUUGACUGGACUCCACCUGAAACGGUCAAGCAAGUUCAGAGUUUUGUUGGUUUAGCGAGCUAUUGCCGCUGCUUCAUCGAGAAUUUCUCCAAGGUUGCUAAGCCUCUAACCGAACUCCUCAAGAAAGAUAAAAAGUUCGAAUGGACGCCAUAGUGCGAGUUCAGUUUUCAGGAACUGAAAAGACGCCUGACAUCUGCUCCUGUACUUGUUCCACCAGAUUUCUCUAAGGACUUCGUUAUCUACUGCGACGCCUCGCGACAAGGACUAGGUUGCAUACUCAUGCAAGAUCGUCAUGUGAUUGCCUACGCUUCUCGACAGCUGCGUCCACAUGAGGAUAACUAUCCCACACAUGAUCUACAGCUUGCAGCAGUGGUCCAUGCACUCAAAACCUGGCGACAUUACCUUCUCGGUAAUCGUUGCGAGAUUUACACCGAUCACCAAAGUCUGAAAUACAUCUUCACCAAACCGGAUUUGAAUCUCAGACAAAGACGUUGGGUCGAGUUGAUUACGGAUUACGAUCUAGGAAUAACCUACACCCCAGGAAAAGCCAAUGUCAUGGCUGAUGCAUUAAGCCGUAAAUCUUAUUGUAACAACCUGAUGUUACAACAAAGCCAACCAUUUCUCCACGAGGAAUUUCGUAAGCUUAACCUUCACAUCGUUCCUCGAGGUUUUCUUUCCACCCUGGUGGCGAAACCUACCCUUACGGAUCAGAUCAUCAAGGCACAGAAGGUAGAUCCGGGAAUAUCCCGUAUCAAGAGAAACAUCAAAAGGGAGUUGGACUGUUUCUCCAUAGAUGAUCAAGGUGUUGUGUUCUUUGGAGGCCAUCUAGUGGUUCCCAAGGUAUGCAACCUGAGGCGAUUGAUCCUUAAGGAAGCUCAUGAAUCCCCUCUCACUAUUCAUCCCAGUAGUACUAAAAUGUAUCAAGACCUACGCCAGAGGUUUUGGUGGACUAGGAUGAAGAGAGAAAUCGCUCAAUACAUUACCAAUUGCGACGUCUGUCGUCGAGUUAAAGAAGAGCAUCAACGACCUGCUGGCACCCUGCAACCUUUGGAAAUUCCCGAAUGGAAAUGGGAUAAAAUCGGUAUGGAUUUCAUUACCGGGUUUCCCAGGACCAAGAGGGGGAAUAAUGCUAUCUUCGUUGUUGUCGAUCGUCUUUCCAAAGUAGCCCACUUCCUACACGUUCGUGAGAGUUUAACCGCUAGCCAGCUAGCUGACUUAUACAUCUCCCGAAUAGUGUCUCUUCAUGGUGUUCCAUUGGAGACUAACUCAGACCGUGGAAGUCUCUUCACCUCUCGAUUUCGGGAAAGUUUCCAAAAUGCGAUGGGAACUCGUCUUUCUUUUAGCACCGCUUUCCAUCCUCAAUCAAGUGGUCAAGUAGAACGAGUCAAUCAAAUUCUAGAGGAUAUGCUUCGAGCUUCUGUCAUCUCUUUUGGUAUGAAUUGGGAGAAGUGCCUUCCAUUCGCUGAGUUCGCUUAUAACAAUAGUUAUCAAGCUAGCUUGGACAAAGCUCCUUUCAAAGUUCUCUAUGGAUGAAAAUGUCGAACACCUCUUAACUGGUCAGAAACCGGGUAAAGACAACUCUUUGGCCCGGAUAUGAUCCAGGAAGCAGAGGAGCAGGUUCACGUUAUUCGUGAGAAAUUGAAAACAGCCCAAUCUCAUCAAAAGAGCCAAUAUGACCGCAAACAUACACUAGUAGAAAAGGGGCCAAUGGUCCAGGCCGGUCCAGCCCAUUAGUCCCGGUUCAAUCCAGAACCGGGACCAAUGGGGGCAUUGGACCCGGUUCGUGAGCCCUGGGGGCCGGCCGGGCCACGUGGGCCAUUGGUCCCGGUUCGUCCUGACCUUUCGGUCCCGGUUGGUGGGACGAACCGGGACCAAUGGGCCUCGCUCCUGGCCCACCAACAUUGGUCCCGGUUGGUGGCUUGAACCGGGACCAAAGGCGUCCCUUUAGUCCCGGUUCAAGUCACCAACCGGGACCAAUUAGUUGCCUAUAUAUACCCCUCGCCUGCGAGCAGAGCACUCCCAGUGCUCUGUUUUUCGUGGCUGGCGAGGGGAGAGCUUUGUGGUGCUCUAGCUCACGUCCUAUGCACACAAGGUGUUCGAUGGAAUGCCCGAGCCACACUACUUAAGCUUUCUCCUCUCCAAGCUCGACCUCCAAGCUCCAUUUUCCUUCAUAUUUGUCUAGGUUUAGCGGUUCGUCACGUCCCGUCCCCAUCUUCACCACCGUUGAUCGCCCGCGCCGAUCUCGUCGCCGGCACCACCGUGGUGAGCCUCUUGUUCUUAUCUUCUUUCUGAAAGGAAAAAAAAUUCUUACUUGUAUGUUUAUAUAGAUACUUGUAUAAUUUUCUUACUUUUAUUAUUGCAUCUUAUAUAGUGCGAUGGUUUUGGUAUCCGCCCCCGUCGGCCCUCGUCCUGUCUAUGAUUCAGAUGUGGUAUAUAUAUAUUAUCUUUUCAUAACUAGUGGUUCAUUUAUUGUUUAUGACAAUUAUGCCGACCAACGUGACAUAGAUUUUAUUUAUCUAGGAGGUUGUUGAACCGGAAAUUCCAACCGACCCUAUUGUCGAGAGGUUAAAUUUAGUUGAAGAAAACAAUUUGUUGAAGGGAAAAAUUAGAAAAAUUGAGGAGGAGAAGAUGAUAUUGGAGUUGCAUGUUGCGGAUGUCAUCGAUGAUCACAAGAUCAAGAUGGAUGCAAUGCGCUUGAAGAUUAGAAAGAUUAGAAAAUAUGCCAUUCAUACCGAGGCUUGGUAUCAUUAUGUCGUUGGAUCAGUUGUUACAUUGGUUGCGAUUAUGAUCGUAUUUGUUUUCGCAUUGAAAUGUUUUACAUAGUUUCAGUGUAUGGUUUAAUUAAUUUAGAUGCCCUGCAGAGCUUUAUGUUGUUAGAUGAGAACUAUGUAUGUACUUUGGUUUUAAUGUGAUGAUGAACUUCUAUUAAUUUCGUCACUUAAUUAUCUAUUCAUGAUGUUCUGUAAUGAUUUUUGACACACUUAAUUAUAUAUAAUGCACGCAGAUGAACCGGCAAUGGAUGUACGGUUCAAGACACACCUCCGAGUACAUUAAGGGCGUGCAUGAUUUUCUCGAAGUGCCUGAGGCAACAAGAAGAAUGGUUUUAUGUGUUGUCCAUGCCCUAUAUGUGGGAAUACGAAGUCUUACUCUGACUGGAAAAUCCUCCACACCCACCUUCUUUACAAGGGUUUCAUGCCACACUAUAAUGUUUGGACGAGGCACGGAGAAAUAGGGGUUAUGAUGGAAGACGGCGAAGAAGAAGAGUACGAUGACAACUAUGUGCCCCCUGAAUACGGUGAUGCUACUGAAGAUCAAGAGGAACCAGACGAUGUGCCCGAUGAUGAUGAUCUCCGCCGGGUCAUUGUCGAUGCAAGGACGCAAUGCGAAAGUCAAAAGGAGAAGCUGAAGUUCGAUCGCAUGUUAGAGGACCACAAAAAAGGGUUGUACCCCAAUUGUGAAGAUGGCAACACAAAGCUCGGUACCGUACUGGAAUUGCUGCAGUGGAAGGCAGAGAAUGUUGUGCCUGACAAAGGAUUUGAGAAGCUACUGAAAAUAUUGAAGAAGAAGCUUCCAAAGGAUAACGAAUUGCCCGACAGUACAUACACAGCAAAGAAGUUCGUAUGCCCUCUAGGAUUGGAGGUGCAGAAGAUACAUGCAUGCCCUAAUGACUGCAUCCUCUACCGCGGUGCGUACAAGGAUCUGAACGCAUGCCCGGUAUGCGGUGCAUUACGGUAUAAGAUCAGACGAGAUGACCCUGGUGAUGUUGACGGCGAGCCCCCCAGGAAGAGGGUUCCUGCGAAGGUGAUGUGGUAUGCUCCCAUAAUACCACGGUUGAAACGUCUGUUCAGAAACGGAGAGCAUGCCAAGUUGAUGCGAUGGCACAGUGAGGACCGUAAGAAAGACGGGAAGUUGAGAGCACCCGCUGACGGGUCGCAGUGGAGAAAAAUCGAGGGAAAGUACUGGGAUGAGUUUGCAAGUGAGCCAAGGAACGUAUGGUUUGCUUUAAGCGCGGAUGGCAUUAAUCCUUUCGGGGAGCAGAGCAGCAAUCACAGCACCUGGCCCGUGACUCUAUGUAUGUAUAACCUUCCUCCUUUGAUGUGCAUGAAGCAGAAGUUCAUUAUGAUGCCAGUUCUCAUCCAAGGCCCUAAGCAACCCGGCGACGACAUUGAUGUGUACCUAAGGCCAUUAGUUGAAGAACUUUUAUAGCUGUGGAAUGGAAAUAGUGUACGUACGUGGGAUGAGCACAAACAGGAGGAAUUUAACCUAAAGGCGUUGCUGUUCGUGACCAUCAACAAUUGGCCCGCUCUCAGUAACCUUUCAGGACAGACAAACAAGGGAUACCACGCAUGCACGCACUGUUUACUUGACACCGAUAGUAUAUACCUAGCAAGUUGUAGGAAGAAUGUGUACCUGGGCCAUCAUCGAUUUCUUUCGACCAACCAUCAAUGUUGAAAGAAAGGCAAGCAUUUCAAAGGCGAGGCAGAUCACCGGAAGAAGCCCUCCAUGCGUACUGGUAUCACGUACUUGCUAUGGUAGUGAUUUACACGUAAUCUUUGGAAAGUGUCCCGGCGGACUAGCUGUUCCGAAUGACGCUGAGAAUCACGCACCCAUGUGGAAGAAGAAAUCUAUAUUUUGGGACCUACCCUACUAGAAAGACCUAGAGGUCCGCUCUUCGAUCGACGUGAUGCACGUGACGAAGAACCUUUGCGUGAACCUGCUAGGCUUCUUGGGCAUGUAUGGGAAGACAAAAGAUACAACUGAGGCACGGGAGGACCUGCAACGCUUGCACGAAAAAGUGGGCAUGCCUCCGAAGCAGUAUGAAGGUCCUGCCAGCUACGCUCUUACGAAAGAAGAGAAAUAAAUCUUCUUUGAAUGCCUGCUCAGUAUGAAGGUCCCGACUGGCUUCUCUUCGAAUAUAAAGGGAAUAAUAAAUAUGCCAGACAAAAAGUUCUAGAACCUAAAGUCUCAUGACUGCCACGUGAUUAUGACGCAACUGCUUCCGGUUGCAUUGAGGGGGCUUCUACCGGAAAACGUCCGAUUAGCCAUUGUGAACCUAUGUGCAUUCCUCAAUGCAAUCUCUCAGAAGGUGAUCGAUCCAGAAAUCAUACCAAGGCUAAGGACUGAUGUGGUGCAAUGUCUUGUCAGUUUCGAGCUGGUGUUCCCACCAUCCUUCUUCAAUAUCAUGACGCACGUCCUAGUUCAUCUAGUUGACGAGAUUGUCAUUCUGGGCCCCGUAUUUCUACACAAUAUGUACUUCUUUGAGAGGUUCAUGGGAGUCCUAAAGAAAUAUGUCUGUAACCGCGCUAGGCCAAAAGGAAGCAUCUCCAUGGGCUAUCAAACAGAGGAUGUCAUCGGGUUUUGUGUUGACUUCAUUCCUGGCCUUAAGAAUAUAGGUCUCCCUAAAUCGCGGUAUGAGGGGAGACUGACUGGAAAAGGCACGCUUGGAAGGGACUCAAUUAUAUGCAGGGACGGAUAUUCUUGGUCUCAAGCACACUACACAGUUCUACAGAACUCUACCUUGGUGACCCCGUAUGUCGAUGAACACAAGAACAGUCUGCGCUCCAAACACCCGGAGCAGUGCGACGACUAGAUUACAUGUGAACACAUCAGGACUUUCAGUAGUUGGUUGGAAGCACAUAUCAGAGGUGACAACACUGUUUGUGAUGAGUUGUACUUGUUGUCCAGGGGACCAUCUUUGACUGUAUUGAUUUGGAAAGGAUACGAGAUAAAUGGGAAUACAUUUUACACGAUUGACCAAGAUCAAAAGAGCACCAACCAAAACAGCGGUGUCCGCUUUGAUGAAACAACCGAGAGGGGAAAGGACACAUAUUGUGGUUACAUAGUGGACAUAUGGGAACUUGACUACGGACACGAUUUUAAGGUCCCUUUGUUUAAGUGCAAAUGGGUCAAUCUGUCAGGUGGCAGGGUACAGGUAGACCCACAGUACGGAAUGACAAUAGUGGAUCUGGAAAAUCUUGGAUACACUGACGAACUGUUCGUCCUAGCCAAUGAUGUGGCACAGGUUAUCUAUGUGAAGGACAUGUCUACCAGACCAAGAAAGAGAAAAGAUAAGGAAGCGAAUACAUCAUACGAUGAGCCAAAGUGCCACAUAGUUCUUUCAGGAAAAAGGGACAUCGUGGGAGUGGAGGACAAGACAGACAUGUCUGAAGAUUAUGAAAAGUUUCAUGAAAUUCCUCCCUUUAAUGUCAAGGCUGACCCCAGCAUCCUGAUAGACGAUGAAGAUUAUCCAUGGUUACGGCGCAAUAAGCAAAUGACACAAGCGAAGAAAAAGUGAAGACUUUCUCCCGCAACUAUUAUGAUGAUACCAUGCCAAAUUUGUAACUGACGAGUAUGAUACCAUUGUCCGUUUUGUACAUGCACAUGCUAUGUGGGUCAAUUUAUGAUACCAUGCCAACUUUCAACUUUUUCAGAGUUCAUUUGAAAUGCUUUAAUGUCUUAUGGUUCGGCCCUCGUAAUGAUUAAAAAUAGCAACAAUAAGUAUUUUGUUGUAAGUAGAAACAAAAUAAAAUAAAUAAAGCAAGAAAGAAAACAAAAAAAACAAAAAAAGUGUUUUCAAAUUUGAAAACUAAUGGUACUAACAGAAAGUUUAUAAUUUUCCUAAAACUAAAAGCAAAAAGAAUUGAAAAAUAAAGCAAAAAACAAAAGACAAUAAAUAAUGCAGAAAUCAAAACAAAAAACAACAAUAAGUAUUUUGUUGUAUGUAGAAACAAAACAAAAUAAAUAAAGCAAGAAAGAAAACAAAAAAACAAAAAAAGUGUUUUCAAAUUUGAAAACUAGGGCACUAACAGAAAGUUUAUAAUUUUCCUAAAACUAAAAGCAAAAAGAAUUAAAAAAUAAAGCAAAAAACAAAAGAAAAUAAAUAAUGCGGAAAACAAAACAAAAAAACUGGAAAAAAAAUAAAAUAGCAAAAAUAAGUAAAGAAAACAAAAAAAUGCCUCCUACUGGGCCCCCACGGCCUGAAUACGACUAGAAACCCUACUAUGGGCCAGGAUUCAGGCCCGCAGUAGGCCCAGAAGGCCCAUCAGGCAAAGCAAUAGCAAGUAGGCCCGAAAGCCUGCGGUGGAGAGGAGCUCGAGAGGGGUGCGGCAGUGGGGCUUAUAAACCACUGCACGCCCCUCUCAACUAGCGAGGUGGGACUAAACUUUGGCCCCGACGCGGGAAGCACAGGGGCCUUUGGUCCCGGUUGGUGGCACCAACCGGGACUAAAGGGGGGGGCAUUGGUACCGGUUCGUGGCACCAACCGGUACCAAAGGCCGCCGCUUCCCGCCCUUUGGGCUGCCGAAAAGGAGGCCUUUGGUCCUAGUUGGUGGCACUAACCGGGACUAAAGGGUGCAUUAGUCCCGGUUGAUUUCACGAACCGGGACCAAUGCCUUUGCUAUAUAAGCAAACACUUUGCAAAAUUUCAGAAUCCCAUCGCCAGUUGCCCCCGACGACGCCGACCCUCCUCGACGCUGCCAGGCUGCUCCACCUCGCCGUCGUCGCCGCCACCGCCAAGCCGUCGCCUCCCCGAGCCCGCGCCAUCCUCGUCGCCGGCCUCCCUGAGCCCGCGCCGUCCUCGUCGCCGGUCUCCUCGAGCCCGCUCCCCGUCCCGCCCCCGCGCGCCGCCGCCCCGAGCCCCUGCCCCGUCCUGCCCCCAUGCGCNNNNNNNNNNNNNNNNNNNNNNNNNNNNNNNNNNNNNNNNNNNNNNNNNNNNNNNNNNNNNNNNNNNNNNNNNNNNNNNNNNNNNNNNNNNNNNNNNNNNNNNNNNNNNNNNNNNNNNNNNNNNNNNNNNNNNNNNNNNNNNNNNNNNNNNNNNNNNNNNNNNNNNNNNNNNNNNNNNNNNNNNNNNNNNNNNNNNNNNNNNNNNNNNNNNNNNNNNNNNNNNNNNNNNNNNNNNNNNNNNNNNNNNNNNNNNNNNNNNNNNNNNNNNNNNNNNNNNNNNNNNNNNNNNNNNNNNNNNNNNNNNNNNNNNNNNNNNNNNNNNNNNNNNNNNNNNNNNNNNNNNNNNNNNNNNNNNNNNNNNNNNNNNNNNNNNNNNNNNNNNNNNNNNNNNNNNNNNNNNNNNNNNNNNNNNNNNNNNNNNNNNNNNNNNNNNNNNNNNNNNNNNNNNNNNNNNNNNNNNNNNNNNNNNNNNNNNNNNNNNNNNNNNNNNNNNNNNNNNNNNNNNNNNNNNNNNNNNNNNNNNNNNNNNNNNNNNNNNNNNNNNNNNNNNNNNNNNNNNNNNNNNNNNNNNNNNNNNNNNNNNNNNNNNNNNNNNNNNNNNNNNNNNNNNNNNNNNNNNNNNNNNNNNNNNNNNNNNNNNNNNNNNNNNNNNNNNNNNNNNNNNNNNNNNNNNNNNNNNNNNNNNNNNNNNNNNNNNNNNNNNNNNNNNNCGCUGCAUUGGCUCUGUUUUUUUUUCAUUUUUAUUAGUUUAAUUAUUUUUUUGUUCAUAUAUAUAUAUAUAUAUAUAAUGUAUAUGUGUAUGUAUGUGGCUAUAUAUGUGUAUGUAGAUGUUCAAAAAUUAUUCAGAGCACGUUUUUAUUCAUAUAUGUAUUUUUUGUUCAUAUGUGUAUUAAUGUUUUCAUAUAUGCAAAAGAUAGAUUUUUAGAAAAGUUAGGGUUUUUUUUUCUAUUCAUAGAUUUUUUUGGUGAUAUUAAUUAUUGUAGAAUAUGCAAAUGUUUGUAUAUUCAUAUGAACAAUGCAUUAGGCAAAACCUUUGUUUUUUUUGAAAUUUUUUAUUUGAACAUUUUUUAAAAACAAGCAAUACUAAAAGAAUGAGAGGAAAAAGGAAAAUAAGAAGAGGAAGAAAGGAGAAGAAGAGGAGAGGAAGAAGAGGAGAAAUAAAUAAGAAGAGGAAAAAAGAAGAGGGGAAGAAGAAAGGAAUAGAGGAGAAGAAGAAAAAUAGAAAUUUUCUAUUUUUCUUCUUCUCCUCUAUUCCUUUCUUCUUCUCCUCUUUAUUUUCUUCUUUUUUUUCUUCUUCCUUCUUCCUCUUUUCUUCCUUUUCCUUAUUUUCCUUUCUCGAGGGAGAAGAAGAAAAAGAAGAGUAAAAGAAGAAGAAAGGAAUAGAGGAGAAAGAAGAAACUUCAACACAAGGGGGGGUUACCGAUACCCCCUCCCCGAUAACAUUAUUUUCCCAUGUAUAUGUAUGUCGCGUCAUUGUCGAUAUAACCCCCUCGAGAUAACUUCGACAUGAGGGGCGGUCGAUAUAUAUACCCCCUCUCGACCGUGAUAACUUAUACAACGGCAGCACCCCCCUCGGCCCUCUCGCUCGACCAAAACUCUUGAGGACACCCAAACCCUAGAGAGAAAACGAUGUUGGUCUCCUACCCCCUCCCGCCGCGCCCCUACCCGACAUAUUAACUCUCUCGAGGCCACCCAAAUUUACCAAGUUAAAAGAGCGUUGUCGUCGAGGCCACCCCAAACCCUUGAAGCGUUGUGUCGAGGAGACCCCAAACCCUAGAGAAGCAGCGUCGAGGCCACUAACAUGGAUCGAUCCAUCUGUAAUAAUAAUUGACAUGGUGUAAAUAUUUGCAGAAACUAUGGAGCACUCCCGAGACGAAGAAACAGAAGCGAUGUUGGGGGACAUUAUCGCACAAGGAAGUGAUGAAGUUGCGUCAUUUCUCAACGACACCGAUGGUCAGGAACGACUGGGUGAAGAAGAGGGCUAUGUUCAUGAUGGCUUCGACCCAUUAAUGCCGGUACAAGAAGAGGACUAUGUUCAUGAUGGCUCUGGUGACACAAUGGAGGUACAAGAAGGAGACCGUGCUGACUGCUCCGGUGACCGAACCGAGUCCGGCCAGGUAUAUAUAUAUAUAUUAGUUAAGCCCGUGCUGACUAGUUAAUUGAUGCAUCCAUUGUUUUGGUAUAUGUACACAUAUUAAUUACUCUCGUCUUUCUUCCUUAUAAUUUCUAGCCCUCCGGAUCGAGCACAACUUCGGUAAGAAGACGAAGCCCGAAGAAAAAGUUGAGCUCGGAUGAAAAGUUUGAGAUCAUAGAAAUCGCGCCCGACGGCGAACCGAUUGAACCCAUCCGGACAAGGAAGGCAUUUUCUGCUCAGUGCGGGGUUCUUGUUAGGGACAAGAUCCCGAUCAGCAUCCAUCAAUGGUAUAAGCCUAAGGAGGAAGACCCCGAGGUGUCUUAUGUCAAUGAUAUGCAGAAAGAAGAUCUUUGGACUGAGCUAAAGGCAAAUUUCACCCUACCGCUAGAGGAGGAUCCGGAGAAGCCAGUUAUAGAGCAAUUAAUCAAUUCUUGUGCUCUUAAGAAGAUGGCAACCCUAAUGAGGAGGUGGAGGAAAGAGGUGAACCAGUUUGUCGAGAAAGAUAAGACACCAGAAUUCAUCGGCAAAUAUGAGAAGAUCAAAGAUCACUGGCCCGCAUUUGUGGCCCACAAGACAUCGGAAAAGAGUAAGAAGAUGUCGGCAACAAACAAGAAAAAUUCUGCAAAGAAGAAGCUUCACCAUCGCACGGGGUCAGGUGGCUACCUCAAAGCCCGGCCUAAGUGGUCCAAGGCUGAGCAUGAUCUGCUUGAAAAAGGGAUCGAACCAGAGACAAUGUACUGGCCAGACCGUUGUCGGACUUGGUUCUUCGGGGCUGGCGGAACCUUGGACCCUGUAACAGGGAAGUGCCAGUGGACGGAUGAGCAACUACAAAUACCAGUCAAGAAACUUCGACACUAUAUCGAUGCAGCGUAGCGAGGGACGCUCCUUCCAAACAGGGAGAAGGACGAGCUCACAAUGGCCCUUGGGAAUCCUGAGCACCCUGGAUGGACACGAGGCACGCCAGGCUCCAUUCCAUGGAAGGUUGGUCUUCCGCACACAGGGGGUUACAAAACCCACGAGAGGAGGAAGAAACUGGAGCAGGACCAAAUGCAGGCGCUGCACGAAAGGGUAAUGGGGCUAGAGGAACGAGAAGCAGCAGAUCGCAGCAAACGACAUGCCGAAGCUUCCCCCGAAGCUACCUCGCCAUCUCAGCGGAGAAGCAGCGUGGCUUCCACCGAGCUGCUUCAGCCGGAGCAUGUCUUGACGUCUCCUGCCAGCUAUCCCGUGGAUGGUAUCACGGAGUCUCAAAGUUGCCACAUUAUGACGCAAUGUAUGAAUUUGAAGGUCAAGGCGGCUGUUGGCCAAGUUUAUCCUAGUGGACCCGGCACAACUUAUCACUGCCAGCCGAUUCCAGAAGGAUUUGCUAAGGUGAUGGUGGAUGAAAUAACGGAGGGAUUUGAGGACCUCCUGCUUGAGCACCCUACCGGUGAAGGGGAGACUAGGCUGGGUUCUGCUCUGAAGACUCCAUGCCUAUGGCGGAAGGAGCUCAUCAACCUUCCGAACUGGACGCCUCCGCCUCCUCCUCCUCCUCCGGCGAGUCAGGGCACUCCGCCUCCUCCACCGCCUCCUCCUCCGGCGAGUGAUGAUCAGGGCACACGUGGCAGCACUCCGCCUCCUUCUCCGCCUGCGCCGGCGCGCCCGAGCAGCCAGCCUCCUCCUUCUCCGCCUCGUCAGCAAGGGCGAAAGAGACCCGCCGCUGCUCCGGCUGCUCCGGCGCGUCGUAAUCCUUCUCCUCCGCCUCACAAAAAGCAAGCAAAGAAGACAUCCACUCCGUCUGCUCUGUCGGUGUCUAGCAGUACAGCCAAAGGCGGGAAGAAAUACAGAUUUGGUCCUUCUCCGAAGACUCCAGAGAAGUUACCGUACGAGAGGACCGAGGAGGAAAACGCGGAGAUCACGCAGAACGAACUGGAUGGCUGGUUUGCAGGGUUGAAAGCAAAGAGACAUCCACCUCCGGAGGAGAAGGUAGAUCCGGUGAAAGUGAAGCGCACUCUGGCUGCCCUGAGGAAACCGGCAAAGUCUCCGCCGAGAACCAACUAUGAGCGCAUUACUGAACAGACAUAUCUCCAAGCGGAGCAGUCGGGAAGUACUGUCAGACAUCAAAGAGCAAAAGAACGAGCAGCUGCGAAAAAAGUUGACCAGCUCGGCGAACAACCAAACCAAUCGUGCCCCCCGCUCAAUGUGUCUAGCGGCAACAUCGUCGCUAAUGUUCCGGGGAUCAUGGACGGUUAUGGCAAUCCACAAUAUUACCUGCCUGACGAUGCACUUCCUGAAUUCAUGAUGGUGGAAGAACGCAGAUACGAGUACGGGAAGCCUCUCAUCAAAGAUGUAAAAUCUCUAACAACGAUGAUGCGAAGAUUCCAUACUUGGUACAUGAAAACCUGCAGAGAGUCUGGGGGGACGAAUAGUUUGUAUCUACACAUUAAAGAGGAGCACGACCUCGUUGGAACUGAUCUGUUGUGUGUUCCAUUUGAGGAGUUCUUCGCGUUCUUCAAUCAAAUAGCCCUCGAUAAAUUAACGGUCUUUUGCUACUGCCUGUAAGUACUAUUUCUGUCAUUAAGUCUCUAUAUAUAGCUUGGCUUUCAUUACAUGUAUUUAUAAUUAAUUAUCCUCAAUAUAUUAUGCAGAUUGAAGAUCGUCGAGUGCAAAAAAAUGAAAUCUAUGAUAUUGGGUUCAUUAACACAAAUAUCAUAGAUGUAUUUCUGGUUGAAAAGCACAUCGAAGAGGCCGAGGACAACUUGCUACGAUCAUUGAUCAAAAAUCAAAACAAAGAUACCAUACUCUUUCCUUACAACACCAAGUGAGUGUUACUGAUCAUUUGCAUAUUCGGUUUCCCUUAUUACUCGAGCGAGGUUAUAGUAAUGUAAUUGAUGAGUUAUGCAUGUGUGCGCAGGUACCACUAUAUUCUUCUGGAGAUUAAGCUUGAGCGUGGACUAGUAACCGUCUUAGACUCGAGACGGAAAGAUCCCAGCACCUAUGCGGACAUGACUGAAAUGCUCAGCAAGUAAGUUCAAUCGAUCAUUAUCGCACCAUAGCGGCAACUUUUUGUUCAUUUCCUGAUAUCUCAAGUAAUAAUAAUUAUUUUCUUUGUCUUGCAGGGUUUGGAAACAGUUCACCACAGUAGCUCGGGGACUGCCGAAGGAGCUGCGAUAUAUAUACCCGAAAGUAAGUACUACUGGCUAGCUAGUUGUGUGCAUCUCCUGUUGAUUCUAUAGCUAUACUUUCAUCACAUUUAUAAUGCUUCAUUAUCAGUUUGAUAGACCUCUAUUUCUCGUAAAGUGCUUGUGGUAGGAACAAGGGAAUGAUUUCUAUAGAUACUACGUGUGCGAGUUCAUCUACAACGCGACUUUGAAAAAUAAGCGGGGCUACUCUCAAAGACAAUAUGAAGUGCGUAAGCAAUUAAUAAUAUUCACAAUUUCUGUUGAGUUUCAUUCAUAUAUAUAUAUAUAUAUAUAUAUAUAUAUAUAUAUGUAUUAAUUAACCCCCUUCUUCAAAUUAGACGUGGCAGAUGCGGAAUGAACUCCUAGAACCAGAUCGCAUGAAAGGAAUUCAAGAGGAAUUGGCGGGAUUCUUUCUUGACCACGUCAUCAAUAAAGCCGGAGAAUACCAUGUGGAACUUGAUUUCAAAUGCUAGGGGACUGUAAUUGAGAGAUCUUAUAUAUUGUACAUGUUGUAUGUAGCCAGUAGCGUCGGACAUACAUGAUACAAAAACUUGUUGUUUGACCAAUCUCUCGGAGAAGGAGACGUCGAUCGAUCACUUCUCUCGGUAUGCAUGACGAACUUCUGUACUUAAUGGUUUCCUUCAUUUUCUUACUAGCUAGCGUGUCGAGAGCCUCUCUAUGUAUAGUACGUAGCGUCGACCAAGCACGGACAUAAGAGAGGACACUUCUCUCUAUUAAUUAGCUAGCUAACACAAUAUAUGAAACACCUAAAUUAACCCCCAAAACCNNNNNNNNNNNNNNNNNNNNNNNNNNNNNNNNNNNNNNNNNNNNNNNNNNNNNNNNNNNNNNNNNNNNNNNNNNNNNNNNNNNNNNNNNNNNNNNNNNNNNNNNNNNNNNNNNNNNNNNNNNNNNNNNNNNNNNNNNNNNNNNNNNNNNNNNNNNNNNNNNNNNNNNNNNNNNNNNNNNNNNNNNNNNNNNNNNNNNNNNNNNNNNNNNNNNNNNNNNNNNNNNNNNNNNNNNNNNNNNNNNNNNNNNNNNNNNNNNNNNNNNNNNNNNNNNNNNNNNNNNNNNNNNNNNNNNNNNNNNNNNNNNNNNNNNNNNNNNNNNNNNNNNNNNNNNNNNNNNNNNNNNNNNNNNNNNNNNNNNNNNNNNNNNNNNNNNNNNNNNNNNNNNNNNNNNNNNNNNNNNNNNCCCCCUGCCUGGGCUCGGCGCGUGGAUGCCUUUUGGUCCCGGUUGGUGCCACCAACCGGGACCAAAGGCCCCCCUGCCUGGGCUCGGCGCACAGGCCACGUGGAGGACCAUCUAUCCCGGUUCGUGUUACAACCGGGACUAAAGGGGGGAGGUAUUAGUAACGACCCAUUAGUCCCGGUUCAUGAACCGGGAGUAAAGGCCCUCACGAACCGGGACUAAUAGGUGUUUGUCUACUAGUGAUAAGCCUAUGACUUAUGAAGUUGGUGAGAAGGCUUACCUUCGGGUUACACCUUUAAAGGGAACCCAUCGAUUCGGUAUCAAGGGCAAGUUGGCCCCUUGUUACAUUGGACCCUUUUGCAUUCUUGCCAAACGAGGGGAAGUUGCCUACCAGUUGGAACUACCUCCACAUCUUUCUAGAGUUCAUGAUGUCUUCCACGUCUCUCAACUCAGGCAUUGCUUCUCGAAUCAUAUCCGCGAAGUAGACCAUGAAACGCGUGAUCUCCAAGAAAAUCUCACUUAUCGAGAAUAUCCAAUUCGCAUCCUUGAUCAAGCCGAGCGUACCACUCGACGCCAGAAUAUCAAGUUUCUCAAGGUUCAAUGGUCACACCACUCCGAUCAAGAAGCAACUUGGGAAAGGGAGGAUCAUCUACGACUUGAGUAUCCCACCUUCUUCCCGAUAGACCCUAAAUCUCGGGAUGAGAUUCUUUUGAGUGGGGGUGAGUUGUCACAACCUAGCUAGUCCAUGCAUUAGAGUGUUGCAUCAUGUCUACCUUUUAUCAGAAACUUGAAUUGGGGAAGACAGAACCCCCCCAGAACCCCUCUAAAUUCAACUAGUGCUUACUAAAAAUAUUUUCAAUGAACCUGAAAUGCCCUUCUAAAAAGUUCACCCUCUUUGUCUUGGGUUAGAACCUCUGGCAAAAUUGGUGCACAAUUUUCUAGGUCAACAGAAGGCCAUUGAAUUAAAUCAUAUCUACUUUGAGUUUGGGCAUUUAAACUAUAUAAAAUAUUUCAAAUGCUCAAAUAACUCCAAACUAAAAUGUUCCAUACUGGAUAUAUUCCAACUAGCGACCAUGUGCAGUUUGGUGAUUUUUGGAGUUGCCUAAGUAUUUUUAGAAAUGCAACAAACUUACAGAAACAAUUAAAAACAGAAACAAAUGGGGAAAAAACCCUUACCUGGCCGAACCAAGCCCCAGCCCAGCUGGCCGGCCCAGCACUGUGCUGGCCCAUGCCAGCCAGCUGCUUUGCCAUCGCCACGCAGGCACAGAGCUGACGCCAGCGAGUGUGAGCUCGCCACGGCGCCAACUGCUUGCCGCCCGCGCCACCGAGCACCUGGGUGAGCUCCACGUCGCCACCCCGACCCCGUGGACACCUCAUUCGCCCCCCUGCCUCUUCCCUCGCUCUCCCGCACCAUGGCCGACGCACCCGUCGCCGCACCGCCGACGUAGUCGCGCCCUCCAUCGUCCCCGUGCUGCACCACCGUGUCCCUUCGCUCCGUCGUCAUCAACUACAUCGAGCAGGCCGAGCCCCGAGCGCUCGUGGGCCUUGCUUCGUCUUCUUUGACCUCAUCUUCACCGAGCACCACCGCAGAUCCCCUUCGCCGUCGCCGCUGCACCAGCUCGUCCCCGACCUCGCCGACCACUCCGUUGUGACCGCCGUGAGCUCAGCCACCUCCCCAUCCUCCCCGUUUGCCUUCUCGUGCACCGUAGCAGCCGCAUGGAGCUUCAUCGCACGCACCACCGCCGAGCUCGUCGCCGACGUGCCUCCGGCCAUCCACCGUCCACACCACGGUAUCUAACAUGCUCAUUGCAUCGCGUAGAGUCUAACGCCCCACUCCACGCGCCUCGCCGUGCCCCGUAGCCACGGGUCAAUUUUCACCCGACUCCGGCGACCGUCGCGGUCGUCGCUGCCGACGUUCCUGGCCACCUCGACCUCAACCACCACCACCAAACGCCGCGGCUUGUUCCUGGCUACACGUAGAUGGUCUUCGCCGUCCAUUUGGUCGCCGGAACGUGCUAACCCACUUCCUCUGCCGCAUCUGGCCUCGCCAGCGGCUAGACGCCGGCGUGUUUGACCCGUUGACGUUGACUGGGUGGGCCAGGUUGACUCCCCUGAGUCUAUGACAAGUGGGCCCCCCCCUCUGCUAAUUAACCUAGUUUAGUUCUUACUAAAAUCAGUUAGUUUAAAUAAGUGCUGACAUGCGGGACCCACUGGUCAGUUUGACCUGAACGACCCCUUUGACCAUUGACGUCACCCUGAUGCACUGCUGACGCAAUAACCAAUUUCUGGAUUUAUUGUUAUAUAGGAAAUUCCAGAAAUUGUUGCAAACUUCAAAAAUUCAUAGAAAUUAAUCUGUAACUCCAAAUGCAAAGAUUUAUAUAUGAAUUUCGAUCAAAAAAAUUCAAUAUAUCCAUUGGUAAUGGUUUCAUGCAUGUCAGAACAAGUUAACCUUGUUGUUUAAUCAAAACAAGUUAAUGCACUAAUAUGACUAUGUUAAAUGAACUACCAUUUGCAUCUUUGAUUCAAAUGAGUUCAUACCUUUCUGUUCUAGCUUGCAUUAGGCCAGGACACAUUCAUGUUGCCAUGUCAUAGCAUGCAUCAUAUUGUUGCAUAUCGUCAUGUGUGGUUCAUGUUCGGUGUGUUUUCGUGAUAGGUUCUGCCUCCGAGGAUAACCCCGAAUAUCCGUCUGAAGGGCAGUAUCCUACUACCACUACAUCAGGCAAGCAACCCAUUGAUCAUUCUGAUACAAACCCAUGUUCUCGCCUCUGCUCUUGUUUACUGCAUUAAGAUAACGCGAUUCAAACUGUUGUGUGUUGUGGUAGUUGAACCCACUUCCUUUGCAUGACCUGUCAUUGCCACGGUAACUAGAUGAAACCCACUAGCAUGUGUAGGAGUUGAUUGAGCCAUAUCUGUGUUACCUACCAUGCUAUGCUUGCUAUGCUUAGAGUUGUGUCAGGUCUGGCUCAUCAGGAUGAUGAACUAGAGUGAAAGGUUGUGUCGGUAACGAGAGUGAAGUGUUGAACACGAUUUGGUAAAGGUAUCGAUGAGAGGCCAUGUAGGAGUACAUGGUGGGUUGUUUCAUUGAGGCCGUCCUUAAGCACUGAGAUCUGUGUGUGUGAUUUAAGAUUCAGCUACUACCACGCAUUGGGCCCAAAACCAAUGGACCCUCUCGACUUAUUAACCACUCUUGUCCUCAGUCCGGGAGUUGCAAGUAGUUUCUGGUGUUUGUAGCAUGCUGGGGGCCGCACGCAGCGCUGACCUUAGGGGUGGGUUGUGUUGCGGUAGGCACGUGGCACGGUGUAUCGAUUCGCCCGUUUGGUGUCUCGGGAACCCUGUUCACAUCGUUCGGGGCCGUUAGUGGAAACCUCGGCCGGACUCCCUGCGGAUGGAACCCAAAUAGGCGAUAAACCUGGACUAGGGACUCGUGUGUUUAGUCAGGCCAUGGCCGACACCCUUGCUGGGCUUCCGCUUGAAGGUUGCCGAGUACACGUCAUGUAGUGGCGAUAAGUGGUGAGAGCGUGUGUGAAGAAGUACACCCCUGCAGGGUACAAAACUAUUCGAAUAGCCGCGUCCACGGUAAAGGACUACUUGGUCACCUAUACAGUUCAUAGACAAGUAAAUGGAUACUUCUAAAAGCCUCAAGAUAAGUGUGAGUGCCGCGGAUGGCCCUGUCGUAGGUUGACGAGAGAGGAUCCACGGUGGAGUAUUGUGUUGGUGAGUAGUGGACUCGUGUGCGACAAAUGUUUUGCAAGUUGUGUCUAUCGUUGGAUAGCUUAGCCAAGAGUCAAAGCUGGCUUGCUGCAAUAACUCCACUACCUUCUUGAGAAUGUGCAUGUAUGAUAGGAUUCUGUUGUAAGACUUGCUGAGUACCUCUGUACUCAUGUUUGCUUAAUUAAUGUUUUCAGACGACAACACCAACCCCUCCGAUGGGUUCUACGUAGACCUCGACGUUGACGAGUGACUAGCCACCCAAGUGGUGAUCCAAGACUUGUGAAGGGCCGAUGUAGAUAGAAAGGCUUCAUCAAGCCCUCUUUCUUUCUAGUGUCUGUACUCAGACUAGUUGCUUCCGCAUGUGCUUGUAUGCUUGUAUGACUUGAGUGUCAGGUCAUGUGACCCCUAUCUGUAUGAACAUGUUAUGUAUGGCUCCUCGGAGCCACUUAAAUAAAGUACUUUGAGUUGUAGAGUUUUGUUGUGAUGCCAUGUUGUAUGUACUCAUAUCGGGCAUAUUGUGUGUAUGUUUGAAAUGCUUGGUAUGAGUGGGAUCCGACAAUCUAGUUGUUUAUCCUUGGCAGCCUCUCAUAUGGGGAAAUGUAGUCUAGUGCUUCUUGAGCGAUAGUAGUCCGCUACAGCCCGGUUCACCGGAGUCCUGCUAGCCCAGUACUACUGCUCUGGACACUUGACUGGCCGGCAUGUGUUUCACUUUGUUCCUGUGUCUGUCCCUUCGGGGAAAUGUCAAGCGGUGGCAUCCGGAGUCCUGCCUAGCCUGCUACAGCCCGGGUUACCGGAGUCCUGUUAGCCCAGCGUUACAUCCCGGAUGUAUACGUUGAUGACCAACAUGCUCGAUGUGAUUCAUGUAUGCAUGUCCCCAUAGGUUAGCGCCGCUUGGGUUCACGACUAGCCAUGUCGGCCCGGGUUCUCAGUCAUGUGGAUGCUAGCGACACUAUCAUAUACGUGAGCCAAAAGGCGCAAACGGUCUCGGGCCAUGGUAAGGCGCCACCCGUGGGAUUACCGUGCGUGAGGCCGCAAAGUGAUAUGAGGUGUUACCGGCUGGAUCAAUGUGACUUGGAAUCGGGGUCCUGACAAUUACUUGCUCCUAUCAUAUGUUUGGUUGCAACAAUGUCACUUCUUCACAUAUGCCAUGUCCCAUUGCUUGUCUCAUGCUUGACUUCAUUGCCUCACACAUGAUGAACAAUUGCUCUUUAUAUUGUGUUGAGUGUUACACUAUAUUCACUACAUCCUAUGCACGUUAUGUUUGGAUUGUCUUGCACUUGACCCAUGUGUUUAGACACUUCAUUUUAUUUGGUGUUGUGAAUCCUUCCUAUGCCUACCAUAGACCUUUCAUUGAGCAAUUUGUGAAUGCUUGCUAUGACCUCGAGGUAGAUGCUUAUGCUCUUGUCACACAUAUUUGCAUCUCUACCUCACAUUUACAUGCUUGUUCCCAUGAUAUUUUUGCUUGUGCUCGAUUGAUAUGCUUACAUGCCAUGUCACAAUCCUUUGUCACACCCUAUGCUAUGCUUGAUGACAACACUUGUUUGGUGAAUCACCUCUUGAAUGCUUGGUUUUGCACGAACGCAAACCACAUUUGUUUUUCCACGGGUUUGUUCUAUUUGCUCCUUUUGAAGGAAUCACAAGAUGGUGCGACACUGGAGAGUGCCCACUUCGAGCUACUAGACGAUGAGUGCUUGGUGAUCGACCACUUCGAUAUGGCACCGCCAUCUCUUUCCUAUGGUGAUUUGGUUUUCGAUCCGAGGUCGAAUCCUUCUCAAGGGGGAGGGGAUGAUGCGGAGCAUCCUAUGGACAUCACCAUGUCAAGAGUCCAUUCGGCAAGUGACACGUGCGACAUCUACUUCUCAUACAUAAAGGUGAAUCUUCUCCUUUACACGUGUUCACUUGACCCCUUCGAGGAUGGUAUACUACUUGACACUUCUCCCGUGUGCAUGCAUAGGUAUUGUCAGAGCUUUACGGAUGUCGAGGAGUGCAAGCGCCAAGGAACGACUACACCGUCCGCGAGGGAAGCAUGGAAGAGAAGGAGGAAGAGAACCUGGUGUUGGGGAACGUAGUAAUUUCAAAAUUUUCCUACGCACAUGCAAGAUCAUGGUGAUGAUAUAGCAACGAGGGGAGAGUGUUGUCUACGUACCCUCGUAGACCGAAGCGGAAGCGUUGACGCAGCGUAGAGGAAGUAGUCCUACGUCCUCCCGGUCCGACCGAUCCAAGCACCGUUACUCCGGCACCUCUGAGUUCUUGACACACGUACAGCUCGAUGACGCACCCUCGAUCUCCAAUCCAGUAGAGGCUCCAAGGGGGAGUUCCGUCAGCACGACGGCGUGGUGACUAUCUUGAUGUUCUCCUGUCGCAGGGCUUCGCCUAAGCACCGCUACAAUAUGACCGAGGUGUAAUAUCGUGGAGGGGGGCACCGCACACGGCUAAGGAACGAUCAAUGAUCAACUUGUGUGUUCUAGGGUGCCCCCUACCCCCGUAUAUAAAGGAGGGAGGGAGGAGGUGGCCGACCCAAGGAGGGGGCGCGCCAUGGGAGGAGGAAACCUACUCCAAGUAGGUUUCCCCUCUUUUUCCUUAUCUUAUUUGGAGGGGGAAGGAAGGAGUACUAGUAGUAGGAAGGAGUACUAGUAGUAGGAAAGGAAGAGGGGGAAGGAGAAAGGAAAGGGGGGGCCGGCCCCCCUCCCCAAUUCGGAUUGGGCUUGGGGGGGCGCGCCCCCCUCCCUUGCUCCUUCUCCCUUCCUCCUACAUGGGCCCAAUAAGGCCCAUAUACCUCCCGGGGGGGUUUCGGUAACCUCCCGGAGCUCCAAACUCUUCCGGAACCUUUCCGGUGUCCAAAUAUAUCCGUCCAAUAUAUCGAUCUUUAUGUAUCGACCAUUUCGAGACUCCUCGUCAUGUCCGUGAUCAUAUCCGGGACUCCGAACAAACUUCGGUACAUCAAAAUACAUAAACUCAUAAUAUAACUGUCAUCGAAACCUUAAGCGUGCGGACCCUACGGUUCGAGAACGAUGUAGACAUGACCGAGACAUGUCUCUGGUCAAUAACCAAUAGCGGGACCUGGAUGCCCAUAUUGGUUCCUACAUAUUCUACGAAGAUCUUUAUCGGUCAAACCGCAUAACAGCAUACGUUGUUCCCUUUGUCAUUGGUAUGUUACUUGUCCGAGAUUUGAUCGUCGGUAUCCAAUACCUAGUUCAAUCUCGUUACCGACAAGUCUCUUUACUCGUUCUGUAAUACUUCAUCUCAUAACUAACUCAUUAGUUAUAUGCUUGCAAGGCUUAUGUGAUGAGCAUUACCGAGAGGGCCCAGAGAUACCUCUCCGACAAUCGGAGUGACAAAACCUAAUCUCGAAUUAUGCUAACUCAACAUGUACCUUCGGAGACACCUGUAGUACUCCUUUAUAAUCACCCAGUUACGUUGUGACGUUUGGUAGUACCCAAAGUGUUCCUCCGAUAAACGGGAGUUACACAAUUCUCAUAGUUACAGGAACAUGUAUAAGUCAUGAAGGAAGCAAUAGCAGAAUACUAAACGAUCAAGUGCUAAGCUAACGGGAUGGGUCAUGUCAAUCACAUCAUUCUCCUAAUGAUGUGAUCCCAUUAAUCAAAUGACAACACAUGUCUAUGGUUAGGAAACAUAACCAUCUUUGACUAAUGAGCUAGUCAAGUAGAGGCAUACUAGUGACUAUAUGUUUGUCUAUGUAUUCACACAUGUAUCAUGUUUCCGGUUAAUACAAUUCUAGCAUGAAUAAUAAACAUUUAUCAUGAUAUGAGGAAAUAAAUAAUAACUUUAUUAUUGCCUCUAGGGCAUAUUUCCUUCAGUCUCCCACUUGCACUAGAGUCAAUAAUCUAGUUCACAUCGCCAUGUGAUUUAACACCAAUAUUCAUAUCUGUAUAUGAUUAACACCCAUAGUUCACAUCAUCAUGUGACCAACAUCCAAAGUGUUUACUAGAGUCAAUAAUCUAGUUCACAUCGCUAUGUGAUUAACACCCAAAGAGUACUAAGGUGUGAUCAUGUUUUGCUCGUGAGAGAAGCUCAGUCAACGGGUCUGUCACAUUCAGAGCCAUAUGUAUUUUGCAAAUAUUCUAUGUCUACAAUGCUCUGCACGGAGCUACUCUAGCUAAUCGCUCCCACUUUCAAUAUGUAUCCAGAUUGAGACUUAGAGUCAUCUGGAUCGGUGUGAAAACUUGCACCGAGAUAACUUUUACGACGGGCUCUUUUAUCACCUCCAUAAUCGAGAAAUAUUUCCUUAGUCCUCACUAAGGAUAUUCUUGACCAAUGUCCAGUGAUCUACUCCUAGAUCACUAUUGUACUCCCUUGUCAAAUACAGAGCAAGGUAUACAAUAGGUCUGGUACAUAGCAUGGCAUACUUUAUAGAACCUAUGACUGAGGCAUAGGGAAUGACUUUUCAUUCUCUUUCUAUUUUCUGCUGUGGUCGGGAUUUGAGUCUUACUCAAUUUCAUACCUUUGCAACACAGGCAAGAACUCUUUCUUUGACUGUUCCAUUUUGAACUACUUCAAAAUCUUGUCAAGGUAUGUACUCAUUGAAAAUCUUAUCAAGCGUCUUGAUCUAUCUCAAUAGAUCUUGAUGCUCAAUAUGUAUGUAGUUUUACUGAGGUCUUUCUUUGAAAAAACUCUUAUUCAAGUAUCCUUUAAUGCUUUGCAGAAUAAUUCUACAUUAUUUCCGAUCAGCAAUAUGUCAUUCACAUAUACUUAUCAGAAAUGCUGUAGUGCUCCCACUCACUUUCUUGUAAAUACAGGCUUCACCGCAAGUCUGUAUAAUACUAUAUGCUUUGAUCAACUUAUCAAAGCGUAUAUUCCAACUCUGAGAUGCUUGCACCAGUCCAUAGAUGGAUUGCUGGAGCUUGCACAUUUUGUUAGCACCUUUAGGAUUGACAAAACCUUCUGGUUGUAUCAUAUACAACUCUUCUUUAAUAAAUUCAUUAAGGAAUGUAGUUUUGACAUCCAUUUGCCAAAUUUCAUAAAAUGUGGCAAUUGCUAACAUGAUUCGGACAAACUUUUAAGCAUCGAUACGAGUAAGAAAAUCUCAUCGUAUUCAACACCUUGAACUUUGUCAAAAACCUUUUUUCGACAAGUCUAGCUUUGUAGAUAGUAACACUACUAUCAACGUCCGUCUUCCUCUUGAAGAUCCAUUUAUUCUUAAUGACUCACUGAUCAUCGGGCAAGUCAAUCAAAGUCUACACUUUGUUCUCAUACAUGGAUCAUAUCUCAGAUUUCAUGGCCCCAAGCCAUUUCGUGGAAUCUGGGCUCAUCAUCGCUUCCUCAUAGUUCGUAGGUUCAUCAUGGUCUAGUAACAUGACUUCCAGAACAUGAUUACCGUACCACUCUGGUGCGGAUCUUACUCUGGAAGACCUACGAGGUUUGGUAGCAACUUGAUCUGAAGUUUGAUGAUCAUCAUCAUUAACUUCCUCACUAAUUGGUGUAGGAAUCACUGGAACUGAUUUCUGUGAUGAACUACUUUCCAAUAAGGGAGAAGGUACAAUUACCUCAUCAAGUUUUACUCUCCUCCCACUCACUUCUUUCGAGAGAAACUCCUUCUCUGGAAAGGAUCCAUUUUAGCAACGAAUGUCUUGCCUUCGGAUCUGUGAUAGAAGGUGUACCCAACAAUUUCCUUUGGGUAUUCUAUGAAGACGCACUUCUCCGAUUUGGGUUCGAGCUUAUCAGGAUGAAACUUUUUCACAUAAGCAUCGCAGCCCCAAACUUUAAGAAACAACAGCUUAGGUUUACUGCUAAACCAUAGUUCAUACGGUGUCGUCUCAACGGAUUUAAAUGGUGCCCUAUUUUAAAACGUGAAUGCAGCUGUCUCUAAUGCAUAACCCCAAAACGAUAGUGGUAAAGAGACAUCAUAGAUCGCACCAUAUCAAAUAAAGUGCGGUUACGACGUUCGGACACACCAUAACGAUGUGGUGUUCCAGGUGGUGUGAGCUGUGAAACUAUUCCACAUUGUUUUAAUUGAAGACCAAACUCGUAACUCAAAUAUUUGUCUCCGCUAUCAGAUCGCAGAAACUUUAUUUUCUUGUUACGAUGAUUUUUCCACUUCACUCUGAAAUUCUUUGAACCUUUCAACUAUUUCAGACUUAUGUUUCAUCAAGUAGAUAUACCCAUAUCUGCUCAAAUCAUCUUGUGAAGGUCAGAAAAUAACGAUACUUGCCACGAGCCUCAACACUCAUUGGAUCGCAUACAUCGGUAUGUAUUAUUUCCAAUAAGUCAGUAGCUUGUUCCAUUAUUCCGGAGAACGGAGUUUUAGUCAUCUUGCCCAAAAGGCACGGUCCGCAAGCAUCAAAUGAUUCAUAACCAAGUGAUUCCGAAAAUCCAUCUUUAUGGAGUUUCUUCAUGCGCUUUACACCGAUAUGACCCAAACGGCAGUGCCACAAAUAAGUUGCACUAUCAUUAUUAACUUUGCAUCUUUUGGCUUCAAUAUUAUGAAUGUGUGUAUCACACGAUCGAGAUCCAACAAACCAUUUUCAUUGGGUGUAUAACCAUAGAAAGUUUUAUUCAUGAAAACAGAACAACAAUUAUUCUCUAACUUACAUGAAUAACCGUAUUGCAAUAAACAUGAUCAAAUCAUAUUCAUUCUCAACGCAAACACCAAAUAACACUUAUUUAGGUUUAACACUAAUCCCGGAAGUAUAGGGAGUGUGCGAUGAUGAUCAUAUCAAUCUUGGAACUAUUUCCAACACACAUCGUCACUACACUCUUAACUAGUCUCUGUUUAUUCUGCAACUCCCGUUUCGAGUUACUAAUCUUAGCAACCGAACAAGUAUCAAAUACUUAGGGGCUACUAUAAACACUAGUAUGGAACACAUCAAUAAUCUGUAUAUCAAAUAUACCCUUGUUCACUUUGCCAUCCUUCUUAUCAACCAAAUAUUCAGGGCAUUUCCGCUUCCAGUGACCAUUUCCUUUGCAGUGUAAACACUCAGUUUCAGGCUAUGGUCCAGCUUUGGGCUUGUCUUUCCACUUGAAGUUCCCUUUCUUUCCCUUUGCCCUUCUCUUGAAACUAGUGGUCUUGUCAAUCAUCAACACUUGAUGCUCUUUCUUGAUUUCUACCUUCGUCGAUUUCAACAUCACGAAGAGCUCGGGAAUCAUUUUUUCGUCAUCCCUUGCAUACUAUAGUUCAUCACGAAGUUCUAGUAACUUAGUGAUGGUGACUAGAGAAUUCUGUCAAUCACUAUCUUAUCUGGAAGAUUAACUCCCACUUGAUUCAAGCGAUUGAAGUACCCAGACAAUCUGAGCACAUGCUCACUAGUUGAGCGAUUCUCCUCCAUCUUUUAGCUAUAGAACUUGUUGGAGACUUCAUAUCUCUCAACUCGGGUAUUUGCUUGAAAUAUUAACUUCAAUUCCUGGAACAUCUCAUAUGGUCCAUGAUGUUCAAAACAUCUUUGAAGUCCCGAUUCUAAGCCGUUAAGCAUGGUGCACAAAACUAUCAAGUAGUCAUCAUAUUGAGCUAGCCAAACGUUCAUAACGUCUACAUUUGCUCCUGCAUUAGGUCUUUCACCUAGCGGUGCAUUAAGGACAUAAUUCUUCUGUGCAGCAAUGAGGAUAAACCUCAGAUCACGGAUCCAAUCCGCAUCAUUGCUACUAACAUCUUUCAACACAGUUUUCUCUAGGAACAUAUCAAAAUAAACAUAUGAAAGCAACAACGCGAGCUAUUGAUCUAUAACACAAUUUGCAAAAUACUACCAGGACUAAGUUCAUGAUAAAUUAAAGUUCAAUUAAUCAUAUUACUAAAGAACUCCCACUUAGACAGACAUCUCUCUAGUCAUCUAAGUGAUCACGUGAUCCAAAUCAACUAAACCAUGUCCGAUCAUCACGUGAGAUGGAGUAGUUUCAAUGGUGAACAUCGCUAUGUUGAUCAUAUCUACUAUAUGAUUCACGCUCGACCUUUCGGUCUCCGUGUUCCGAGGCCAUAUCUGUAUAUGCUAGGCUCGUCAAGUAUAACCUGAGUAUUCCGCAUGUGCAACUGUUUUGCACCCGUUGUAUUUGAACGUAGAGCCUAUCACACCCGAUCAUCACGUGGUGUCUCAGCACGAAGAACUUUCGCAACGGUGCAUACUCAGGGAGAACACUUCUUGAUAAUUAGUGAUAGAUCAUCUUAAAAUGCUACCGUCAAUCAAAGCAAGAUAAGAUGCAUAAAGGAUAAACAUCACAUGCAAUCAAUAUAAGUGAUAUGAUAUGGCCAUCAUCAUCUUGUGCUUGUGAUCUCCAUCUCCGAAGCACCGUCGUGAUCACCAUCGUCACCGGCGCGACACCUUGAUCUCCAUCGUAGCAUCGUUGUCGAUUACGCCAUCUAUUGCUUCUACGACUAUCGCUACCGCUUAGUGAUAAAGUAAAGCAAUUACAGGGCGUUUCCAUUUCAUACAAUAAAGUGACAACCAUAUGGCUCCUGCCAGUUGCCGAUAACUUCGGUUACAAAACAUGAUCAUCUCAUACAAUAAAAUAUAGCAUCACGUCUUGGCCAUAUCACAUCACAACAUGCCCUGCAAAAACAAGUUAGACGUCCUCUACUUUGUUGUUGCAAAUUUUACGUGGCUGCUACGGGCUUAGCAAGAACCGUUCUUACCUACGCAUCAAAACCACAACGAUAGUUUGUCAAAUAGACUCCGUUUUAACCUUCACAAGGACCGGGCGUAGCCACACUCGGUUCAACUAAAGUUGGAGAAACAGACACCCGCCAGUCACCUGUGUGCAAAGCAUGGCGGUAAAACCAGUCUCGCGUAAGCGUACGCGUAAUGUCGGUCCGGGCCGCUUCAUCCAACAAUACCGCUGAACCAAAGUAUAACAUGCUGGUAGGCAGUAUGACUUAUAUCGUCCACAACUCACUUGUGGUCUACUCGUGCAUAUAACAUCAACGAAUAAAACCUAGGCUCUGAUGCCACUGUUGGGGAACGUAGUAAUUUCAAAAUUUUCCUACGCACAUGCAAGAUCAUGGUGAUGAUAUAGCAACGAGGGGAGAGUGUUGUCUACGUACCCUCGUAGACCGAAGCGGAAGCGUUGACGCAACGUAGAGGAAGUAGUCGUACGUCCUCCCGGUUCGACCGAUCCAAGCACCGUUACUCCGGCACCUCCGAGUUCUUGACACACGUACAGCUCGAUGACGCACCCUCGAUCUCCAAUCCAGUAGAGGCUCCGAGGGGGAGUUCCGUCAGCACAACAGCGUGGUGACUAUAUUGAUGUUCUCCUGUCGCAGGGCUUCGCCUAAGCACCGCUACAAUAUGACCGAGGUGUAAUAUCGUGGAGGGGGGCACCGCACACGGCUAAGGAACGAUCAAUGAUCAACUUGUGUGUUCUAGGGUGCCCCCCUACCCCCGUAUAUAAAGGAGGGAGGGAGGAGGUGGCCGGCCCAAGGAGGGGGCGCGCCAUGGGAGGAGGAAACCUACUCCAAGUAGGUUUCCCCUCUUUUUCCUUAUCUUAUUUGGAGGGGGAAGGAAGGAGUACUAGUAGUAGGAAGGAGUACUAGUAGUAGGAAAGGAAGAGGGGGAAGGAGAAAGGAAAGGGGGGGCCGGCCCCCUCCCCAAUUCGGAUUGGGCUUGGGGGGGCGCGCCCCCCUCCCUUGCUCCUUCUCCCUUCCUCCUACAUGGGCCCAAUAAGGCCCAUAUACCUCCCGGGGGGUUCCGGUAACCUCCCGAAGCUCCAAACUCUUCCGGAACCUUUCCGGUGUCCAAAUAUAUCCGUCCAAUAUAUCAAUCUUUAUGUCUCGACCAUUUCGAGACUCCUCGUCAUGUCCGUGAUCACAUCCGGGACUCCGAACAAACUUUGGUACAUCAAAAUACAUAAACUCAUAAUAUAACUAUCAUCGAAAACUUAAGCGUGCGGACCCUACGGUUCGAGAACGAUGUAGACAUGACCGAGACAUGUCUCUGGUCAAUAACCAAUAGUGGGACCUGGAUGCCCAUAUUGGUUCCUACAUAUUCUACGAAGAUCUUUAUCGGUCAAACCGCAUAACAGCAUACGUUGUUCCCUUUGUCAUCGGUAUGUUACUUGUCCGAGAUUUGAUCGUCGGUAUCCAAUACCUAGUUCAAUCUCGUUACCGACAAGUCUCUUUACUCAUUCUGUAAUACUUCAUCUCAUAACUAACUCAUUAGUUAUAUGCUUGCAAGGCUUAUGUGAUGAGCAUUACCGAGAGGGCCCAGAGAUACCCCUCCGACAAUCGGAGUGACAAAACCUAAUCUCGAAUUAUGCUAACUCAACAUGUACCUUCGGAGACACCUGUAGUACUCCUUGAUAAUCACCCAGUUACGUUGUGACGUUUGGUAGUACCCAAAGUGUUCCUCCGGUAAACGGGAGUUACACAAUUCUCAUAGUUACAGGAACAUGUAUAAGUCAUGAAGGAAGCAAUAGCAGAAUACUAAACGAUCAAGUGCUAAGCUAACGGGAUGGGUCAUGUCAAUCACAUCAUUCUCCUAAUGAUGUGAUCCCAUUAAUCAAAUGACAACACAUGUCUAUGGUUAGGAAACAUAAUCAUCUUUGACUAAUGAGCUAGUCAAGUAGAGGCAUACUAGUGACUAUAUGUUUGUCUAUGUAUUCACACAUGUAUCAUGUUUCCGGUUAAUACAAUUCUAGCAUGAAUAAUAAACAUUUAUCAUGAUAUGAGGAAAUAAAUAAUAACUUUAUUAUUGCCUCUAGGGCAUAUUUCCUUCACCUGGCCGCUCCAGAACGAGCGGUACUACCGCCCACUCCAAGCGGUACUACCGCUGAGGCCACCCAAGAGGCACUACCGCCCAGCAUCCGCCCUACUACCGCUCAACCCGACAAACUCCAGUGAUCGAGCGGUAUAAGCCCGGUACUACCGCCCCUCCAAGCGGUACUACCGCUCAAGCGGUACUACCACCCAUGAGUCCGGUACUACCGCCCUGCUUGUGAGCAGCCGCGGGCCUUUGGCCUUGUAUCCCUCUCCCACUUACCCCUUCGUGGCUUAGACUAUAAAUAGACCACCUCCACCUCCUUUCUAGGGUUAGAACAGAUUGAGCUUAUUUUGAGAUAGAGCUUUACUCAUCCAUACGGAUCUACUCCUCGUGAGAGACUGCGGCCUCUUCGGAGAAGAUCGAUCUUGGAUUCAAGACCCCUCGUGGGAAGAUCCGUCUAGGAUCAUCAAGACCUCCUCUUGGAGAUGAACCUUACCUUGUAUCUUUCCCUUUGUUGUUCAUGUACCCUUGUGGAUCUUGUGUGUUUGAUUGUCUAGUGGAUGUGUGAUUGGACUUGUUCUUGAGUGUUUCCCCUUGUGAUUUCUCUCCGUUCUUCCCUGUGUUCUUCGUGUUCUUCGUGGGGAUCCACUCCAAACGUGAAAAAUCGGCCUCUAGGGUUCUACCCUACAUCAUCAUCCUUCAAAAAUAUGGAGGGCCAUUAUUGACGGAAGGGAUAUUAUAUGGCGCAAGGUAUAAUCAGACGCAUCGGGGAUGGAGCGACUACACACAUAUGGGAUCACAACUGGAUUAUGAUGGAAAGCUAUAAGAGGCCAAUAACUAAGUUAGUGCAGAACCCCCCUCAGAAACAUUUUAUGUAUACACGUUAACAUUUCCCAGAUAUAUGAUUAAUAUUUUUGGAAAACUUCUAUUUUUUAUGUGUACUUUUUUAUACAUUUUGUAAUAUCAGAAAUAGUUUUUAUAGAAGGUUUAACAUUUUUCAAAUACAUGAUUACCUUUUUGUAAACUUAUAUUGUUUGACGUUUACUUUUUUUCAUAGACAUAGUGAGGGGUUAUAUCUAAGGAAUAGGCCCAAGUACAUGUAUGGCACAACCAAAUGCCCAUGUUAAUCAAGGAUGUUCCACAAGACAAAUGGGGAAACACACCAAGGCCAAUGGAGCUACAAGGCCAAGGCAUCGGAUACAAGGGGAGAGUCAACUAUGUACAGUCGGAUUACACAGCCCUUAACAGACAAGACUCAUCAGUUGGUCCACUAUUGGAAUCAGGUCAUUUGCCGUCAGCCCAGAAUAGACGCGAAGACUUUGCCGUGAGCAAGUUGACGACAAACACAAUCAGCAAAGACUAUAUCGGCAGAGAGCUAAUUUGACGUCAACUUUUCAUCGCGCUGAUGACAAAGACUUUGCCGUCAAUUAAACUAUGUGUUUGUAGUCUGUAGAGAAAACACAAACGGCAAAGAAAUUAAAAAAAUGGUCAUUUUAAAAUAAUUUUUAGAAAUCUAUAUACUGUUUUUUAAAAUGUUUAAUAUGUACCAAGAAUUAUUUCGUAAGUAUACAAAAGAUGUAUAACGUGUAUGAAAAUUACGUAGACAUCAGAACAUAUUAUAGAAAUGUUAAUCUUGUAUUUAAAAAUUUUAAAUACACAUGCAUAAAAAUGUUUUUGAUGUACAUAAAAAAAUUGUACAUAGUGUGUGAACAAAGUAUGCAUUGAAAAAACAAAAAUCUUGUUGGAAAAAAAUCUCGUGUUGUAUACGAAAAUGUAAAAGGUGUAUGAAAAUAAUUAGAUAUAUGUUUAAUGAAAAAAGGAAAGAAGGCGCAAAAAAUCCGAUUAACACCAAGAUAGGAACAAGAAAACCUGAAGAAGACCAUUGAAAAAAAGAAAUGAAUACAAGAAAGAGGAAGAAAAACAAAAAAAAUGAAGAAGCUGAUGCAGAACAGGGAACUUAGUGAAAACGAAUAAAAAUUGAUGAAAACCGAGAAGAAAAACAAGAAAACUGAAGCAAAAAUUAAGAAAAAUAUGUAAAAAAAAUGAUGAAACAUUGCGAAACAGUGAAAUACUAUGAAAACCAAAGGAAAAAAAGACUCAAAAAUAAGAACGUACAGCAAGCGAAUGAACAACAACUGAGUGAACGAGCGAACAUGCGAGAAUACGUUAAUUGUCUGGCCCAUACUUGUGGAUUCCAGAGGCGAGCCAGAAUAGGCGAGAUAUAGCUAUGACGAUUUGAUACCCUUCAUAGCUUCACGAAUGCUAUAUCUCGCUCACAGCGAAAGUAUUUUUUGUCUGGCCUGAAGGUGAAAGAAUAGCAUCAGGUCGCUGUAAGUUUUGUGAUCCUACAAUCAGAGCUCGAUAAGAUUAAAAUUCAUGUUUCUGACAACCAGUCAUUCGCUCACUCAAUUCCACGUACUAGUUUGGUUAGGUUUUUUUUUCAUUUUUUUCUGUUUUUUAUUUCUUCACUGGCUUUCUUUGGUUUUUUUAUCGGUUUUCUUUGUUUCCUUCACGUUUUACUCUUUCUUUUCCUUUUUACUGGUUUAUCUAUUCCUUUUUUCUUUGUUUCUUUCUUGGUUUUCUUUGUUUUUUCUUUCUUUUGAUGUCAACCUUUUUACAUACACAUUCAACAAUUUUCGUAUACAUCAGAAACAUUUUAUGUAUACACGUUAACAAUUCCCAGGUACAUGAUUAAUAUUUUUGGAAAACUUCUAUUUUUUAUGUGUACUUUUUGAUACAUUUUGUAUAUAUCAGAAAUAUUUUUUAUAGAAGGUUUAACAUUUUUUAAAUACAUGAUUACCUUUUUGUAAACUUAUAUUGUUUGACGUUUACUUUUUUUCAUAGACAUAGUGAGGGGUUAUAUCUAAGGAAUAGGCCCAAGUACAUAUAUGGCCCAAGUACAUUUAAUCAAGGAUGUAGUCCACAAGACAAAUGGGGAAACAGACGGGGGCCAAUGGAGCUACAAGGCCAAAGCAUCGGAUACAAGGGGAGAAUCUACAGUCGGAUUACACAACCCUUGACAGACAAGACUCAUUAGUUGGUCCGCUAUAGGAAUCGGGUAAUUUGCCGUCAGCCGAGAACAUACUCAAAGACUUUGCCGUCAGCAAGUUGAUGACAACUUUUCAUCACGUUGAUGACAAAGACUUUGCCGUCAAUUAAACUAUGUGUUUAUCGUCUAUAGAAAAAACACAAACGGCAAAGGAAAGCACCUUUGCCAUCAGCGGCUAAUCUGCAUGUGUCUUCAACAAGACUCGUCUUGUCACUAGCCUCAAACAUCACAGAUGGAAAAGAAAUUUUUUAUUUUAAAAAAUCUGCGUCGACCACCCUACUUCGCACAUGUAGCCACCGCCUGGCCGCGCUCGCUGAUCACCCACAAGUGUAGGGGAUCUAUCGUAGUCCUUUCGAUAAGUAAGAGUGUCGAACCGAACGAGGAGUAGAAGGAAAUGACAAGCGGUUUUUAGUAAGGUAUUCUCUGCAAGCACUGAAAUUAUCGGUAACAGAUAGUUUUGUGAUAAGGUAAUUCGUAACGGGUAACAAGUAACAACAGUAAAUAAAGUGCAGCAAGGUGGCACAAUCCUUUUUGUAGCAAACGACAAGCCUGGACAAAUUCUUAUAUGAAGGAAAACGCUCCCGAGGACACAUGGGAAUUAUCGUCAAGCUAGUUUUCAUCACGCUCAUAUGAUUCACGUUCAUUACUUUGAUAAUUUAAUAUGUGGAUGGACCGGUGCUUGGAUACUGCUCUUUCUUGGAUAAGCAUCCCACUUAUGAUUAACCCCUAUUGCAAGCAUCCGCAACUCAAAAGAAAUAUUAAGGUAAACCUAAUCAUAGCAUGAAACAUUGACACGGCACAUUAUAAAGAGUUCAACCCAAAUUUUGUAGUAACACUAUUAUAUUUAAAUAGUGAUUAUUCCAACACAUGGAUAAUUAAUUAAGGCACCAGGUUGCGCUUGUGACCAGGAAAGACAAACUUAUGAACUUGCAAGCAUGACAAUCAGAUCGACAUCCACACAAUGUCAAUAUGAACAUUGUCUUGAUACAACUUUAUUUGUAUUUUAUUUCAGAAUUUAAACAACUAGUUUGGGCGGGUCACACACGACGUUGUGUGACACUUUAUUUGUCACCGCUGCAUCGACAUAUCCAUCGACUAAACAACGGUGAUCCAACUAUAUAUUACUAGAGACCUUUCCUUAUCAGUAGGCACCAACUCCAGUGCCAACGCCAAAUGGCACACUAGUGGUGGUCCUAUACAACGGCACAUUGACACGGCACAUCAUUGGCAGGGUACGGAGCGCAAUGGAAGUCAUCACCUCAAGCUGAGCUAUCUGGUGUGGCUGCAAAAAGGUACCCUGUGCCAAUUGUUGUUGUUGAGGUUGUUGCCCGAGUUGCUGCUGUGACUGCUGUUGGGGUUGGGAAACGCAUUGGCCCAACUGUUGCGGUUGCUGCUGCUGAGUUUGGAUGGAACCCCGAACCUGUUGUUGUUCUUGCAGGACGAUGGA